UAAAAUUUAAAAGUGAAAUUUAAAUUAGAGGAAUUUCAUAUUACUAUUUAAAAACUAAAUUUCUACCAAGAUUUAAAAUACAGUUUAUUCGCACCAGUUUAAAACGUAAUGCAUAAAAAACUUAGAGAGUAAGAUUUCUACAACUAGAUUUCUCUAGAGGAAUUUCAUAUUACUAUUUAAAUUUUAAAUUCAAUGAUUUAAAAACUAGAUUGAACCGAUUGAUUUGACUGAUCAGACUUUGACCUAUUCUAUCAAGAAUCUGAUUUUAACCUAUUGAACCGAAUAACAUUAAGAACAAUUUGGAACCGGUAAAGAUAAUAAAUAUUUUAAACAGAAUGAUAAUUUAACUGUUAGAGCUAAUAAAUAUUUUAAAUAUAAUUUUAAACAUAUAAAUUAAAAAGAUUAGAAUUAUUGGUGAGAAAAAAAAUAGUUAGGAAUUUGAAUUCGAAUCUGACUAACAAUCACAAAACUUAUUUCCGAACUCGACGGAUUUCAAAAAUCCAUAUCCAAAUUCAAAACUGACCAAUUUUUCGAAACCCAAAACCAAACCUAAACCAGAAGACUAGAAUUCAAACAAUUAUUUCUGUUUACCAUAUUUCAAAGUAUUUAUAUGAAACUUAAAUUUUUAAAAUAUAAAUUUGAAUAUAAUAUUAAAUUUUAAAUUUAAAAGUGAAAUUUAAAUUAGAGAAAUUUUAUAUUACUAUUUAAAGUUUAAAUUCAAUGAUCAUAUUGUCAAAUCAUUUGAAAUUUUCCUUAUAUGAAAUGCCAAAUUAUGAAAGGAAAGAUAGAGAGAGAAAAAAAAAAACAAAGAAAAAAUAAAAAUUUUGAAAAUAUAGUAGAUGUAAAAUGACUAAAUUGCCUAUGUAUUAAAAGACAAAAAUAUCCUUUUUUGAGGUACCUGGUAACUGAUACCUCUUCCAAAGCGACCUGCUAUUGCAGGUCACAAUUUUAAAAAAACUAAAUCUGAGCCGUUAAAUACGCGUGAAUGAACGGUAACCAAAAAAAAAAAAGUAUAGAAGCAUUACUCUAAUUAAUUAAAUUUUACACCCAACACAUGAAAACAAUAUCAGAUAUAAAUAAUAAUAAACUAGUUACACUCUGAGGUCCCCAUAGAAUUACUACAAGAAAUAAUAGUGGUAUAGAGUGUGGUUUAGAAUUCUAUAAAUUAGCCUAAAUUUUAGACCCUGUUUAAUAUUAUUGUUUACUUUUAUUUUUUAAAUGUAAAUCUUACAUGAUGAACAUGGAGUAUGUAAAUAUAAAUGCAUUGUACAUACCUGAAUUAAUGACUAUUUAGUUAUACAUAAAAAUAUAUAAAAAAAAUCCUAAUAUUAAACAGGGUCUAAAUAUUACUCCCUGGAGUUCUGUUAAUGAUCAAGUUCCAUAAACUAUUCUUGUCAACUUUUUUUUUAUAAUUUUUUACACUAAAAUUAAAAAAAAAUCAAUUCUAGAAUGGAGAGAUAUAAGAUUAUACCUCAUUGUGAUGAUGUAGAAAAACUAUCUGCUGAGACAUACAAUCAGAGAUAAAAUUUCUUUUACUUAUAAAAUCAAAAUUUAAUAUUAAUACUCAAUUUUUUUUUAACAAAUCAAUCAAAUAAUUGCCAAAAAUAACAAGUACUCAAUUUGUGACGAUGCCGUAUGAAACUGUAGAAGUGAGAAGUCUCAGCUCCUCUGAAACCAAACGCAGAUUACAAUAACAACCCCCCAAAAUAAAAAUAAAAAUAAAAAUAAAAGUAAAAGGGAAUCCACAUGGGAAUGGUGAUCUAUAGUGUUGUUGUUGUUGUUGGAUCCGGUGCGAGAGAGAGGGGCACGGUUUUUGUACGGUAGGUGGAGCGUCCAGAGAUUUUUUUUUAUUUUUUUUAGGAUUAAUUACGAACAAUUUUCUAUAAACAUAUUGAAUAACAAAUAUAUUUCUAUAAAUUUUAAUUUUUUAUUUUUUUUUAUAAAAGUCUUAUUUUUUUAAAUAUACUCCCGCUAUUACGAUUCAUUACAAAAAUAUAGUUAAUUACAAGUAAAAUACUUAACUCUUAUUAGUACGUAAAUAAGUAAAUUGAUUUUUUUAUUCAUUUUAUAUUAUUCAUGAUAGUAGAAAGUGAGAAGAUAAUCAUUAAAAAUUUUUGAGAGGGCAUUUCUAUAUAAUUCUAACACUUAGGAUUUUUGGAGAGACAUAUCUAUAAUAGCAAAAAUAACAAUUUAUUUAUCUUUUGUUAAACAGUAUUCUAACAAUAACAAAUCAGAGAGGCAGCUAUGAAUAUCAGUGGACUUUUAUAGCGAUGAAUAUGACAAGUUAAAUUUUGUAGGAAUUUAUUUGCUAUUCGAUAUAUUUACAGAAGCUGUAUAAAAUUAACUAUUUUUAAAUAAAAGUGUACAGAACUUAUAUCUUAAUUAUUAUUCAUUUUGAUUUGACUGUCUACUUUUAAAAAAAAUUUAUUUUAUUUUAUUUGAGCCAAUUUAUAAUCCUUUGACUUAAAUUUUGAAUACAUCCAUCAAAUAAAUUAAAUUAAACAAAUUACAAUUUUAGGCACUAAAAUUAAAUUUUUUUUAUUUUUAUAAAUUUAUUUUUGAGUAAACUUUAAAUACCCUCCCUGUGGUUUCAUACUUUCUCACUUUAGUAUCCCGUGAUUUAAAGUGUAUCAAGUUAGUCCCUGUGACUACGCUCUUUCUGACUUUAUUACCUUGUGAUUUAAAAUGUAUCAAAUUAGCACCCUGUGGUUUUAUUUUUCUAUUUUUAUUAUCCAUUUUACUAUUUUUUUUUUAUUAAAUCAGUAACAAAGUUAAAAUUAAAGGAUACUAAAGUGAAUAUUCGAUAAACCUAGGUAAGGGUAUCUGAAGAUUUUUGUAUAUAAUUUAACGAAAUAUUAACGGAGGAAAAAAAAAUCAAUGAUAAAAUUAAAACUAAAGAAUAUUAAAGUAAAUAUUCAAUAAAUCUAGAUAGGCUAUCUGAAGUAUUUUGUAUAUAAUUUAACGAAAUAUUAAUAGAGGAGCCGAUGAGAAGAAAAAAAUGAAAUCACAGGGUACUAAAUUGAUGCACUUUAAACCACAGAGUACUAAAGUGAAAAAGUGCGAAACUAUGGGAUAGUAAAUUGAUACACUUUUAAUCAUAAAAUAUUAAAAUAAAAAAAUAUAAAAUUAUAGGGGUGGUAUUUGAAAAUUUUCUUUUAUUUUUUGGAUCUUGCAAGUUCGAUUCCUCCGCACCAAGUAUUCCCUACAUUUGCCGCCCCUCGUGAACUGCGACGUCCCCCGCACAUGCUCCCGCUCAGUUUCUUUUACGGUUUGUCCAGAUCUCUCUCUCUCUCUUCUUUUUUUUCUUUUUAUUUUUUGGGGGGGGCCCUUUCACGAAAAUGCCCCCCACAUUUACCAAAAUGACAACUUUGUCCCCAACUCACUUCGAAAUUGGAAAUUAAAUUGGAAAUUAUGGUAGUGUUUCGUUCACGGUAUUUCUCAAAAGUUCCUCAGAACUUAAAUCUUAAAACUGAGAAUUUUUAUCAUGUCGUGGUUAGGGGUGGCAAUUCAGUUUGUCGUUCGCGUGCUAGCUCAUGUUCGUCUCGAAAUGAGUUCGAGAUCGAACCGCUCGUUUAGUAAACGAGCCGAACACGAGCUGAAUUUUUCAGCUCAUGUUCGGCUUGAAAUUAUGGUACGAAUCGUUCAUGGUAUUUCUCAAAAGUUUCUCAGAACUUAAAUCUUAAAAUUGAGAAUUUUUAUCAUGCCGUGGAUUCCAGCUCCAUGUCAAUUCGCCAAUAGAUUCGCUGUAUAGACAGAAAAUUCUAUGUACACAGAGCGAUAGAAUUAUUUGUAAACAGUAAAAAAAACAACUACUGCACCAAUGCUGAAAUUAAUUGGGUUUCGGAGUUAAUUAGUGGCGUCAAUUUCGCAUCCAAAUUAAAUCCGACUCGUCUUGACACUUUUCUGAAGUGACGAUCAAUUCAAGGUCUGUAACUUUUCCUGAAAAAUAAUAUUUUAUUUUUUUGGAACACUACAAUUUUCUUAUUUGGUUCGUCGCAAAAAUGAUAGUAAUCUAGAAUUUUUAUAUAUUUUAAUUCUACAAAGCGUAGGAAUUCAAAACUCAUUCACUUUCGUAGUAGUUUCCUUUCUCCACAUUAUGUGGUUUGAUUUUAAUAGAUUAAAGGGUUACUUUUAAAUUUAAUAAUAAUUACGAUGCUUUUUGGUGUAAAAUAAUAAACUUAUUAAUAUAAUCUACUUAUUUUUUAUGUCGAGUCAAACACAAACAUAAUAUAAUACUAAAUAUUCUAGAUACGAACCAAAUAAAUAUUCUUAUGAUAUUAGAAUUUAAUUCUAGAAUAAUAAUGCUUGAGAAAUUAACUUGGUUAUGAAAAUUUUAAAUCGUGCAAAAUUUAGUGGACUUAGCGAGAAAACAACAUUCGAGCAAAAUUUUUUGAUGGAUAAGAAAAAGUGCGAUGCUACGUCCACAUUCUGAGGCCAAUAUUUUUUCUUUACUUAACUUAAAAAUAUAUUUAGAUAUUUACAAACCUUAAAAUGAAGAAUUUUACAUUUACAUAUUCGUGUACAUAUUGCAUUUUCCUACAAAAAAAAAAGUAUAGUGCAAAUCCCCACAUUAAAAAUUUAAAACCCCUUCAAAUAUUUAUAGUUAUUUAUUUAUUUUUUUUUUGAGAGAUAUGUAGCAUGCUACCCGCUUCAUUUAUUUCAUUUAGAAAUAAAAUUUAUUUAUUUAUUUUUUGAGAAAUAGGUAGCAUGCUACCCGCUCCAUUUAUUUCAUUUAGAAAUAAACUUAGCUGGAAAUGUAAAUCGACUAGAAUUCGAACUUGUGUCUCGAGUACCAACCAUCAAGACUUUUGCCACUUACUCUAGGGACGGUCGGUAAUAUUUAUAGUGAUUUAUUAGUUAAGAAGUUGGCGGAUAGAACUCUAAAUUUAAAAUUUUCUCACAACAGGUCGAAUCCACAAUCUCUCAUACACUAAGAAGCUUUAAGUUAAUAUGAAUUUUAAGAAAGUAAUUUAGAAACUUUGGAGAAAUAUAUAUAUGCAUGCAAUUAAUGCCUCGUAAAAGUUGUUCCAUAGAAAGAUUUAAACGGACCCGCCUACGCAAACAAAUUAAGGGACAUUCAAUUUUUCAAUGAACGACCAUAAUGAUAGUGUGACACCUUUUACCUAUGAGCAAGAAGAAAAUAGAGCAAAUCCUUUCAAAAAAAAAAAAAAGAGAAAAUAAUAAAAAGUAGACCAAACAAUGAAAUUAAUACAAUAACUAGCACGUUAUAUUCUAAAAACACACUACUGAAUUAAUAAGGAGAGUUUUUAAGAAGUGAAGGGCUGGAUUAAUUUCGAUAUACAAUUGUGUUAUCCAAAAAAUUGAUCUGAUAUAAAACGAUUCAAAAUUAAUUUUUGUCAUAACUGUAACUACCUAGCCCACUAGCAAUAAUAACUCGUUGGGCCCAACCAUCGGCCCAAAAUGCUUAAGCCCAGUUAUUAUUACUAGUGUUUAAGUUUCUUAUAAACCCAAUAACAACCCCAUUUCCAUCCGAUGUGGGGAUUGGGGUGUCACAAACUCCCCCCGUUAAGGCCCUGACGUCCUCGUCAGUCCAAUCACACACACACAGCCCAAGAUCAAGAUCACCAGGCGAUGUGAGACUCGUCUCGCUAGCUCGUCAUCCAGACCCUGGCUCAGCCGAGACUCGCCACACAUGUCUAGCUGGUGAACCGGCUCUAAUACCAAAUGUAACGACCCAGCCCACUAGCAAUAAUAACUCAUUGGGCCCAACCACCGGCCCAAAAUGCUUAAGCCCAGUUAUUAUUACUAGUGUCUAAGUCUCUUAUAAAUUCAAUGACAACUCCAUUCUCAUUCGAUGUGAGAUUAUUGGGGUGUCACAAUAACGAACACAGAAAACGCCCCCUUGCCAAAAGAGAGUUCAUCUUGUUUAUGUAUGAAAACAUCAAAUUUUUAAUAUUAAUUUUCUGAAGCUGAAGCAUAUAAAUAAACUGAGAUAGUCAAUUCAAAAUGCUCAAAAUGGUAAUAGAACAUUACCACAAGGAUUCUCCUGUGUAUGAGCGGGAAUCUAGGGAAAAAGGGUAUAGUAUAUGGAUAAAAAAUAAUCAACAAAGAAAAGAAAAAAGUUGCAACCUACUUAACUAGGGGGCGACAAGAGGGUGAAAGCCAAAAGACUAGGAAGGGUAAAAGAGGAAAACAAAUAAUAAUAAUAAUAAUAAUAAUAAUUAAGAGCAUGGCUCGUGGGCUCUCCCCGUCACUGAAGCACUUGGCUAUUGAUCGUAUUUUGUAAUUUUUAUGUAUUUAUUUAUCCCACUCUCUCUCUCUCUCAAGAUCUCUCUUCUUUCUCUCCCUCUCUUCUUUCUGUGUGUGUGUGUGUGUGUGUGUGUGUGUGUGUGUGUGUGUGUGUCCCCCACACCCUUCCAUAGAUCAGACUGCACGCCAGAAGGGCCAGAAAGGGGCAGAAAGCAGGGCUAACGUCUUCCUCAAAAGCAGCUCUUCUUCCCAACCUGGAAAGAUAUAACAACAACCUUAAAGCUCAAGGGGUUUGGGGAAUGAGGAGUAUUUAGCAUAUAAAUAAGUCAAUGCAUGCUAUGUGUACCUGUAAUGUGCAGGGCACCGUGAAACAAUCGUUUAUCUUCAAUAGAUUAAGCUGUCAGAGAACGAUCGAUGCUUUCGUAUUCUAUAUCAAGGAUUCGACGAGAUUGGAAUUCAGAAUUUUUGUUAUGAUACUAUUUAUUUUUGAAAGCUUACACUAUCACAGAAAGUUAUUUUUUGUGUCAUAUAAUUCGAUAUGAGUGCAAUGUCUGUAGACUUAAGCAUUUAGAUUCAAUGAGUUUUAAUAGAUAUUUCACAUAUUUAGACUUGCGUGGAUCUUGGACUGAAUCGAAACUCCCUAUAAUGUAUAAUGUCGCGCAAAGAAUAAUAUACAAAAAUAGAAUUUGGAUUGUGAAAACCAUAUUAUAAAGAAAUUUGUACAAAUUAUAUAACAGGGGAUCCUACGGACUGUCGAAAGAAUUUAUAGUAUCAUUCUUGCAAAAAUACUUGCCAACUCGACAGUUAAGUUGCGCAUCAAUGCCAACAAACUAAAUUAGUAAUAAGCUGACUUAUCAAUUAUAUUUCCAGAUUCGUUUACGGUCACAUGUAAACAAAGAUGAGGUUGGUGAGCAUCUCAAGUUCUCAAGUGCAUUACGAACCUCUGCCCCAUCCGUGUUUACUUGUAAUUAAGUACCAACUCAAAAUAACAUUUAAUUUUAACACUCUCUCACCAACCUUUCGCAUGUACUGACCCUACUCAUAAUUUUAUAUCGUAUAUAUAUAUAUAUACCUUCCUUUCACCUUCCUCCUUACUAUUAUUUUAAUUACUAGGAGAUAUUUAUUACAUUUAUGCCCAGUUUCAUAAACCCAUCCCUGUGUAAAAGGGAGAAUUUUCGUAAAUGCCAUUAAUUUAAUAAAUUGAUGCAUCAUGUANNNNNNNNNNNNNNNNNNNNNNNNNUAUGAAUUAAGUUGUUUUAGCUUACUAAAUUGGACAUCGUAUUAAAUUUACCAGUGAAUUCACUGCAUUUAAUAUUUUUUUAUCACCUCUUAGUAACUAAAUUAGAUGGCUAAUUAACAAUUAAUAACUAAUAGAGCCAUUAAAUUUGAUAAAAUUGUUAACUUAAUUAAAUGUAAAAUCUCAAAUAGUUGAAGAGGAUCUGUUUCAAAAUUUUCCAUAGUUAAGGGGGUAUUCAUAAAUUUUUCCCCAAAAAAAACACCCCACAGUAAUUAGAGGAGAUCGAGCACAUACACAGUACCCACAAACACAACUGGCACCGUCAAUGUCAUUAGCGGAAUAUCUCGGGCGAGGGUUAUCCCAUUCCAUUAUGAGUCCUAACCCCUGGUUUUAAUCAAUAUUAUUAUACAAAAAUAUCCAACUCGCAUGGUAAAAAUAGAGGAUAGGAUAAAUGGUGGAAAUUAAUUAACUAAUUAAUUAACUAAUUAAUUAGAAAUAUCAUGCAUGUUGGCUACUUGGCUUUGGGGCUUCUAUCUCCAGCUAACUCUCCGAAUUGAACGGUACCUGAUGUUCCUACUUGCUUUGAUGUGGGCCAUAGUAAACAAUCCCAGUUGAUGAUUAGUAGUGGGGCGAAAAUAAUGUUUGAGACCACAUUGUUUCCUUUUUUUUGUUUAUAUCAAAUUAACCUUUUUUAGAAAAAAAAAUAGAAAAAAAUUUAUUUUACUUUAUUCUGAUUUAGCGCAUUUUCACUCAUCAUCACAUAAAACUGUAUUGUACUUUUAUUUUUAUUUUACUGUAAGAAUCUAUUAUCACAUAGAAAUUUUUGGUUUUCAAAGAAUUUUACUUUACUAUUCUGUUUGAUAGUGAAUUUUUUUUAAUAAAAUAAAAAAAAAAUUCUAGAAUAGAUAAGUAUAGUGGUUUGAACAAGAAGAUAAUAGAGGGGCAAACUAAAGUCUACACCCAAAAAAUGUGAUGUUGAAGACCGUUUUAUAUCUAAUGGUUUAAUUUCAUACCGAGUAUUUCGAUCUGUUUGAAUGUUAGAAUAAGUUAUUUGGUAAUAAUCGAGAAUUGCUGAAUGAGAGCAUAAAUAGCAUCUCUAGAUAAAUAAAAAUAAUUGUGGAAUAAAUAAAAAAAUAAAAGUAAAAAGUAAAAGAGUAAAAGGUGGAGAAAAUUAAACACAUUACAAUUUACCACAGCUGUAGGGGUGGGCCCCAGCGUGUAGAGAGAGAGAGAGAGGGGGGUGGGGAGAGGUGCGAAACGUGCCGGGCGAUUAUCGCGGAUCCCACGGAAACCCUCAACCGCCACCCAAACCCACUCUUCAUAAACCCCACAACCGGCCCAUGUUAGCAAUUAUUUUUUUGUUUUGAGAGAUAGGUAGUAUGAUACUCACUUCGCUUAUUUUAUUUAUAAAUAAACUUAGCUAAAAAUGUGAAUCAACUAAAAUUUAAAUUUGAAUUUCGGAUACCAACCACCAAGUUAUUUUCCAUUUAUUAAUCCCCAAUUAUUAAUCCUCAAAAGAAGACAAAAGAAGAAAAAGCUAAAGAUGUGUUGGAGAAACUCCGCAACCUCUAUUACGACUGCGCUUGAAAUUACCUGCUCAAUUUUUACCAGUUUAACUAUAUUUACUGUUAUAUUAAUUUAUCUUAAUUAGACUACUCUAUUAUAUGAAAAUCUCUAGAGAUACCGACUGUCUAGCGCAAGUGGCAAAAGGAUUGAUUGUUGGUAUCCGAGAUCUCAAGUUCGAAUCUUAGUUCAUUUAUAUUUCUUGCUAAGUUUAUUUCUAAUAAGAAAUAAAUGAAGAAGAUAAUAUACUACCUUUCUCUAAAAAAAACAAUCGCUAGAGAAAGAGAAGAGUGAGAUUUAGGGGUCCUUUUGGUUCAACAUAGUUAUAACUGCACUAUAGUUGUAACUGAUUGCAUAUCAAAAUCCAACAUUUAUUUUGAUGCACUUGAAUUCAGGUGCCGUAACUGUAACUGCAGGAAGAGGCUCACGCUCAUCUAUAUCAAUUAAAAUUAUGUCCAAAUUAGCUGCAAUUUUAACUACACUAUUUGAACAUAGUGAUUUUCAAUAUAGCUAAUUAUACCUCUCUAAUAAUUUUUUAAAUAAUUUUUUAUCUUUCAUCCACAGAGGUAAUCUCACCAUCUCAUAUAUAAAAUAAUAAUAAUUCGUAAAUGCAUUUCUCAACUGCAUAAAACUAAAUAAAGUAGUGAUACAUACAACACUUUCUACUACAUCCAAUCAAAUAAAAAAUAUAUAAAUAUAAUUGAUACAUGUUCAACCUCAUGCAUCUCUAAUUAUGCUGCAUUUAUAAUUACGUAGAACCAAACGACCCCUUAGUCCCGCAAAGACGGCAACAGCAAUACAAAGGAAAGUCAAAGUUGAGUCUAUUCUUUUAAUCCGCAGCAGCAACGCGAUCGUUUUAUUUUACAUAGACUUCAUGCACUCAUCAACUGUUAAGACACAACAAAAGUUUCUAAUUUUUUUUAAUUAAAAAAAAAAAGAGCAUGUAAUGAAAAUAAAUUGAUAAAUAGAAGGUAUAAAUCAAAAUAGUAAAAUUUGAGAGGAUAAAUUCAAACUUCUCUAAAGUGCAGUGGAUCUCCAUACAUUUCUUUUUCCCAAUAGAAAACUGAAGAAGAUGAGUUAAUUAAUUGAAACAAAAGAUUAAUUAAUCUUGGUUAUUUUUCGUCAUUAGUUAAACCAUUUCUUAGCUAAUUAACAGUUAAUGAAAGAUUGGGCCGGGGAAGGAAUCUAAUUUGCCAGGUGGCGCACGAUUCCAAAAUUUCACACCUGCAUGAUCUCCCGAGACGAUAAUGAUUGAGGUCGCCUCGAAUGAUGAGGGAGUUAAAAAACAAAAAGUUAAAAAAACCCUGAUUAGAUUAAAUAAUUAAUGUAGUUUAGUAAUUAACUAAUUAAUUAGUUUAAGAGAUGGUGGAGAAGGAGAUGCAGUAGAAUCUGGGGAGGAUUUUUUGAAUGUAAAUAUUAAAAGGUAAAUUUCAAAUACCAUUUCUGUGAUUUCGCACUUUAUCAUUUUAGUAUUUUAUAAUUUAAAAUGUAUCAAUUUAGUAUUCUGUAAUUUUAUUUUAUUUCUUUUCGUCAACUUCUACUCUAUCUAUAGUUUAUUGAAUAUUUCUUUUAGUACCCUUUAAUUUUAAUUCUGUCACUGAUUUAAUAAAAAAAAAAUUAAUAUAGAGAAUAAUAAAAAGAGAAAAAUAAAAUAAUAGGGCACGAACAUGAUACACUUUAAACNUGAAAGCUUUCCAAAGAAGAAAGAAGUAAAGAUACUGGCUUGACUUUUUAGCUUUCACUGCGGAUAGACUUUUUUUUUUUUUUUUGGAUUGUUUGUUUGUGUUCACAACUAUAAAUGGUGGGGGUAGAGGAUGCGGACUGAGUUAUUACGGUGGGACCCACGGCCCCGGAGCUCCACCGGAUCAGCCCAAGUAAUAAUAGAGUCCCCCCCUCGCUCAUCCCAUCACCUCUCUCUCUCUCUCAUCAACUCUAAUAUACUUUUUAAAUUUUAGGUAAAAUUUACUCAAGUUCUUAAACUUUUAUUAAGUUUAAUAACUAAUAUUUCACUGAUCGUUCCUAGCACAAGUAACAAAAAAUUUGAUAAUUGAUACUCGAGAUUCCAGAUAAUUCGAAACUCAAUUGCUUCACAUUUUCAGCUAAAUUUACUUUUAAAAAUAAAAUUAAAAAAGUAGGUAGCAUGCUAUCCUUCUCUCUAAAAAAAAACGUUCACAUUCCAAAUAUUUAGUUGUGAUUUAUUUUAUUCUUUCGGGAGAAAAAAUACUAUGUUUCAGUAAGAAUGAAUUUAUUGGUUCGUAAAUUUGAAUAAAAAUAUCGAUAUAUCAGUAAUAUUCUUUCAUCCAAAAUUGCUCUGAGAGCUCGAAAACUAAAGUGAAAUCUAUGAUAUUUUUUUUGUGAUUAUUUUCAUGGAAAAGCUCUAAUUGUCCUUCAUCCAUCUCUCCUUUUCCCCUCUCUUUCUCUCUCUUUCUCUCACUUAACUUNAAAGUUAAAAAAACCCUGAUUAGAUUAAAUAAUUAAUGUAGUUUAGUAAUUAACUAAUUAAUUAGUUUAAGAGAUGGUGGAGAAGGAGAUGCAGUAGAAUCUGGGGAGGAUUUUUUGAAUGUAAAUAUUAAAAGGUAAAUUUCAAAUACCAUUUCUGUGAUUUCGCACUUUAUCAUUUUAGUAUUUUAUAAUUUAAAAUGUAUCAAUUUAGUAUUCUGUAAUUUUAUUUUAUUUCUUUUCGUCAACUUCUACUCUAUCUAUAGUUUAUUGAAUAUUUCUUUUAGUACCCUUUAAUUUUAAUUCUGUCACUGAUUUAAUAAAAAAAAAAUUAAUAUAGAGAAUAAUAAAAAGAGAAAAAUAAAAUAAUAGGGCACGAACAUGAUACACUUUAAACCAUAUGUUACUAAAGUAAGAAAGUAUAAAACUAUAAGGGUAAUAUUUAAAGUUUUUUCAAUAUUAAUUAAGGAUAUCGUUUUCUAAUAAUUUAAGGCGGAGAACAAUGAUUAUUUCACAAAGUUAAAUUUUUUUUUUUGUGAUUAAUAUAAUAAUUAAAUUUUAUCCAACAUAGUGAGGAGAUGUGGGGAUUUUUUUUUUUUNNNNNNNNNNNNNNNNNNNNNNNNNNNNNNNNNNNNNNNNNNNNNNNNNNNNNNNNNNNNNNNNNNNNNNNNNNNNNNNNNNNNNNNNNNNNNNNNNNNNNNNNNNNNNNNNNNNNNNNNNNNNNNNNNNNNNNNNNNNNNNNNNNNNNNNNNNNNNNNNNNNNNNNNNNNNNNNNNNNNNNNNNNNNNNNNNNNNNNNNNNNNNNNNNNNNNNNNNNNNNNNNNNNNNNNNNNNNNNNNNNNNNNNNNNNNNNNNNNNNNNNNNNNNNNNNNNNNNNNNNNNNNNNNNNNNNNNNNNNNNNNNNNNNNNNNNNNNNNNNNNNNNNNNNNNNNNNNNNNNNNNNNNNNNNNNNNNNNNNNNNNNNNNNNNNNNNNNNNNNNNNNNNNNNNNNNNNNNNNNNNNNNNNNNNNNNNNNNNNNNNNNNNNNNNNNNNNNNNNNNNNNNNNNNNNNNNNNNNNNNNNNNNNNNUUUUUUUUUUUUUUUUGGAUUGUUUGUUUGUGUUCACAACUAUAAAUGGUGGGGGUAGGGGAUGGGGACUGAGUUAUUACGGUGGGACCCACGGCCCCGGAGCUCCACCUGAUCAGCCCAAGUAAUAAUAGAGUCUCCCCUGGCUCAUCCCAUCAACUCUCUCUCUCUCUCAUCAACUCUAAUAUACUUUUUAAAUUUUUAGGUAAAAUUUACUCAAGUUCUUAAACUUUUAUUAAGUUUAAUAACUCAUAUUUCACUGAUCGUUCCUAGCACAAGUAACAAAAAAUUUGAUAAUUGAUACUCGAGAUUCCAGAUUUGAAACUCAAUUGCUUCAUAUUUUCAGCUAAAUUUACUUUUAAAAAUAAAAUUAAAAAAGUAGAUAGCAUGCUAUCUUUCUCUCUAAAAAAAAACGUUCACAUUCCAAAUAUUUAGUCAUGAUUUAUUUUAUUCUUUCAGUAGAAAAAAUACUACGUUUCAGUAAGGAUGAAUUUAUUGGUUCGUAAAUUUGAAUAAAUAUCAGUAAUAUUCUUUCAUCCUAAAUUGCUCAGGUAGCUCGAAAACUAAAGUGAAAUCUAUGAUGUUUUUUUUGUGAUUAUUUUCAUGGAAAAGCUCUAAUUGUCCUUCAUCCAUCUCUCCUUUUCCCCUCUCUUUCUCUCUCUUUCUCUCACUUAACUUUUUCUUUUUUUCUUUUUUUCUUUUUUUUCCUUUCUCUUCCUAAGACAUUUCUUUCACACGGCUCAUUUGCAUUAUUAAGAGGAAUCAAAACAGCAACAAUGAGAAUACAUGUGCCUGAAGCUGAUCUCGCAAUCAUGGCCGUACACGAAAUUGGAUUCCCAGUUACGAGUAGUAGGCACCCACAACGUAGACCCGGGCCAUGUAAAUAUAUCUCCAUCCAUCGUUGCUUACUACUACUACUAAUUAUGGGGCUCAUUAAGGAUACGGAUUGAGACCGUUAGAACUUAUUUUUUAUUUGAAUUUGAAUUUAAAUUUGAAAAUUUGAUUUGAAACGAAUAAAAUUUAGCUGAUUCGGUAGUUUGAAUCGUUUUAUGAUCUCCUCAGUCAUAUGCUGGAGUGGUUUUAGUCGAUUUAUUUAAAUUUACUAUUUAGCCUACAUUCAAGCGAAUAAAUUACAUUAAUAAGCUUGUAAUUUCUAAUUAGAUUAUAAAAUUUUAGCACAUAAAAUUAAAGAUUAAUUUCAUACAGGUCCCUACAAAAAUAGUAAAUUAUAAAUAUAUUCCUACAAAGUUUAACUUUUAUAUAUUAUCCAUACAAAAGUCUAGAUGUUUUCAAAUAUAUUUCUACCGUUAGGAUCCGUUAGAAAAAAUUUGUAACCAUAAAUGAAUUGGUCUUUUUAUCCUUCCUUAAUUAAUAGUUGGAAUUUUUGAAAUGACAUAUUUAUGAUGGUAAAAAGGUCAUUCCACUUAUAAGAUAAACAGUGCUUUAACGGUAACAAACCAGAGGAGAUAAUAUAUGAAAGUUGAAUUUUGUAGAAAUGUAUUUAUAAUUUACUAUAUUUGCAGGGACAUGCAUGAAAUUAAUUCUAAAAUUAAAGGGGAGGGGUUUCUUUGAGAAUAGCAUGUAGUUGAGGGGGUCUCUCUCUAUUCGCUUACUUGAUGGUAAAAAUCCAAAUUAACCCCUCUAUCUAAAUAAUUAAUUUUUUUUUUUGAAAAAAAUAAAAAAUAAUUUUGGAAGGGAAAGAGUAACCGAAACGGAAAGCUUUCUCCCAUUUGAUGCCAAACCGAUGGGGGGUCUAAAAAGUUGUCGUGAUCUAAAGAAAAACAAAUUCAGCAUCUCAAAUGGCGAAAAUGCCCUCCCCGCCAGGGCUUUUAUAGCGCAGAGAACGCCGACCUCCAGGGGUAUUUCCGACAUUUCGACGAGCCUGCCAGGUUGUUUUGGUUCUUCACGGCACUCCACUCUAAAAUUCGGCGGCACGACGAGGAUUUACUUUUCUUUUUCUAAAUUUUCAUUUUACAAAAAUCAUAUAUAUAUAUACAUUUAAAUAAAUGAGUUAAUUUCAUACAGUUUUCUACAAACAUAGUGAAUGAUAAAUAUAUCCGUACAAAUAUUUUCAAAUAUGCUCAAUUGGUUUAUUACUGUUAGAGAAUUAUUUAUAAUUUUAAUUAUAUCAUCACAAUUAUAUUGCUCCAAAAAUCAUAACAGUAUAAUAUAAGAGGGAUAAGAAUGUCAAAAACUAAUCAGGAUUAAGUAUUCAAUCUAUGGUUAACUAAACUUUUUUUAAAGGAUUCUAAUGGGAAGGAUAUAUUUGAAAAUAUCAGAAUUUUUGUAAAAACAACAUAUGAAAGUUGAAUUUUGUAGUAAUAUAUUUGUCAUUUACUAGAUUUACAAGAACCUGUAUGGAAUUUACUCUAAAUAAAUUUACAGUAAUUUGAACUACAUGUAUUAAUAUAUAUAAUCAAAUUUUUACAUGGCACAGCGUAUAAUUUGAAAACUAUGUUUACAAACGCAUUAAUAACCUUAUAUUUUAAAAAAUUACAUCAAUAGUAUAUAUGUAAAUAUUUUUUUUACUUGAUUAUUGCGAAUUUAAACCUACUUUCAUUAUAAAUAUACUGUUAUAUAUAUUAUUUUUUUUAAAAAAAAAUUUCAAAAAUAAAAAAGAGUGGAUAAAUAUAAGAGGAGGUAUUCCAUGGCUGUUCGAUUGGACGGCUGAGAACAGCCGCGAGUCCACCGGUGAUUUAACGGGAGAGGCAGCGAGUACGACAGCGGAUCCUGCGCCGUCGGAUCUUAAUCAUGCGGCGGUUACGGAAAUGCCUCCGAUGAUUUACCAUCCCAGAUCCGGGACAACUUUUCAAAGCUUGACGUGUCGCAAAGCUGGCCCGUGUUGGGCGCCCGGGUCCAGCUCGUGUAUGGAGGUGGGGGUCAGGCGUUGCAACGUUCACGUUCGAUGGGCUCUCCCUGAACGGGACCACUCAAAAUUUUUCAUAUAAUAGUGUGACACUUAUUAUUAGAUCUCGUAAAUAACAACAACAACAAUAAUAAUAAUACUAAUAACAAUCAUUCGCAAGUAAAAUCCACUUCUCAAAGCACCCAUUUUCACCCCCUCGUGCUAUUGUAAAAUAUGAAAACACAUAUUAGCUAGAUAAUCUGUCUGGUCACGCUGUAAAAUAUCGUAUUGCUAACUAGGUAUUAUAUAAAUAGUUAUUCUAUAGCAAGAGCAAAAAUACUAAAUAAAAGAAUCCAUUUUCGGACUUCUGAAUCUCAUUUCUCACAUUGGCUGUAAUAAAAAAAAAUAUAUAUAUAUAUAUAUACAUAAAAACACUUGGCUGUGCUGUUUGUUAAAAUGUUUUGAGAUUGAAAGUAGCUGUUUCUAAAAGUAAAAAAUAAAAGCUGAAUACGCACACGUGAAAGAGGGUGAUUCUUAAAUUAGGAUGAUUCUUAAAUUGGUUUAUGUACAAUUGUACAAAUGUGAACGAACGACUGAAAUAUUUUUUUUUUUUUCGGUUUUGUUAUUUAUUUUUUCCUUUUGCUAUAAGAUGUGAUAACUGAUAAGUCACCUCAGGAAAGAAAAAUAAUAAAAAGAAUGAUUAGAAAGGACAUGGUUUGUUAAUAAGGGGUACGUGGCACGUGUGCAUGGGCUCUUCUAAUUAAUAAGUGUCUCUGCUGGAACUUUGGUGAAACGGAUCCUCUACAAUCGAGGUUGUAGAUUUUGCUGCAACCUCAUAAUUAAUUAAGCAACUAUUUAUGUUCAAUUUGUUUAUUCAUAGAUUAAUUUGGUUGAGUUAUAUUAUUUCAUUUAUAUACUUAAUUAAUGAAUUGGGCCUAAACUAAAAGAUUAAUUUGGCAUGACUACUUGUAGAUGAAAGCUUGAGAUGCAAAUUGUCAUUUUUAAAAUAUCAGAGCUACGAAUUAUCCUAAAGAGUGUAUUUUUGUAUUUCAAUAUCAAAAUAGAUGUGAUGACGCAGUUUGUGUUUUCAGUCAUAGUGGCUUUACUUCAAAAGAAAAAAAAAAAAGGAAAAAAAAUACAAUGAGCGAUGAACGACUUAGAUUGAACUUUGAAAUUGUUAUAUAUCGAUAAUCAUGUACCUGAGCCAAACUCUUUUGGCCAUUUGGGAUCACUAUAUCUAUUGCAAAAUUUUAUUUUAUUUUUGAAAAAAACAGGUAAUGCUUAAUAUUGAAGAGAAUGUGUGCAUUAGUAAAUGUUAUACCUAACAUUUAGAACUACUUUAAUUUUAGUGUAGCUGCAUAUAUGUUGUUAGGAGUAAAUUAAGAAGGCAUAAAUCAAUACCCAUGCAUGGAUCUAGAACUAUACUUUUUAUAUUAGUUUGGAGUGGGACAGUUAAUUAUGCUCCCAUUAUUGAUCCAUUAUUAUUCGACAUUUCAUAAUUAAUAUAUAUAGUUUGAUUAAUGUCAGUACCAAAGUUUUUAUCUUGAUACAAAUCUUAACUAAACAUUAUUUAUUACCCUGAUGCUAUUUAAAGAAUGUUACAGUCAAAUUGCUUUAAUUAAGUGAACAGCAUAAUUGUUGAUGAAUUUAUUGUCCACCUUACUUUGGUAACUUAAAAUUUUAAAGAUAUACAAUUAUUUUACAUUAUUUUAUAUAGUAUAUAUCAUCCUAAAUUCGAGUAUCGCAAGGCUUCGUUAAUUUAGGGGCAAUUUUGUUAGAUAUAAUUGUAAAUAUAGUAAUAUUGAAUAUACAUAUAGUUGAAAAUGCAGCAAUUACAACUGCAACACCAUUUUUUUGGGUGAAUAUAGUAAAAAAAUAUUGCAACAAAAUAUAUUUUUUUUGAUUGUAUGCAGUUAAGAAAAUAUUUUAUCGCUAUAUAUAUAUGGUUGUGAUAUUACACUCAAUGUAGAAAAAAAAAAUUUUUGUUUAAAAACUAAUAAGGGAGGUAAACGUAGCUUUUAUUUUUUUCUGAUUGCUACGUAACUUAAUUUCAACAGAUAGUAAUUGAAUUAAAAUGUAUCAAAUUAAACACUAUAUUUGAAAAUAUAUGCAGUUGUAGCUGCAAUAUAAUUUCAACUACAUCCAAUCAAACAACCCUUUAAUAUCCUUCUAUUUAUUUGUUCCACAUUUUGAGCCUAUCAAACUAGCUAUCUCAAGCACAAAUAUGAUAGGGAGUAUUGAACGUGCUCCGGUAGCACAAGUUUUUAGAGAUAAGCGACUAUUUUACAUUAAUUCUUUACGAGAAAACAGAAAAUCUAUUAAUUAAGAAAAUAUUUGUAGAUAGAUAUUAACAUAUACAUAUAUAUGUAUAUAUUCUUUAAAAAAUAGGCUAAUCUGUGUGUCUUUUUCCCUUGCUAUAAAGUUUUUCCAAUUAUACAUAUUAUUGGAUUUUUUUUUUUCCAAUUUAUAUAGGAGGUGCUCACCAAAUCGCUUUCUCAAAGAGAAUUACAACCAUGCCUUGAACUAUGCCUUUUCUUAUCGAACUUGUACAAGUAAAUUAGAUUGAAAAUUAGAGGUGGUAAAUGGAAAAUUAAGUAGCAAGAGGGUGAUGAAGGUGACCUCUUCCAACCCUACAGUUGCAAUGUUGUGACAUGUAACUUGUUCUUGGUCGGUCCAUAGAAGGAUACCAACAAAAAGUAAUUUGGUUCCAUUAGAUUAAGCUACGUACAAUUCGAUUUAAUUCAAGUUUAUUGGAACACCUAACAAGUCCACUGGGGCCACAUUAAUUAAUUUUUGAGGCUUUUAUUACUAUUAUUAUUUUCAUGAUCUUGUGAUCUGCAUGCAUCAAACCACUUGUAAAUUAAGUAUCUCUUAAUUACCUUGUAGGAUUUAGCCAAUUCCCAACUCAACCAACUGGUUAAUUUUUAAAGGGCAAAGAUUGCAUGGGUAACCCCUGCAUGUUUGUGACCUCGCAACUUAGUGCUUGUUACGCGUGCACGCCAUAUCAUAUAUAAGGUACAGUGCUAUCUGAUGAAGUGCUACAUGGUUUUUUAAGGAAAAGUACUGCAUUAAAAUCUCACAAAACAGCAUUUAUAAGUUGAAAUUUCAUCUUGAAGCUCUUAGAUUUGAAUCUUUGAGUUUUACAUUUAUUUUCUUCCACAUUAGAAAUAGUAGUAGCUCAGAAUCAAAGGAGUACUCCUUAACUCCUUAAUAUUUUUUUGUAUAAACAAUUUAAUUUUGUAGCUUUUUAACAUCUCACAAUUACAUUAUUCCUAAUUCGUAAGUAUCUUAAAUGACAUUUUUUUGGGUUAAUUUUAUACAAGUCUCUACAAAUAUAGUGAACUGCAAAUAUAUCUUUACAAAGUUCAACUUUCAUAUGUUACCUCUGUAAAAAUUCUAAUAUUUUAAAUAUGUCUCUCUGAUUUGUUAUCGUUAAAAUACUGUCUAUUUUAUAAGUGAAAUAAUCUUUUUACCAUCACAAGUAUAUCCCUCUAAAAAUUUCAACUGUUAAUUGAAAAAGGGUAAAAAGGUUAAUUCAUCUCAUUAACUAACCAUGUUAAGUAUUUAACUCGUGGUUAACUAAAUAUUUCUGACGAAUUCUAAUGGCAAAGAUAUAUUUGAAAACAUCAGGACUUUUAUAGGGACAACCUAUGAAAGUUAAACUUUAUAGGGAUAUAUUUGCAAUUUACUAUAUUUGUAGGGAUCUGUAUGAAAUUAACCUCUUUUUUUAGAAAAAGUUAGCAUGCUGCCCAACUUUUAUAUUUUUUAAUAAUAAAUUUCGCUGAAAAUGAGAAGCAACUAAACUUCAAAGUUGGGACUUCAAAUACCAAUCAUUAAAUUCUUUGUCACCUACGAUAAGGACAGCCAAUCUAAAUUGGCAACUUUAACCCUACUAUACGAAACCUUUAUGUCACAGUAUAUGUUAGACUCUCAUAUAUACCAGGGUUAAAUUAUCACUUUGCACCAGGGUAAAAAAAAAGAGGCUUAAUGCAGAGUAUGUUACUAUCAGGCAUAAAGAUUAUUUGGAUGUCAGAACAAGAAAAUUUUCUUUUUUUUUUUGAGAGAGAUAGGUAGCAUGCUACCCGUUUCGUUUAUUUCAUUUAGAAAUAAAAUUCGCUAGAAAUGUGAAUCAACUAGGAUUCGAACUUGGGACCUCGAAUACUAACCAUCAAGCCCUUUGCCACUUGCUCUAAAAACGGUUGGUAGAAAAAGGCCAGAAUUAUAAUAACAAAACGUAAAAAGCUUAGAAACUAAAAUUAUUCAAGUGAAAUAAAUUCAAAAACUCAGUUUACAAUAUCACAAAAGGUACAUCAAUACUCUCUCAUAAAUGCACAUAGUUACUUGAUAGAUGACUUAAUUAGUAGACAAAGAAAGUGAGAGAAGUUUAGAAAAAUUAUUUAGGUGAAAGAAUAUUCAAGUGCUUAGUUUACAAUAUCACAAGAGGUACAUCAAUACUCUCAUAAUAAAUGCACAUUAUUUACUUGAUAGAUGACUUAAUUAGUAGACAAAGAAAGAGAGAGAAGUUUAGAAAAAUUAUUUAGGUGAAAGAAUAUUCAAGUGCUUAGUUUACAAUAUCACAAGAGGUACAUCAAUACUCUCAUAAAUGCACAUUAUUUACUUGAUAGAUGACUUAAUUAGUAGACAAAGAAAGGGGGGGGGUGGGGGGGUGUGGGGUGUGUGAGGAGAAAGUUCUUGAAGCUAAUCAUUCUGUUUCAUUCCAUAAAUUGGACCCAUGUUCUCCCACCCCAAUCAAAAAAAAAAAAGAAGAAAAAAUAAAAUAUCUCAACAAGGUUAUGGCUAUUAAGCAAUAAGGAAAAGAACAAGCAUUAUUAGGGCAUCUAAACAUAUCCAUGUCACAUGAUACCUAAGUUUAAUUAGGCAUGGGAGCCAACUGUGUUACCCCCCUCCAUGUUCCCAUCCUCUUUGGCCUACCCAUGUGAAAAAACCUUUUGCAGAUCCAACACUUUAUAACUCAGCCAUUGUUCCUUGAUUGGAAAAGUUAAAGUAAUAUUAUAUACAUGUUCUAUCAUUAUUAUUAUUCUUAUAUUCCUAGGGUAGAAACAUGUAUGGGAGACUCCCCUCAACUAUACCCUCUAAUCCUUUAUUAAUCGCCAACUUUUCUAUGUUAAAAACUUCAUUAAAUUUAGGCACUGUUUAAAAUGCAUGAAUAUAUAUAUAAUGUAUAUCUCUUUGGUUAUUUAAUAAGCAUUUAGCACUGAAAAAAUGAGAAAUACGAUCAAAUAUCUAGAAUGAAUACUAUAUUACUAUAUCAUACUUCAUAUUAUUUUUCCGGUAUAUGACAAUUUUUUUUAGUAUUGGUAAUGAAAAUUAAAAUUUUUUAAAGAAAAAAAAUUAAGUUUUUUUGCGCUCUCUUAUACUGACAUCCAAACAGUAUCUUAAUUAAUAUUAUACUCGGCCUUUAAAUUAAAUUCUAACUUUGCUUAAUAAAGGUACUCAAUUUUAGCUAAAAAUUUAAAAUCAAACAACAUGCCAAUAAAUUUUAUAUAUAUAUAUAUAUAUAUAUAUAUAAAAUUGAGCUUCUAUAAAAGUACUAAGUUAUUGGUGCUUAUAGAUUUUUGACUAUUGGAUUAAGAGAUGUGUGGCUAGGAUGAUGUGGGCCUCUUAAGGUUGAGUGGGUGGUUGGUUAAAUAGUAUAAUCUAACGGUUAAGAAUGAUAAAAACCGUAGAUCUAACGGUAAAAAAUUUACAGAUACUAAGUGCUUGGUGCUUUUACAAGCACCAUAACCGGACUCAUAGAUAUACACAUUGAGGGCCCAUUUCAAAAUUUACUAUAGUUGAGGUGGUAUCCAUACAUUUCUGUAUCUUAUUGUUAUCAUCUGCUUUAAUUGGGCAUCUACAAAGUCAUCUUUGGCUUGGCUUUUUAACAAUAGGAGAGAGAAUAUACUGUACCCGGAAAAAAAUAAAGUACUCCACCAUGUGAGUGUACAAAAGCUUUGCGUUACUAUUCAACUGUAGAUGCUUCGUAUAGGCAAAUUGCAUAACAUCAGUACAAUAAAUAAAUAAUACUUUGCUGUGGAAGCUAACGUGGGUGACAUCAGAGCCGUUGAAAAGGUGUGGCUUUUAGAAUCCUCUGAUCUAUAGCCAGAGAGGUAUAUAGGUUGCCAUUAUAUAUAUAUAUAUAUAUAUGUAUCCAUGGUACUGUUUGUUGUAUGAGUUUGUAUAUGGAGUAACUUUAUUGUAAUUGCCAUGUGCAAAUUAAUUAAUUAAUUAAUUAAAAAGAAAAUAAAAGAGGUGACUAAGUAUGAGAUGUUGCGUGUACGAGAUUUUGUUUUUUUUGAAAAAAUAAAUAGAUAAUUUUAGGCUGUUAAAUAAUCAAAUUUUAUGAAAUUCAACGUUAAUGUUAUUUAAUUUAAACUAUUAAUUAUUCUUUAGCAAAUAAAACAGUAAUAGUUAAUGACUAGCAGCUAAUAGGUAGAUUAAAUUUAAUAAAAUUCUUAAUUUAACUAACUAGAAAAUUUUAAAUGGAAAAAAAAUCUUUACUCUCAAAUCUUUUCCUUCCAACAACAUUAAAAAAAUAAAGAAAAAAAAGCGAUCGUAUUUAGUGUAGUUGAUUAAGGACUUGAUAGUUGGGAUACUUCAUUUAUUUUUCAAAAACAAAUAAAGUGAAUAAUAUGCUAUUUUUCUCUGAGAGUGUUGCCCUUCUUAUCUUUUCUUUUAAAUAGAGAAAAAAUUAUUUAGGCAAAAGCAAUCACAAAGUCUAAACAAAAGAGAGCGAUAAUUAUCGACCGUUCCUAGCGGAAGUGGCAAAGGGUUUAGUGGUUGAUACCCAAAAUACCAAGUUCGAAUUCUAGUUGAUUUAAAUUUUCAGUUAAAUUUAUUUCUAAAUGAAAUAAACGAAACGAAUAGCAUGCUACCUAUCUUUCUCUUAAAAAAAAAAAAAGAGAGCAAUAGUAGAUCGAGUUUCUUCACAUUCUUAGCUAAAUGUGUACGAUAGUAGAUCAAGUUUCUUCACAUUCUUAGCUAAAUGUGUACCAUAUCUCUCUCCCAAAAAGAAAACAAGAAAAGGGAAAAAAAAAGAAGAAAAAAAGGUACGCUUCUUGCCCUUUCUUUAAAUGGAGAAAAAGUUGUUUAGGUAAAGAAAUAAAUAAGCAGAGGAAUCACAAAAUAUGAACAAAAGAGAGUGAUAAAUUUUAUAGAAUGGUGAUGAUUAUCCUACAGAUCAAGUUACUGUUGCAGCAUCUCUUUCUAUUGCUGUUUAGUUACAUUUCGAUUUAUGUUGAUCCAAAAUAGGGGUGAGCAUCGCCAGGUUCUCCUUUUAAAUAACCGAACCGAACUGAACCGAACCGAAAAGUUUGGCCGGGUCUGCCCGGUUUAUUUAGUUUUGAUAAAAUAUUUUUAUUUAAUUUAAGUCUUUUUAAACUACUAAAACUAAAAUAUAAUCGUGAUUAAUUUUAUGUUAACAAUUAUUAACCUAAGAUGAUAAUAAUUAAGUAUCUCUAAUUAUUUUAAUUAAUUUUAGUUCAUUCGAUUUAUUCGGUUUUUCUUAUUCUUUACUUUUUAGAAUCNAAGUAUGUUUACUGUUCAUCGGCAGCGAAAUGCAAUGAAAAUUGGCUCUUUGGAUGCGACGGUCUUCGCGAGCCUAAAAGAAAAUUCAGGGGUCACGUAUGGAUGAUGCAUCUUUUAUUUAAUUAUGUUGUUAAUUAAAUAUAGGAGCAAAAAGAAAAGGUGGAAAAAUUGAUAAAAGAAAGGAAGAUAAACGCAAACUUUGGAAUAUACAGUGGGUUUUUUUUUUUAUCUUUUAGUAUAAAACAUUUACUACUUUUAUAAUUUUAUAAAAUAAGACCCCUUUUUUGAUUUUUCUAAAUUUUUUAAUUUUUUGACUAAAAUAUUUUAAUUCUCUUUCUCCUAGCUUUUUUUUCUCCUCCCUUUUUCUCUCAAUCCUCUUCCACCGUCUCCACAUCGCCUAUCUCAUCUCGCACACGAACGAAAGGACAAUAAGGAAGUUUGACUCAUUUGUGGCCGUGGUCAUUCUCGGCGUUCUAUGACAAGACCGUCGCGGUAAAGACGAGGAUGGCGUUACUCGGAGUAUCGCCGGAGAUGAAAACGGAGGUGGCGGAGGAGAAGGGCAAUGACAGCCAAUCAAGAAUGUUACUGUACAUCAAUGAAUAAAGCAGGUAGCGUGCUACCUAUUUUCAAAAAAAAAUGCUACUGAACAAGUUCACGGGCGGGUUCGCAAACAUGGUCAUAAUGGCGAAGUGGUGGUAACGGUGAUAGAGAAAAUUUUGGCAGGCGAUACGAUAUUAUACUAUUUAAAAAAGAUGCACUAUUCAAACAUAUUUUGCACUAUUUGAUAUAUAUUUUAAACUGUAAAAUAGUGCAAUUUUUUUGGCUAAAUAGUAUAACUUUUUAAUAAAUAAUGCAAUAGCACCGUCUAUCAGAUUUUUAAAAUUCUUGGCUAAAUUAUUAAAAAUAUCCCUAUCAAGAAUCACUUUUUCACUUUUCCUCCCUGACUUUAAAAAUCUACCUUUAACCCUCUCAAAAAUUAAAAAAAUAUUCACAAGGGUUAUAGUAUUAAUUGUAAUAAUUUAAUGAUCACCAAAUUGUCCUCUCUCUCAUUGUCUCCUUGCCACCCCCUCUUCAUAGGGAUGUCAAUAGGUAUGCAUAUCCGAAAUUUUAUCCGAAUCCGAAUCCGAAUGAAACGGAUAUAUCCAAUGGAUUCGGAUAUGGGUAUAAAAAAAAAACCCGACGGAUAUGGAUUUUGAUUGUACCCGAUCCGAACCCGAAUUUAUUUUAUUUUAUAUAUAUAUAUAUAUAUAUAUAUAUAUAUAUAUAUAUAUAUAUAUAUAUAAAUUUAAUGUUAUAUUUGAAUUUGUAUUUUAAAAAUUUAGAUUUAAUAUAAUAUAUUUUGAAAUAUUGAAAAAAGAAAUAAUUAUUUCGGGUUCAAAUUAUCGGGUUUGGGUUUGGGUUUGGGUUUCCAAUUUUUGGUCAGGUUCGGAUUUGGAUAUGGAUUUUUAAAAUCCGUCGGGUUCGAGUCUCGGGUUUGGAGUCGGGUUCGGGUUCGGAUUUUGUAAAAUCCGCCCCGAAUCCGACCCGUUGACAUCUCUACUUCUUCAUCCACUGACUCUCCGCUGAGCUCCAUCCUUCGACCCGGCGUGCUCCGCCGACCCAGCGUGCCUUUUCCUCCUGCUCUCCCAGUGGAAGACCUUGGACGGCGUGUAGUGUGAGUGGGCCGAGAAAAGCGACGAUAGUGGAAAGGAGGUCAAGGUGGGUGCGAACAGAGAAGGGGGCAAGGGUGAGGCAGCAGAGAAGGGUGAGGGCAUGGCCGUGGGCAGGGGACUUGAGCUUGCCACAGAGGGAGGAGAGUAGCGAGGCGGCGCGGCCAAGGAUGUCGGUGAGGCGGGAGGCGGUACGGCUGAGAGAGGGUUCUAAGGGUAUUUUGGAUAUAAAAAAAUAUAAAAUAAUAGAAUAUAGACGGAAUUCUGAUAGAACGCUGAUGUCAGGUGCCAAAUUGAACAUUUCUUAUUUUUUUAGGGGGUAAAAUAUAGAUUUUUAAAAGUCGGAAAAAGAAAGUAAAAUAGCAGAUAUUGACAGGAGGUUUUUUGUAAUUUAGCUUUUUAAUAAACAAUGCAAUAGCAUCGUCUAUCAAAAUUUUUUUUUUCUCUCACUGCCGCCACUACCUUGUAGCCGCCAAUUGUGCUCACGGCAGACAUGCUUCAGAAGCAUUUUUUUGACCAGCGAUCAUUACCCUCCUCUUCUACCACCUUUGUUUCCGUCUCUGGCAAAGCGCUGAGAGGCCACAAUGACGAGCCAGUCAAGUUCACCGUGUUCCUCUUGCUCGUGAGGUGUUCAUGACGUGAACGCGGCGAAGAAGUUUGUGUCAAGGCAAAGGAGGUGGAUAAACGCUCGAGACUGUCGGUGGCGGUGAAAAUAUCAUUCGCGAGGUGAGGGAGUGAUGGGGUAUUUAACUGACACGAGUAUUUUGGCCAAUUUUUAAAAAUUUUGACCAAAAUCUGUAAAAACGAAAAAUGUUGUCCACUUUGCAAUAAUGCAAAACUAGUGAAUUUCUUUUUUUUUUUUUGGCCAAAAAAGCUUUUGUUUUUGUAAUAUUAGCUUGUUUUCAUGUAACUUUCAAAUUUAUGAUAUUAUUAACAAACUUUCGUGGUUUCUAAAAUCGUAGAAAGCCAAAUAAUAAUUCCGUUUCAAAUAGAAAAAGCUUCAGAUGGAGAGGUACCCCUACCAUUACAACCAAAAAAUUUUAAGCAAACACUUUCAAACUAAAUUUAUUUAAAUAGGAUUUUUAUAGAUCUAACAGAGUACUAGAACUGUCGUAGAAAGUACAAUAAUAAUAUAAAAAAAUGAUUACUUAUAUACUCCUGAAAAGUUUCUGACUUUCUGAUUUAUUUUUUUUAGAAGGUUAAUAUUGAAAAUAUUAUUUUUACGUUCCAAUCUAGCUAUUCAAAUAUAUCCAUAAAGUUAAAUUCUGUUAAUGAAUUGUUAGCAAUAGCUGUUAUCUCUAUAAAAUUUUUAUUUUUUUUCUUUCAAAUAUAUCCUUCUAUCAUCACCAAUUUUUUUUUAUUUGCGCCAAAAAAUAUUUUAAUUAUUUGUCUUUCCAAAUAUACCCUUCUAUCAUCACCAACAUUUCUUAUUUGCUCUUAAGUUAAGGACAAAAAAAGUAUUUUAAUUUUUUUUUAACUAUGUUAGAUAUUUAACUCACAUUUAACCCAAAUUAAUUUAACGGGUGAUAACUGUAUGAAUAUUUUAAAAUAAUGGAGGAAUAUAUAAAGGGUAUAUUAGAAAGAAAAAAAUAGUAGGAAUAAAUAAAAUAUUUUUAAAAUUUUGAGAGGUAUAUAGAUAAUUAUUUCAAAAAAAAAAAAAGAGAUAUAGGCUGAUUUUUUUUAUCUCCUUUUUGUUCUGAAAUAUUCUUGUUUGGUUCUUCUUUACUAGGUUGCGUUUGUUCUGAUAUAUUUAUUUAUUUUUUGUUUAAUUUAAACUGUAAUUUCAUCUUUAAUUGAAACUUAAACUCUUCAAAAUAAUAUAAUUGACUUUGGCCCGUUCUAGGCCAAAGCCAAUUACAAAAAAAAUAUAUAAAAAAAUAUAAACUCAUCUAUCACAUUUUCAAUUCUUACAGCAUUCACCUUCUGUCAAAUAAAUAGUACAACUAAAAAGAAAAGUUUAGUUCCACAACAAUAUCAACAAAUACCAAAAAAUAAUAAUAUUAAUAUUUUUUUUCCGAGAGGGAUGAUUUAUGUAAAUAUUUCUAGAAAUGCAGUACCUGAAAGAAAACGAUGUAUGUAUGGUAUAACCUCUUUUAUAUUAGUUACUUUAUUUUCUGCUGCGAUACCUAUAACAACUGUAGUGGAUAUUAAUUUAUAUGUGUGUACACAGAAUUUUCUAUAUACACGGCAGAUUUGUUGGUGAGCUCUAACUCCGUUCUAACUGGGGAUGUGACUGAAACUUUCAUUCAUCAAUAUAUAUAUAUAUAUAUAUAUAUAUAUAUAUAGGGUCCAGCUAUUAUACUAUUACGAGUACGAUCGUCCUCGUACUCAUAAGUUGUUUUUGAUGAUAGAGCUUCCGAAUCGACGAUCCAUACCGUUAAAUAUUAUUUACAGCAUUUAAAACUUUUAGAAAUCAAAUUUUAUAAUUUUUCGAUAUCAUUUACCUUACAAUCAAUCAAAAGGUCACAAAUUUGACAAUUUUUAACGGCCGGUAUGGAAUACUUGCUAGUUUAACGGUGUAAAAGAAUCGAAAUUUAUUGAAUUUUUGAUAGAAAAUUCUAUUCACUAUAUAGAUAAAGAUUAAUAACUCCGAUCUUGAAUUAAAGGAUCCGAUCAUACUUUUCUAGGACGUUGUUCGAUUUUGACCGUUCAUUUUAUGUCCGCUUGAUAGACUUUAUUAUGAUUUCAAAAAUUUACGAAAUUUAUUUUCUACAAGUUUCNGGAUUGUCGAUUCGGAAGCUCCAUCAUUGAAAACAACUUAUGAGUACGAGGACUCCAAUACUCAUAAUAGUAUAGUAGCCAUGGUAUAUAUAUAUAUAUAUAUAUAUAUAUAUAUAUAAACUAAAUUUUAGGUUCGGUUAAUAUAUAAAACAUGCGCUUGGAUGGUAACGUUGCUGUCGAUGCCUUGAAUUAUUUGACUCAACUCUCCGAGCCACCGACUACAUGCAUGGUUGAGUGACGCGGGAUCCAAACGUGACGUGUCCACUCAUUCGACCAAUCAUUGUGCGACUUGAGCGCAUUCAGAUUUUGGAGUGUCAUUCGAUUAAAACAUUUCGCAUUAAUUGCUGAAAGCGAAGGUCACACAGCUUACAACGACUCCGAAGCCCAUCUUAUAAGGAAAGAGGAAAGUGAUAUUACCGUAGCCAAAUUUGUAAGGGUUACGCCCAUUCAUUAAAUUCCAGCAAAUUUAGUCGGUAAAUAAUAGUUGGAUUUAGCGAUCGUUUAGCUAGAUGUAUAUAUUUCUUAUUUAAUUAAUUAGAUGCAGCAAAAGUGCUACAAUUACUUUCGUUAGUUGAAACUACAGAUAAUUUUCUUUCGUAACAAAUCAAAUGCCGUAUUGAGGUUCAGUUAUAAUUAUAUAUAAUAAUCAAAUAGUUUCUUAAUGAACCUAUCUACAAAUAUCGAAUUAGCUUUGCUAAUAACAUUAGCUUUCUAUAACAUGCAAUAUAUUGAUUACAAUUGCGGCUCGUUUUUGUAUGCCGAUCAAAUUUCGAGAGGCAUAGGAUGAAAGGAGAAUCGGUGAUAUGACACAAGCAGAAGUGGAAGCGCACCUAUUUGGAUGUGAAAAUAAAUUAUUCAGUAAGAACUUACGUAUUCAUAAUCAUUUAAUGCUCUAUCUAAUGUACCUAGUGUCCGUCUAGUAUAAAUUUUCGGACAUUUACUCGGAAUAGUAAAGUUAAUUCUUGUCGCUUUUUUAUUUUUCUAAUAUAAACAAAAAUUUUGAUUAGACAUGCUUAUCGAUGAAUUAUUUAUUUGUAUUAUUAAUUGUUGGUUAGCUUGUAAUGCAACCCGUCAGAUGAAACUGGAAAUUUACUAGUGAAAGAACAAAAAGAGAAAGAAAAGAGUUACUCUUCAUAUACAGAAUCUACAGUCCCCAUGCUUUAAUUUCCAUGUUGUGAAGCUUCUGCAUUGGACUCUACUACUUGCUGGGAUGCGUGAGAGUUCACACUUUUUCGCUCAUCUUAAUUCCUUUCCUAAGCAUCACGUUUUCGCCGACAUAUACCAUGUAGAAAUUUCUAUAAGGAAUUAUCGACACCUUGGGUGCAUGUAAAAGUCGAAUUAUCCACUACAAAUUCAAUGUAAGACGAGUUCCGGGACAAGCAGUGUGUGCAGCAAUUUGCUCUUCCUACAAUUAAAGGCAUUAACAGGUCGAUUUCGGCCAUUUAUGUUCCUGACCAAACCUAUGUUGUCUGGUUGGCGAUUUCAGCAAAUGAGCUGGGCCCUAAUCUCACAUCCGAAUCGCAAUCUGAUAGAAACCAAGUUCAAUUUUUCGAUUCGGGGUUCGCAUCGGGUCGAUGAAUUACGGGGGGGAGCUCGGGAUAAGAUCAUGUAUCUACGACCCUCACUAUUUGUUCCCUAUCCAUCCCCACAAUUGACACACUGCGAAAUCCGAAUCCCGCAGGGAAUUAAUACCCACUCAUUCCAAUAAAGAAGGAAUGUGAGCAUGUCUAUUUCAACUGGCACUAACCACACACACAUACCCACCUCCCCCCCCCCCCCCCNCCCCCCCCCCCCCUCGCCUACAAAUUGGUUGCAACUGCCAACCUUCACAUAAAGCAUGAUGUUUAUUGCAGUUGCUGCUGCUCCCUCGCUCCGCUUCAUUAAUGCUGCGCCCAUCUCAGCAUUACCCAUUUCCUUCCGGCAACAAUGUUAACUAUAUUCAAUGUAUCUGAUCUGUCAAUAUAUUUUUAACUUUGAAGUAAUUUAUCCUUACACGAAAUAACGUCGGACCAUUCUGAAUAGUAACUUGUAAAUUUUCAGCGAGAUCUACGGAAUAAAACUAGUGUGGUCCAGAAUUUGAUUACCCACCAAGCACUUAAAACUGCUGGUGCUCCAGUUGAUCUCCUACUGCCAAAGUAAAAGAGACAUGGGCUACAUGCAACUGUAAAAUGGAUGGGCAGGAAAUGGACAGAUUGCGAACCUUGAAAAUUAUGACCCUGCGAAGAGAUCGGCUCAUCAAUGCAUACCUCUCCGCACCUUCGAAGUACAAUAACCAAAGUCCGUAAGGCCCAGUGCAUCAAAUAAGGGGAAUGAUUAGGUGGUAAAGAAUAGGAUCUUAACAAUAUGAGGGAUUGAAUCUCAGUAACAAUAGAAAUGAUAUAAAAAACAUAUUAUUAUAAAUAAACCUGCUAAAUGGACAAAGUAUAAAGCCCUUUUCUUCAGCUAACAGUUAAAAGUUUAUUUUUAUAGCUCAUCGGUAAAUACGAUCCGAAUUGCAUUGAAUGAGACUUCAAGAAAUUCGGGUGAGGAGGGGCCAACAAAAUCAGCAAAUUGGAGUGAUGAUUACAUUGCACAACUACUACAAGAAGUACAACAAUCACAAAUUGGACAGCAAGCAACAGGAAAGUCCUUGCGAACUAGAAACUGAAUUGUCGUAGGCGUUAAACGAAUAAACGACAAGCUAACAUGGCUGAAAUAAGGAAUCCAUGAAUGACAGAAAAGAUGGUUUCAAAGUUUUCGCAGGUGAGGGGCAGUAAACUAUAACAAUCGUUGUUCGGAUAGUUAUGGAGUAGUUUAUAAUGGUUAUAUUUGUGAUGAAUAGUGAUCUUAAUAGAAUCAAACACAAAUGCAAUGCUCACUACUACAAAGAAUCAAAAGAAAAGAUAAAAGAACAGGAUCAAAAUAUUAUUCGAACAACCAUUUUUACACCUUUCCGUGCUGGUAUUGAACAAUAUUUUGUGAUUACCCGAGUGCAAGCUGAAAUGAGUAAUAAAUGACUUCGGAGCUGUUGUCAGUUUCCAGAAAGCAACCUCAAUGACACCAAUGUAGCCAGAGGUCUAAUCCGAAAAUGAACAUUGUCGAACCCUCUUUAUUGCAGCUUCAAACACAGGGCAUCUUCUUAUUUCUGAACUUAUAUAAGCAUCAGAUAGAGUACAGAACUCUUUCCCAUCAACCGAUAAUUGUAAUAACUAAUCACGAGAAAGCUUAGGAGUUCAUUUAGAACCGAACAAAUUUCAAUUCGGCCAAAAUUCCGCAUGACGUAACAUAGAAAAGAUAUUAUUUUUGUCAGACCCUUUUUGCAUUUGAUGUGGUGUUUAAGACUCAGCUGAUUAUAACGGAAUAGCAGAGUGAUCUUAGCCUCUCAGUGGGUUGACUCCAAAGCUCAGACCUAUAAUAAGACACAUGACAAGGACUAGCGAAGAAUCACUCAAUCAGUUGGAACAUACUUAUCAACAAAUCUAGAUAACUAUAAAGCAAGAUGUGAAAUUAUAACAAGAUCCAAUCAGCUGAAUAUCACCCUUCGAUUUUAUAUAUUCAGUAAUUUUCUACAUUUCCUUGUUGAUGUUCCUUGUAAUUUAUAUAUUACUUGAUUUUGAUAUUAGUAUAACGAAGAUUUAAUUAAUAUGAGGAACAAAAAAAGCAUAAAAGGGGAAGAAGUGGUUGAACUGUAUUCUAUGGAAAUUUUCCGCGCUGUUUGAGACAACAAAAAAGUUAAAGAGUUUCAGGACAACAAUAUUUCCGCGGCAAUGUUGAACAGCGAGGAAUCGAUAUGCUGAAGAAAUAAACUCAUGUAACGCAAUAAUGUUACGACGAAUGAUUGGGGUAAGUACUUGAAAAAAAAAAAAACGAAAUUCAUUUGAGGCCUGGUUUCAAAUUAUCCAAGCUAACAUAACAUGAAUUUUCUGCCAAAACUUUCCAACACUUUCCAACCUACUGGAAACUCCUUUGCAAAGGCUGUCGACUUUCAUGAACGCAUGUAAUUCAACCAAGAAAGAUGCUUGGUUUAAUUACUCCCAGAGAACUUCGCUGAAAAAGUUCAAUAAUUGGCAAAUUCGAAGAACCACAUGAGACAAGAAUUGAGGAGCCAUUACUAUCAAAGUGUGGUGCUAUAGAUAUGGAAGUGUUGAAAGGCUAGAGGCGUAAGCGUGUCGACGAAGUAAGUCAAUGAAAAGGAUUUGUAUCUGAAUUGCUUGUAUCCUAAGCUAGAAUUACACGAAAAGUUGCUUGAGAUGAAGUUAAAGAGAAUGAAAUAAGGAUUGACAGUACAGAUAGGACCAGAAAAGUAAGAAACUGCAGAAAAAUAAGAAACUCAAAAUGCUGUAUUCGCAAGGCUGAAAACUAACUAAAAUAGUGAACUGUUACUUUAGAAUUACUUUUAACUCCAAGGAACGGUUUGAUCAUUUAAGUGUAACUGGGCCUCUGUCACUCUACGGCCUAAAGUUACUGAUGUAUCAUUUUAUUGCAUUAUUUUUGUGUGCAAGGUAAGGUGAUAGAGCAAAAUACCAGGUAAUCUAAUAGCAUCAUUCUUCUAUUCUGGGAGGGGGAAAAAAAAUUCAAACAUCUGAUAAUCUUACGAGCAUAAUAUCAAUUAUGAUUGAAACUUCACGAGAUUUUCUUUUUCUACACUUGUCGCUGUUAAUUUUGUAAACCUAUUCAUUGAUUUAUGGGAAAACUUCAAAUACCCCACUUGUUGUUUCACUUUUUUUCACUUUAGUAUCCUGUGGUUUAAAAUGUAUCAAGUUAGUACCAUGAGGUUUUUCACUUUAUCACUUUAGUAUUCUGUGGUUUAAAGUGUAUCAAGUUAGUACCUUAUGGUUUCGCACUUUAUCACUUUAGUAUCCUGUCGUUUCGCACUUUAUCAGUUUAGUACCGUGUGGUUUAAAAACCACAGGGUACUAACUUGAUACAAAAAUAAAACCACAGAGUACUAACUUGAUACGUUUUAAAUCAUAUGGUACUAAAGUGAUAAAGUGAGAAAUCACAGGGUACUAACUUGAUACACUUUAAACCAUAGGGUACUAAAAUAAAAAAAUACAAAACCACGGGAGGGGUUUUUGAAGUUUUCCCUUGAUUUAUAAUCUCAUGAUUGAUAUUUUCGAAGUUCCAACAAGCAAGGAUUGUUGUGCCAGGCGACAAGACGCGCUAAUUUGUGUCAACACGUAUAAGAGGCUUCAAAGGGGUGACUAAAACCAUCCCAAGGCAUAGAACAAAUCAGAGAACGAGGGUUUGUUGCGACAAAUUAAAACAUGCUUUUUUCAAGCACCUAGAGAUACAGAAAAGCUAAAUGCAAAUAUGUGCACGCAAGGGCGCGCGUGUUCGUCAAAUCCAUCAAUUACACGAGCCACAAUAGUUAAAAAGGUGGUCACGUUAACAACAUUUUAGUUACUUACGACGAAUACACACGCAAUAACUGAAACCGAUCAGAAUCAUUCUAAGAAAAAUAUGUACAGUACAUACAAAUAUGUUAUUGUCUUCAUACAUAGGAUACUGUAGGUCACUGUGACCAGCGAAGACGAGGAGCAGCAGGUGUCGUAUCAUUAUUAACUCCUACAUGAGUACAUGACAAAGCAGGGCAAAAAAUUAAAUAACUCAUGAUGCUUAGCUAAAGAGGACGGUUCCCUUAUAAUUCCUUGCAAUUACACAAAAACCAUCCAAUUUGUCUAGCAUUAACUUGAAAAGCGACGAUUAUUUAGUGCUUGAUUUGGAAAUAAAAAAAUUUGUCCAAAAAAAGUAAGCCUAGAUGCUGAUAUCGCUAUAAUAAAUAUUGCAUUUAAGGACACCUUAAAUAAUAUCUAAUGACGUUUUAAAGCGUGGACAAGAAUAAUUCCGAUGCUUGUAAAAACAUCGAAUAAAGUGUCGUUAAGUAAAAUAAACAUAUCGGGAUAAAUAUACUGACGCUUUAAUAUUGCGUCGGAAAAUUUUUAUCAGCUUUUGAUAAAAAUAUAUUUUAUUGGUGACGUUUAAUUAUCGUGUCGGUAUAUGUCAAAUAUUGAAGACAUUAAAAUAAAGCGUCAUUUAAAAAGUACCGUUUAAAAUAUAUUUUGUUAGAGUGUAUGAGCCACCAUUUUGCUCUUGCUUCGGAAAGAAUCAGAAGCUAAUCCAAAAAGAUUCUCGUUUAAUAAGAGUAUAUACGGAUAUACCUCGCACACAAUUUGGGUUUGGGAAGGGGAUGUUGCCACAAGGAGAAUAAAUCCGGGAUUUUAUUAUUCAACCCGACCCGGCCCGGUCCAGUCCAGUUGGCCCAUUCAGUUUAGGUUCGAGCUCGAGUUCUCAAAUAUGUAUCUUCGAACCGGGCCGGUUUAAAACCAAAUAUUUGUAGGCACUUUUGUCGCCUUUUACUCAGUACAAGCGGAAGCACCAAUUUAAUUAUUUCUGGAGUCUUCUCUAUCACAGUUAUUUUAUAUAAUAAUUAUAUAAAACAUUUCUCUUGAUCAUAUCGUUUGGCAUCUAGCAUGGCAUAACGAGAUUGAUUUGAAAUUAUACAAGCAUAGAAAACUUCAACCGAAUUUCUUUCGAGCCUUCUUAAGAUUCGGACUCGUUUGUUUCGGCCAAUCUCCAACGCAAAACUUAGUUGAUUAAGAAGAUGUGAGAUCGUAGUUUGCAUAAAAGUUAAUUAGUGCAGUGCUUCCGCGAAAUUCAGCCACUAAACACGCUCUUUAGUUACUGAUCCAACGGCUAAGCUCUUAAAUCAGUGAUGCUUCUAAAGAUGCACUCCGACCUGAUUACCCGAUCAAGUUCCUGUCUCGGACCCAAUCUAAACUUGAUCUGGACCCAAGGACCCACCAUCCGUGUCUACGUUUAGUUUAAUUUUAUUGGAUCAGUACUUACUACAAAUCCUUCAAUUAAAUGUAUAUUCAUAUAUUCUUAUACAUGACAUUCAGAUCUUUUUUUCUAUAAAUCAUAAGGUAAAAAUGUAUAGAACUAAUCUAAGCUAUGGACCAUCUUGUAUUGACUAUCCAAUCUUUUAAAAUUUUAAUUUUACUAUCCAAUCUUUCUUUCUUUUUUUUUUUAUUUGAGUCGGUCCACGACACUUUAACUUGAAAAUUUCAAUGCAUUGUUUAUAUUUAUAGGUUUAGUUAGUAUACUUCAACAAAUUUCGCAACUAUAAGUUUAUUAAAAGAAAUAAUUAGCUUAAAUUUUAAAGUUAAAAUGUAAUUCACUAACUCAAAUCAAAAAUUGAAAGAUUAAGACUUAGUUUGGUAUUGAAAUCUAUCUAACGCUAUUAAAUAAAAUGGAGUUGAGGAAAAGGCAUAUAGGGAUAUGCUUCUGCGUUCUUCGGUAGGACCGCAAAAAAUAUAUCGUAACUGACUCAUCGCGAUAUGCGGAACGCAAUAUUACGUACGGAAACAAAUAGGGUAUUUUUUUAUCGUCCACACGUAACGCAAUCUCUCCGCAAUCCCAAACGAAGUCUAAAUAGUCGAUUCAAAAUGAUACGAAGUCCAUGUAAGUUCUAUACGUUUUUAUCUAAUAGUAAUAUUUAAUAUUCUCAUCUAUAUCUAUACCUAUGCAUUAUUUCUUAUAAAAUUUGCAUAGUUCCUCCUUCAUCCUUGCCUUGUCCUAUCUUCCCACUCCCUGAUACUUCGCCUUGCCACCCUCCAUCUCUUUUCAAUACUUUGUCUUCCCAUUCGUCAACUUUCUAAUUAAUGUAUUCACGUGAUUUAUUGUCAUCUAAACAAAUUGAUUUCAUAAAAAAAAAAAAGAAGAAGAUAUCUUUAUACUCUAUUUUUUAUAUUAUUUGUAUUUAUUGAUGUCUCAUUACAAGUCAAAAAAUUUUAAAAUUUUUACUUUAUUAAUCUUCUAUCUUUUAUAGUAUUUACCCAGCACAAUACGCAAGUAAUUUUACUAGUAUUAAUUAUUAGACUUAAAUUUAAGUGGUUCUGAUUCCGUCUCAACCAGUUUUAUACUUUUAUUUCUAUUUAAAUUUUUGGAUUUGCUAACUCCAAAACAAAUCCACUACACAAACCAACAAUUAUCACUGCAUCGAACUUCCUCGUGGAGCUCUUGUGCUCCUGAAGCCACUUCCCCCCUCAAAAAGUGCGUACUUUUGUUUUAUUAACUUUUUUUUUUUCAUGUAGCCAAAGUUCAAACUUCAAAGCCCAUUUUAGCCCCAUGCACAACACCUCGACAUUUAUCACAGUUCGUACCGUACGUCCCAAAAGGCUCCUUUUAAAUAAAUAAAUAACUCCGUGCUCUCUCUCUCUCUCUCCUCUCUCUCUCCUCUCUCUCUCUCUCUCUCUGCACCAUCUUCAACAACUGCAGCAGCUUUACCUUCGCCACGCCAAGAGACGAGAGAGUUAUUUACUUCAAGGGAAAUGCACGCUUUCAAUUUUUUAAAAUAAUAAUAUCUACGUCUGUUAUUUAGUACUACAAAGGUAAAAACAUAUAAAACUUACAUACUGGAGCUGUUUAUUAUUUUGAAUCUUUGACUCAAUUAUAUGACUAACUGCUUAAACUUUUAAUUUUAGUAACAAAUCUUUCAGUUUAUUUAAGUCAUUCGAUGGUUCUUUUAGUCUAAAACUUUAGUAAAAGGGUUAAUUGCAUACAAUUUCUUGUAAAUAUAGAGAAUUGUAGAUAUAUUCAUAUAUAUAAGUUCAACUUUCUUAUGUUAUUUCUACAAAAGUUGUAAUGUCUUCAAAUAUAUUUCUGCCGUUAGUAUUCGUUGAAAAAUUUUGGUUAAAAUACUUAAUCGUGGUUAGUCAAUGAGGUAAAUUAAUAUUUUUAUCCUUCUUAUAUUAUACCUUCUUCUUUCAAUCAAAAUCCUACCAACGAAAACUCUUCUUCUUCUUCCUCUUCCUCUCUCUCCUUCACGCUAGUUUUGAACCUGUAACUAGAAUUCCUCCGUCCCCAUUUAUCCACGACGCGUAUUGUUUCACCCAUGUCGAAUGUAUGUUGCUUUUCCCUUCAAUUUUUUCUAUGAUUUUUCUUAUUUUGCUCAAAAGAAAAGGUUUAGAAAAAAAAAGAGUGAGAGAAGAGAUUACAACAAUGGUGGAUUGAGUUGGAUUUUAAAGAAAAAAAAGAUGAUCAUUGAAAUUUUUUUGGAGGGAUAUCUCUGCAUGAUUAUAGCAAUUGGGGCUUUUGGAGGUAUAUAUUUGUGAUGGCAAAAUUGACAUUUCACUUAUUUAUUAUUAAAAAAUAAAUAAUUUUCUAACAGUAACAAAAUAGAGGGACAAAUAUGAAUACUAAUGGACUUUUGAAGGGAUAGCAUAAAAAAAAUAAACUUUAUAAGAAUAUUUUUAUAAUUCACUAUAUUUAAGGGAGUUGUAUGCAAUUAAACCUUAAUAAAAUUACAACUAUAUAUAUGAAUUACAUAAAAUAUAGAAACUAAUUAAGCCUGUAAAGAUAAUUGACGCAUUUAAAUUUUAAAAGUAAAAAGUUGUUAACCAGUUCAAACCAAAUAAAUUAAAAAAAAAAAAUUAGAUAGUAAAAUAAAAAAAAUUUACAGUUAGGUGGCUUAUCUUAUCAAAAUGAAUAAUAGUUAAGAUAGUUCUCAAUGCAUUUUUAUCAAUUACCAGUAUAUGGUGAUAAAUGCUUGUGGUAUUCUUAAACGAACAAAAAUUUUAUGGGCACAGUCCCCAAACUAAUUAGUUUGGGGACUAUGCGGAUCGGCGCCACGUGGCCGAUCCGACAACCAUGGAUCUCAGUUGUUUUUUCUCUCUUUCUCUCUCUAAAAACAUAGGAUUUUUUUUUUGUCUUUCCAUCUGUGGCUGUCGAAUCGGCCACGUGGCGCUGAUCCGCAUAAUCCUCAAACUAUUAGUUUGGGGACUAUGCCCAUAAAAUUUUUGUCCUUCUUAAAAGAUAUGCCUUCACAAUUAGAAACCUUCAUCUUAUGCAUAUCCGCACAUCAAAUACCGAAAAGAACAGAAUUUUGGGAAACAUAUAGCAAUGCUCUUUAAUCUAGAAUGUUGCUUUUAUCUUCUUCUUUUUUUCCAAAAAACGGUAGGCUUGCUGCCUGUUUUAUUCAUAGUGAAUAUAAACUGAACUGUAAAAAUGGAACAACUAGCCCGGAAAAUCAAAAACAUUCCGAACAAGAGCAGGCCAAAAAAAAAAAAAAAACGAUGGGUACCUACAAUAGAAACCUAUUAUAAUGUACCAAAUACAAGCUGAGAUAAUUUAUAACUGUCCACCAAAAAAAUCUUUUUGUUGCUAUGCUAGUAAUUUGGCCAUAUUGACUACCACCAAUAACUUUAUGAAUUGUUAUUGUUUUAAGAAAAAAAUAACACGUUAUCAGUUUUAUUCAUUUAGCAAAUAAAUUUAACUACAAGAGUUAAAUCAACAUGGCCUCAAAAUAUAUUAAAGAUAAACAAAAUAAAAAAUAGAAAUAAAAGCAAAAAAAAAAAUCGUAAAAAAAUUACUAAUUCUACUCCUCACUCAAAAUCAAAAUCCAGUCAUAGAAAAGUUACUUUUAUUGAUUGUUGAUAUAGUAUUCUUUCUACGAAUACUAUGUGUAUGCACCAAUAAAAAAGAUCCUUAUUUGAUAACGUCAAAGCUGAUACAUUAUAUUAAGUCGUAAUAUAAACCUUUUUAAUAAUAUUAAAAUAAAGAUUUUUUUUUUUUUGGUUUGGAAUACAUAGAGUGGAGUACGCUUAAUUUAAUGCAAAAGUGUUGGGGUGGAGAGUCGUGGGGAGCGGAUUACUAGGAACAGUACUGCGACUUCGGGAUUCCGGGCGGGCAAGAAGAAACCAAGAGGGAGCGGACGUACCCUCGCUCUUACAUUAGUUUGAAACUUUGCUACAGCACACAAUACUGUUUACGUCCUUGAUACAUACAAUAGUAAUAAGAUACGGAGUGGGCGGGUAUGCUUUAGAAAGUACGGAACCUUUCAUAUUUACAAAUUAUUUUUAAUAUUGUGAUUUUCGAAUAGACGACCGGCUCCGUUAGAAUUGAUUUAGAAUAUUUGAAGUAUCUAGAAAAUAAAUUUUGUAAUUUUUUGAUAUCAUUUGCCUAGUGAUCGAAGGUUCUCAAAAUCAAUAAUUUUAAUGACCGUAGUGAGUCGUUUGCAAGUUUAACGGUGUAGAAACAUUCAAAUCACGUGAAAUUUUGAUAGAAAAUUCUUUAUACUAUAUAGAAUAAGAUCAAUAACUUUGAUCUAAAAUUUUAAUGUCAUAUCAUCAUAUCUUGUAAGAUUUUUAUUUUCAGCCGUUGAUUUUGAGCCACUUCGAUCACUAGGCAAAUGAUAUCGAAAAAUAGCAAAAUUUAUUUUCUAGAUACUUCAAAUACUCUAUAUCAAGUCUAAUGGAGCCGAUCGUCGAUUCAAAAGUCCCAACAUCGAAAACGACUUGAAAGCACGGAGUGCUUCGUGCUUUCAGAAGCACACUAAACGCACUCAUAAGAUAUGAUCAAUAUUAGGUAAUAUUGCACCUUUGUCCCCAAAAUAUAUAUGAGUCUAAUGUUAAUUUCGUUCUCAAAGUUACAUUUUUUUUAGUACAUUCUGACUCGAAUUUUUAGAAUUAUUAUAGUUAAAUACUAUAAUCUAAUUUAGUGCGCUAAAUAUUAACAUAUUCUUAAUUUGGAUAUGAAAGUAUUGUAAUUGAUGAUACGACAAGAUUUAAAAUUCUGUGAGGUUGUCAACAAGCCGAAUACGAGCUAAUUUGCAAACAUAUAGUUAGAUUGUAUGGUCUACUACAAUAUGAAUUUUUAAAGAAAUUAAAAUUUUAAUUGAAAUUCACAAACUAUACAUUUUUACGUUUGGAUUGAUCUAAAAUUCAAAUAGGAAAAGUUUCUUACAUAUAUAUAGAGUUUGUCUUCUUAUAUAUAUAAAGGAGUCCGGCUACUAUACUUUUAUGAGUAUUGGCUUCCUUAUACUCGUAAGUUUUCGGCCCUUAGAUUUAUUUCAUGAUCAUUUCCACCCGUUAGACCAUACUAUUUAACCAACUACCCACUCAAUCCUAGGGAACCACUAUCAUUCUAAGUAGGGACCGUCAUCAUCUUAACCACACAUCCCAUCAAUGAACGGUUAAAAAAUUUAUAAGUAUUUGAGGUUUUAUACUCAUAAGAGUAUAGUAGCCACAGCCUAUAUAAAGCUAGGCUAUUAAUUAUACUUUUUAAAAUAAGAAAGCAUCCAUACUUUUAUGUUAUUUUUUAUGUGGGAUAUUCGAAUUAGCGAUCAGCACCGUUAGACAUGUUUACGAUGUUGGAACUAUUUAGAAAUGAAAUUUUAUUUAUUUUUAACUUUAUUUGUCUAGUGAAAAGCCUUGCUAGGGUGCUUCUAAUAGUACCAAGUACUUGUUGCUACCAAAAUUUUCACCGUUAAUUUUACCUCUUUAACUAUUUCCAUCUGAUAGAUUAUACUAUUCAACCAACUACCCACUCAAUUUUAGGAGAUCAUCCUAACCGCAUAUUCUUUCAUCUAAGGGCUCAAAAUUUAAUAGCACGAAUGACUUAGUGGUAUUAGAAGCAUUCCAACCUAAUUAUAUAUAUUCAAGGGCUGAAAAAAAUUAAAAGCAUCAAAGAGGAUCUAAUGACCAAAGAGGAUAGAUUCAAGGGCUGGAAAAAAUUAAAAACACCAAGGGCCCAGCUAUAUACGAGCUAUGUUGAGUCGAAUAUGAGUAAGCUUAUCCUACUUCGCGUUUUGCUCAUUAAGAUUUUGAGUUAAGAAAUUCAGCUCGUAGCUGGCUCUUGCUAAUAGCGAGCUACAUUGCCAAACCUAUAUGAUACAUCACUUUUAUAUCAACAAUGUGCAACAAACUAAAUUGUGUUGUGAGACCUGAGUCUAAUAAUUCUAAAAAUUCGUACUAAAAAUUGUAACAAAUUAUAGUGUGAUAGCCAUUGUGUCCCCGAUCCCAUAGUUUGAGGACCAAACCUGUAAUUUACCCUGUGAUAUUAUAUGUGAUAUUAUUAGUUGAAUUAUACUACUAUACUAUCAAUAGUACCAAGUCCUUGGUACAAUUGAGUUUUCAACAGUUGGAUGAAAGGAUGUGCGGUUAGAAUGAUAGUGGUUCCCGAUUAAAUUGAUAGUGGUCCCUUAGGGUUGAGUGAGUGGUUGGUUUAAUAGUAUAAUCUAACGGAUAGAAAUGAUCAAAAGGUAAAUCUAAUGAUAAAAAAACUCAAUAGUAUUAAAGACUUGUUACUAUCGAACAGUAUAGUAGCCGGACUCUUAUUAGUUUAUACAUUGUAUUCUUCUAUAUAUGGUUUGUUAUUGCAGUAAUAUACAUUGGAGGGCAAAGAUUUGACGUUUACGUGUUGAAUUGGGAUAUUGUUGAGAGUGAUGGAUGGAUGGAUGGAUGGACGGAUGGGGGCGCGUGAGGCCCGGGGUGUAGUCGAUGUAGCAGCUGCUCCUGCUGCUGCGUUUGUUGGAGAAACGAAGCACGUAGCAUCUUCUCUUUUGUUCCCGCACUCCACUGAUUGGUAGAUUCUUAAUUUCCUAUGCACACACUUGUUUGUUUUCUUUAAAAAAAAAAAAAAAAAAAAUUUCUAAAGAGAAUAAUAGUAUUUUUAUUAGAAAUAAAAUUAGUUAAAAAUAUGGAGCGGUUAGAUUUUAAACUUCAAACCGUAGGUUUCAGAUGUCAAACUUUUUGUUACUUGUGCUAGAGACGAUCGAUUUAUGGACGCACAAGUUACCUGUUCGUUAGCGAUGCUAAUAAUUUGAAUUGUUCAUAUUUAAAUGAUUUGAGGGAUUGCAUGUGGAUGCUCGAUAUCACAUGAGUUGUAGAGAGGUAGGCUUUUCUAUAUAUUAAGUAGCUUAUGUAAUACUAACAUCCAAUGAAUUAAUAUGAAUAGAAACAUACUUACAAAAGUAUCAGCGCGAAGAAACAGCCAUCUACAAAAAGAGACUUUGCCGCAUUAGUAUGCAAAUGCAUUACAAUUUUGAACCACACUAGCUACUAACUCAAAUGGAUAAAACGUCAGUGGGAAAAACUCCUCAACGACGCCUCAUUGGAGAGCCCUUGAUUCGCUUUCAUGCAUUAUAAAAAUUAUUAUAUUAUACUAGAUUAAUUUGAUCUCUACAAAUUAACUUGCAUAAUAUAAUGGCCUAUUCGUAACUUCAUAUGUAAUGCAUGUUAACAUUACAAGAUACAAAGAAGAGAGAGAGAGGAAGCGUGUAUCCCUGCAGGGACAACGAAAGCACGUGUGCAACAGAAGCAAAGACUUGUACUCAGCAGAACCUGCUAGCUAUAGAGUCUACGUGCAUGCGAAAAGUAGUAGAUCUAGAAAUGCACACGCUAAAAUUGGUUUGACCAAAUUAACUGUCACAAUUUUUCCCUUUUUUUGGUCUUUGGGAACUGUCACAAUUAGAUCCCUUACCUCCACUGUGGUUGGUGUGUUGUGUGGAUUUGAAAUUUGAAUUGGGAAAAGGUGAAAACCACGUACCCUCUCUCCACAUGCCAAGUAGAUUUUUUUUUUUUUUUUUUGAGAGAGAUAGGUAGCACGCUACCCGCUUUGUUUAUUUCAUUUAGAAAUAAACUUAGCUGAAAAUAUGAAUCAACUAGGAUUCGAACUUGGGUCUCAGAUACCAACCACCAAAUCCUUUGCCACUUGCUCUAGGUACGAUCGGUCAUGCCAAGUAGAUAUUAGACUCAUACUAAUUGGUGGGUUCUGAUUCACUAUCAAGCCUAGCACUGUUUGAUUAUUUCAUUUUGCCUAACCUCUGUAAUUUCUUUGUGCUCUAUCCAUUCCCUUGUAUUGCUAUUCAAUAAAGAGUGCAAAUCAUUUUCAAUGGCAAUCAGCAGGAGUACUGUUCAUGAGAUCAUCUGACAAUAACUAUUAGUUACUUAUUUGAUGAUUGAUUUAUAUAUUAAUGGUUGUAACUAAAAUAAUAGAUUGCUAAUUAGAUAUUUGUUGCUUAUGUAGUGAAAACUGGUGGUAUUUACUUCCUGUAAAAAGGUAACCAACAUUUUGAAUGUUUUACAUAAUCGAAUGGUUAUGUAAAUUAUUUCAGUUUGGAUUCGUUUUUGUUUGUCAAUUGGUCAAAAAAUCCGAAAAAUUCGGUUUUGCCGUAAUUUAUGCUCAAAAUCGUACCAAAAUCGAACCGGGAAAACCCCUAGCUAUGAAUCAGUGAUGUAAUGCAAAAUUUAGCUUAUUAUCAAACCAAGCAAAUAAUGAGAUUUUUCCUUUUUCCUCUUAAAUAGUAAUUUUGCUUCUUCUAUGCUAUGGUCACCAAAAUAUCUUUGUUAUAUAUUUUACACUCUUCAUUUUGUCUGGUAUAGUACUGUAAUGUUAGUUCAUGGCCCUAUUAAUAUCAUUAAUGAUGUUAAUUAAGGUGGACUCAUCCAUCUCAAUUAUUUGGUAAUAUUAUUGUUUUGUAAAUUUAUCUCGAUAGAAACAUUCUAUUUUGUAUCAAUCUAAUUUAUUGAAGUAUAAAUUGCACCAUGAUUUUAAAUCUUUCAAUGCAUUAAAGCUGUCAGAAUGUCAAACAAUUCUGACGUAUUAAGUGUCAAAAAGACAUUUCAUCGGUGCAUGGGUGACGACUCUUAAUUUGCCGACGCUUCUUCAAAUUAAUAUGACAGUAAACUAAUUUGAUAUGCUUUGGAGCAUCUUUAAUUACUGAAAAAGCAUCCUUAAUAAAUGUUAUUUUUCUUGUAGUGUAGUAUUAAUUUUCAGAAAAAUUUUAAAAUUUGUCAGUUCUAAAAAGAUUUAUGGAAUCAACAAAUAAGAAUAUUUGGUUAAUACAAUUUUCCAGGCUAUAUAUGGGAGAUUCAUUUUCACCUAUCACAAUUUAAACCCAUCACCUCUUGAUUCGUUUCAUUCCUCAUUUAGUGACGCAUAUAUAUUAGAGACAGCUAAGAGUUCCGUAUGCAAUGUACAAAAUCAACAAGUUAUUCAAAAUCCUUUAUAUCUAUUUUUAAAGAUCUUACUAUUAAAUAGAGAAACUAUAUCAUAUAUAGGGGAUUUCCUAUAGAUAGAUAUAUUUAUUUUUUCCUUAGUAAGAAUUUUAACUUGAAAAAUAAUGGAGACACCUCAUUUAAUUAAUAUCCUCAUAUCCUCAUAUAUGUGUAUUAUUCGUUAACCAAAUUGCUGAAUCUUGGAUCAUGGUACUAGAAAAAAAGAAUGUGAAGUUACAAAUAUUCAAAUGUUAUUUAAAAAAGUUAUUGUGUGAACUUGGUGAAAAGUAUCGCAUAAGUUGUUGGGGAUACAAUCAAACAAUGAUCUUAAGCUAAGGGACUAUAUUUUUUUUUAACCACCCAAUUUAUAUAUGUUUGCAGUUAUACUAAUGGUCGAUCGACAAACGUAAAUUUUUCACACACUGCUGACAUGUCAAAGAUCUAAGAGUUAUUAUCUCAAAUCAUGAAAUUUGUCGAAUAUAUCUAACGCAUUAAUCUUUUUCCUUGAGCAAAUUAGCGAAUUAGAUUAUACCACAAUUUGAAUCGUUACUGUCGUAUCAGUAACAACAAUUCACAUUUUGGUGAUCAUUAUUUGGUUCCCAAGUUGGAACAUAUUAAAGACAGUAAGCACUUGCUGCUUGUAAGUUCUUCGCUAUUAGGUUUACCUUUUUGACAAUUUUUACUCGUUAAAUCAUAUUAUUCAACCAACCAACCACUCAAUCCUAUCGGUACAUUCCUUAAUCCGAGAGUCGAAAACCUACAAGUAUACAAAUGAUUUGGUACUUUUAAAAACAUAAAAUCUCAAUUAUAUAUAUAUAUACAUAUAAUAAUAAUUUUCUAUCUUUUGCAAAUUAGCGAAUUAGAUUAUACCAUAAUUUGAAGAGAAAAAAAUAUUGAAUCAUCACCGUCGUAUGAUCGGGCGACAACAAUUUAUAAUUUGAUGGCCACUAUUAGGUUGCCAAGUUGGCGCCCUUAAAAGAUUCGUCCUUUUCAUGGUCCCUGAAUGACCAUACAUACCCUACGUGCCCACCUCAUUAACCUACCCCCAUUAAUGCAAAACACACCAACACUUACUGACCUAAUUCACAACACUGGACCAACCCCUCGUACGUAAUAUUCAAUUAAAUAAUUUGUCCUAUUUUUUAUUUAUAUAUUGUUUGUUCAUAUUGUUUGUACAAGAAUAUGCUUUUCUCAUAAUAGCCACAAGAGCUAAAAGACCACGUCCAUAGCGAGGCGGCUUCAUAUAAGCCACUCAUUUUGCACCACGUGGAUUCGAGAGACAAAAAAUAUAUUUUAUUAUUUUCACCUUAACUUUCAUACACUUGUAUUAUCUCAUCUUAUUCCAUUUUAUAUAUAUAUAUAUAUAUAUAAUAUAAUCCUUCGAAUCGCUUUCAAAUGAGGCCAAUACUGUGAUCUAAAGCAGAACACAGCAAAUUAAUUUAUAUAUAUAUAGAUAUAUAAUAAAGUGGCAGAAGAUAAGGGUCUUAUAUAAUUGUACAUUAAUUAUGCAUAGCAAUGAAAAAUUUUGCUGCGACAAAACGUAGAAAUAAAAUUUUGAAUAUCAAAAGAAACUCUAAUUUAAUAUUUCUAAUUAUGUUUGCAGUAAAAAAAUUUGUUAGAGAAAAAUGUAUGCACGCUUACGAACUAUAUCAGUAGGUUGAUAUCAUGAUGUGAGAUUAUUCGUGGAUAUAGUUAGAGCUCGAGUACUUAAUAUGAAAUAGUGCAUUCAAAAAUUUAUGAAAAAUAAUUACUUAAAUUUAAUUAUUUUCAACUUUAAUUACAUGUUUCACAAAAUAACCCAUAAUUUACCUAAAGCGAUUAAUCGGCACGAAUUCGGCGAGGAAUUGGACAGGGUUAUAUAUAGAGAGAGAGAGAGAGNCAAAGGGUUAAAUCUAACAGUGGAAAACUCGAUAGCACAAGAUAGUAUUCCAGCCGAACUAUCUCUCUCUCUCUCUAUAUAUAUAUAUAAAGAAUUAUGCUACUAUAUAUACUAUUAAUAAUAUCAAACAUUUUGUGCUAUUAGAUUUUCGGCUCUUAGAUGAAGAAAUGUGCGGUUAGGAUGAAAGUGAUUUUGUUGGAUUGAUUGGAUGAUUAGUUGAAUAGUAUGAUUUAACUAAUAAAAAUAAUCAUAUAUAUAUAUAUAUAUAUAUAGAGAGAGAGAGAGAGAGAGAGAGAGAGAGAGAGUUGAGCUGGAGUACUAUCGAUAGCAAACGGGCUCCGUUGCCACCCAUUUGUUUUNAUUAAGUUUUUAGCCUUUAAAUCAAUUAUUUUGAUCAUUUCUAAUCAUUGGAUUAAAUAUUAUAACUCAGUGGGAACCACUCAACCCUAAAGGACUAAUAUCAUUCUAAUUAAUAGUUUUCCAACCUAACUCUCUCUCUCUCUCUCUCUUAUAUAAAGAAUUAUGCUACUAUAUAUACUAUUAAUAAUAUCAAACACUUUGUGCUAUUAGAUUUUCGGCUCUUAGAUAAAAAAAUGUGCGGUUAGGAUGAUUGUGAUUUUGUUGGAUUGAUUGGAUGAUUAGUUGAAUAGUAUGAUUUAACUAAUAAAAAUAAUCAUAUAUAUAUAUAUAUAUAUAUAUAUAAAAGAGAGAGAGAGAGAGAGUUAUUAUCCCAUGUGGAUCAGAAUUAUUAUUGGGUUUAUACCAAUGAGCAAAAAAAGUACAACUUGAACAAUGAAUUAAUAAGUCGAACAAAAGCUCNUAAACUUACAAACGGCUCACUACGGUCAUUGAAAUUUGUUGAUUUUGAGCACAUUCGAUCACUAGACAAAUAAUAUCGAAAAAUAAUAAAAUUUAUUUUCUAGGUACUCCAAAUACUCUAGAUCAAGUUUAACGAAGCCGAUCGACGAUUCGAAAAUCGCAACAUCGAAAACGAGCUGGAAGCACGGAAGGCUCCGUGCUUCCGAUAGCAUAGUAGUCUCACUAUAUAUAUAUAUAUAUAUAUAGAGUUGAGCUGGAAUACUAUCGAUAGCAAACGGGCUCCGUUGCCACCCAUUUGUUUUCGAUAAUGGAGCCUCCAAAUUGACGAUCGGCACCGUUGAAUAUGAUAUAUGCCACUUGAAGUAUUUAGAAAUCAAAUUUCAAAUCUUUUCGACAUCAUGACCUAAUGAUCAAAGAAUUUCAAAAUGUAUAAUUUUAAAGAUAGAUACGAGGUAUUUUCUCAUUUAACGGUGUAAAGCUAUCCAAAUCAAUUGAAUUUUGAUUAGAAAGUUCUUUAAACUAUUUAGAACAAGAUCUAUACUCUUGAUCUUGAUUACAAAAUUUCUAUCAUCACUUUUUAGAGAAUAUUCAUUUUCAGCCGUUUAGUUUUACGCCCACUUGAUGAACAAGAGAACAAUAUUGAAAAAGUAUAAAAUUUGAUUUCUAGAUAUUUCAAGUGGUAUAGAUCAUGCUCAACGGUGCCGAUCGUCGAUUUGGAGGCUCCAUCAUCGAAAACAAAUAGGUGGCNUCGUGCUAGCUGCCGCUGCUGGUGAUAAACGACACGUUAAACGAGGGCUCGCGUAGACUUUUGUUUGUUUCUUCUCCCUUUCAAAAUCACAACCUAAUAAAAUAAAUAAAUAAAUAAAACGGAAAUGGAUUUAGACCUGUUUGUUAUUAAGUGCCGCCUAGCCCUAUCCAGCCGUAUCCCCAUAAAAAAUUAUUCGAAAAAGUUUUGUUUAUAUGGAGUAAGGCUAGAAUACUUGUAAAAGUAUCAUGGGGGUGAUACUUGUAUGUUUUUAGCCCUUGGAUGGAGAGAUGUGAGGUUGAGAUGAUAGUGGUAGGUGGUGAUAGGUGGUGGUAGUGGAAUAGUGUUUAAUCCAAGGGCUAUUAAUAAUCAAAAAGUAGAUCCAAUGACUUAAAACCUAAUAGCACCAUGAUGGUGAUACUUGUAAAAGUAUCAUAGCUCAACUCUGUUUAUAUAUAUAUAUAUACAUAUAUAUAUAUAGAGAGAGAGAGAGAGCUAGGCUCCUAUACUUUCGAAAGUACAGGAGGCCCCGUACUUAUAAGCUGCUUUCGAUGAUGGGAUAUCCGAUUCGGCGAUCGGUUCCGUUAAACUUGAUCUACGCUUUUGGAACUAUCUAGAAACCAAAUUUCAUAAUUUUUUGAUUUCGUUUGUCUAGUGAACGAGUAACCUCAAAAUGAACGGCUGAAAAUGAAAAUCUCAUAAAAAACAGUGAUAAAGGAUUCAAAUUUUAAAUCGGAAGUAUUGAUCUUGCUACUGAUGUUAAGUAGAAUUUUCUAUUAAAUUUUCAUGUAAUUUGGAUACUGCUACACCGUUGAAAUUAAAAAUGUGCCACAUCGACCGUUAAAAUAGUCAUUUUUUAGACCUUUUGAUCGCUUAGUAAAUGAUGUCAAAAAAAUCUAAAAUUUGGUUUUUAAAUAGUUCCAAUAGGGUAGAUCUUACCUAACGAAGCCGAUCGUCGAAUGGAACGUCCUAUCAUCGAAAACAACUUACAAGUAUGGGGCCUCCCGUACUUUCGAAAGUACGGGAGACGGAAUAUAUAUAUAUAUAUAUAUGUAUAUGUAUGCGCAUAUACAUAUACAUGUAUGUAUAUAUAUGUAUGUAUGUAUNNNNNNNNNNNNNNNNNNNNNNNNNNNNNNNNNNNNNNNNNNNNNNNNNNNNNNNNNNNNNNNNNNNNNNNNNNNNNNNNNNNNNNNNNNNNNNNNNNNNNNNNNNNNNNNNNNNNNNNNNNNNNNNNNNNNNNNNNNNNNNNNNNNNNNNNNNNNNNNNNNNNNNNNNNNNNNNNNNNNNNNNNNNNNNNNNNNNNNNNNNNNNNNNNNNNNNNNNNNNNNNNNNNNNNNNNNNNNNNNNNNNNNNNNNNNNNNNNNNNNNNNNNNNNNNNNNNNNNNNNNNNNNNNNNNNNNNNNNNNNNNNNNNNNNNNNNNNNNNNNNNNNNNNNNNNNNNNNNNNNNNNNNNNNNNNNNNNNNNNNNNNNNNNNNNNNNNNNNNNNNNNNNNNNNNNNNNNNNNNNNNNNNNNNNNNNNNNNNNNNNNNNNNNNNNNNNNNNNNNNNNNNNNNNNNNNNNNNNNNNNNNNNNNNNNNNNNNNNNNNNNNNNNNNNNNNNNNNNNNNNNNNNNNNNNNNNNNNNNNNNNNNNNNNNNNNNNNNNNNNNNNNNNNNNNNNNNNNNNNNNNNNNNNNNNNNNNNNNNNNNNNNNNNNNNNNNNNNNNNNNNNNNNNNNNNNNNNNNNNNNNNNNNNNNNNNNNNNNNNNNNNNNNNNNNNNNNNNNNNNNNNNNNNNNNNNNNNNNNNNNNNNNNNNNNNNNNNNNNNNNNNNNNNNNNNNNNNNNNNNNNNNNNNNNNNNNNNNNNNNNNNNNNNNNNNNNNNNNNNNNNNNNNNNNNNNNNNNNNNNNNNNNNNNNNNNNNNNNNNNNNNNNNNNNNNNNNNNNNNNNNNNNNNNNNNNNNNNNNNNNNNNNNNNNNNNNNNNNNNNNNNNNNNNNNNNNNNNNNNNNNNNNNNNNNCUCUAUAUAUAUAUAUAUAUAUAUAUAUAUAUAUAUAUAUAUAUAUAUAUAGAGUCCGGCUAUGGUGCUUGUAAAAGCACCAAGCACGUGGUGUUUGUAAAUUUUUUAUCGUUUGAUCUAUGUCUUUGAUUAUUUUUAUCCGUUAGAUUAUACUAUUCAACCAACUACCCACUUAACCCUAGGGGGCCCGCAUCAUUCUAACCGCACAUUCCUUAAUCCAAGGGCCGAAAACUUACAAGUACCAAUGACUUGGUACUUUUAAAAGUAUAGGAGCUCAAUUUUAUAUAUAUAUAUAUAUAUAUAGAGAGAGAGAGAGAGAGAGAGAGAGAGAGAGAGAGAGAAGGGUUGUUGUGCUCUUAAGAGCAUGGAGGCCUCCGUAUAUAUAUAUUUAAUAUAUACACUCAAGUUUUCUGCCGUUAGAUUUACCUUUUUUAUCAUUUUCAUCAGUUCGAUUAUACUAUUCAACUAAUCACCCAUUCAACCCUAGCAUAUCAUCCUAACCAUAUAUUUUUUAAUCCAAUGGCAGAAAACUUAAUAACACCAAGUCAUCUAGACGUUAGAAAUUAUAUUUUAUAUUUUUAUCGAAUCUAUACAAUUUACAGAACAUGUUGUUUUUAUUUUUAAGUAUUACUAUUCAUUUAGCCGAUAUAAAGGUGAAAAUAUUAAUUAGAAAUAUGUAAAUUGUGUUUUUUUUAUAAGUAUUUUAUUUCAAAUCGUAUUUCCUCACUAUUUGUAAUGCAAUCUAUUGUAACUAUUACCGACCGUCCCUAGAGCAAGUGGCAAAGGGCUUGAUGGUUGGUACCCGAGACACAGGUUUGAAUCCUAAUUGAUUCACAUUUCCAGCUAAAUUUAUUUCUUGUUGGAAAUAUAUAUAUAAUUUAUUCUUAUCCUAAACCCAUUAGGAUAAAUCACAAUUCACAUCUUAAGUGGAUCGGGUUAAAUCAAGACCCGCCAAUGUGGAUACACCACAUGGCUACAUUUCUAAAUUAAAUAAACGAAGCGGGUAGCGUGCUACCUNUGUUGUUUUUAUUUUUAAGUAUUACUAUUCAUUUAGCCGAUAUAAAGGUGAAAAUAUUAAUUGAAAUAUGUGAAUUGUGUUUUUUUUAUAAGUAUUUUAUUUCAAAUUGUAUUUCCUCACUAUUUGUAAUGCAAUCUAUUGUAACUAUUACCAACCGUCCCUAAAGCAAGUGACAAAGUGCUUGGUGGUUGGUACCCGAGACACAGGUUCGAAUCCUAAUUGAUUCACAUUUCCAGCUAACUUUAUUUCUUGUUGGAAAUAUAUAAUUUAUUCUUAUCCUAAACCUAUUAGGAUAAAUCACAAUCCACAUCUUAAGUGGAUCGUGUUAAAUCAAGACUCGCCAAUGUGGACACACCACAUGGCUACAUUUCUAAAUGAAAUAAACAAAGCGGGUAGCGUGCUACCUAUCUCUCAAAAAAAAAAAAAAAUCUGUUGUAACUAUUUAUUAUUUAUUAUUCCUCUUAAUUAAUACCACGUGAUGACAUGGUUUCGAAAUAUUUUAAAACUGUCCAAAAUUUAUUGACCAGAUUUAAUAAGUUAUAUAUUUACAUAAAAUAAAAAUGGUUCCUGAUACUCUACUUGCAUUUGAAUAUUGAAUUUUCAUAAUCAUGAAACCUACAAAUUAAUUAACGUAAUAUUUGACAAUAAUGUUAUACAUGAAUAUCUCGAUCGGUGUGUUGUUAUUAAUCAGAUUAAUAUGGAUACAAACAUUUAGAUUUAACAAAUUGAGUCAUUAAUCACUGGCUGGAUUUAAUUCCAUCAUUAAUUGUGAUACAAUUUUAGAAAAUUAAGAAUCGAUUAACAUCAUUUUCCAUCUUAUUUUCUUUCUUAAAAAGCAAAAAAAAAACAAAAAAAAAAAACCCAUAACUAUUUCAGGAACCUACCAAAAGGUCCAAAACAUGCUUGUAAACAGUGACCCACAUUGUUUCAAACCCCAUAACCCUUUAUUAAAAACCCACAAUAAAUACCAGCUAAAAAUAACUUGGACUUAUGUGGUAAAAAAAAAAAAAAAAACUCAAUAAUAAUCCCGUGAUGACAACCCCAUGCACAGGAGAAAUAAUUAAUUGCGCCCAGUGUGUAAAUACAGACCAAGUCCAAAAAAAAGAACAUGACAAGUAAAAAUGUUUAAGUGGAAUAAAAAAUAUAGUUAUUUUUUAAGUGAAUAGUACAAAUGUGAGGAAAUAUUACCGGAGCGAACCCAAAAAUAAAGAAAAAAAAAUCAAAUCGAACCCGAAAAAGAAUUUGGCAGAUGAAGACGGUUCAAGGGAGUUCGGUUUCAAAUAUAUAGAAAACCCAGUUCAAAAGGAGAAAAUAUUACUGGAUCGAAUCCAAAAAAGAACCUGACAAGUGAGACCCACUCCUUAGAAUGAAGAUGCUGAUACUACAUAUGCAAGUUAUUGAGAAUCAACAUAUAUAUGUAUAGGUAUAGGAAUAUAGAUUAUUGGCAACAUCUAUGAAAAAUUAUGGCAUGAAAUAGUUUGAAAAAUUAGCAUAAGAUAAAGUGUCAUUGUUUGAUUUGUAAGAAAUUAGUGUCUAAAUUUUUUUAUAUAUAUAUUUGCAGAAGUGCGCGCACAACGCACAUUUUGCAUUAAGAAGGGAAUAUUAAAAUUUGAGAGAGAGAGUUUUAUUUGUGAGUUUUUGAAAAUUAAUGAAUUUUGUUUAAUUGUAAUUGUCUAAGUUUGGGUAAAAAAAAAGGAAGAAUUAUUAUAAUAGAUUUCGUGCAGUUUAGUUUUAUCUGUUAACGUUGAAUUCAUUUAAAUACUUUAAUCGUGUGAAAGAGAGAGUUUAAAAAAAUAAAUUGAGUGUAAAAUCGAAGAAAAUUUUAUAAAAGUAUUUUAAAUAUAGAUGUUUUUUUUUAUGAUAUAAAGGGAUAUGUUGAAAAAAAAUUGGAAGAUUCUAAACUUUUGUUCACUUAUUUUGUAUAUAAACUAUAGAUUGAUAUUUUAUUUUUUUAUAUUUUGAUGAUUCUAUUAGGAGGUAUUUGGUUUCUAGGAAAUUAAGCCGCGUGUGUAAAACUAUUUUUUGAACAAAAAAUUUUUCAUAAAAAAUUUUUUUUCCAUAGUUUUUGUUUUCUACAUAAAACAAUUCAAAAAAUAAAAAAAUUCUAUAAAACAUAAAAAAUAAUUUAUAUAUAUUUUUUCUAGGAAUGAAGCAGACAAUAAUUACUUUUCUAGCUAGAAAACUUUUUUCUAAAUUAUAUUUUGAGAAAACAAAUACCUUCUUAGAGAUUUUUUUAAAACAUAGCGUAUGAGAUAAACAUCUAAGUAAAGAAACACCUCCUUUUAGAAUUUUAAAAGUAUAAUUGGCUAAGAACUUUAUGGUUAGCACUAAAAUGUUAAGUUGGUUUGAAAUUAUGGAGAUAUUAAGUUACGUGCUAUUAAAAAGUACGAUAAAACGACAUUUUCUUUCUCUCCGUAGUAUGUACUUUCGUCAACAUUAAUUAUUUUUGUUUUUAUUAUUUUAGAUCAGCUUCAAUACCAACUAGACUAUUAGUUGGAAUCAUAAUUGUUUUAUAUGAACUAUAUUUUUUACAUGAUAAUAAUGAGUCAUGCUGGGAUACUAUCGAUACUACCAAGCAUUUGGUGCUAUCAAAUUUUCCACCGUUAGAUUUAAUCCGUGACUAUUUUCAACUGUUAGAUUAUACUAUUAAUCUAAUAACGCACUCAACCCUAGGGGCCCACAUCAUUCUAACCCUAUAUUUUUUCAUCCAAGAGCCGAAACCUAAUAGCACCAAUAGCUUGGUGCUAUUGAUAGUAUUUUAACGUUAGGUCUAAUAAUAAUAAAUAAAGUGAACCAACUGUUCAUAGAGCAAAUGGCAAAGGACUUAAUGGUUGGUAUCAGAGACCCAAGUUCGAAUCCUAGUUGAUUCACAUUUCUAGCUAAAUUUAUUUCUAAAUGAAAUAAACAAAGCAGGUAGCGUGCGACCUAAAAAUAAUAAUAAUAAAUAAAGUAAAUAGAAUACUACUGUAUAAAAACGCAACAAACAAAAUUGAAUUCACGGAAUCGCGGAAUCGCGGGGGGCUCAAAUUUGAGAAAAAAGUGGGGGAGGGGGGUGGGUGGAGUUUUUCCGUUAUCGGGACGCGCAUUUACUCAACCACUCCCCCACUUCGUGCUCCCUCCCUCCCCGUAACCAUCCAUCCAUUCAUCCAUCCAUCCAUCCAUCCUAGGGUUUCCCAUUUUAAAUUUCCUUCUUGCGUUCUCUCCUCUCCGGGGCCAUCUCACCCGUCCAUAUCAAAACGAGCGGCGGAUGCGGCGCUUGUCGAUCUAUAUAAGAGGAUAGAGGUGAGGAGGCAGAGGAAGGGGCGCGGAUAAAGAGGUCGUGGUCAUUUCUGAAUACCCAGAUGUGUAGGGUCGGGCUCUGUGCCCACACCCCCCAUCACUGCUUCGCUUUUAUUACUCUCUCUCUCUCUCUCUAUCUACUAUUUAUUAUUAUUAUUAUUAUUAUUAUUUUUAUAUCUCUCUCUUUUUUGUAUGUGUGUGUGAGUAAAAAAAAAAAAAAAAUCUGACCCGAGAAAAGUAAUCAUUUCACCUAUCAUGACCAGCGCUUUCUCUCUCCUCUCAUUUCAUUACUAUACAUACAUACCCAGUAUGAGCGUGACACAGUAUAAGCGUGACCCAGUAUAAGCGUGAGCGUGAGCAUGAGCUGAGAAGAGAUGGAAGAUGGAAGAUGGAAGAUGGAAGAAGGGGAGUUUUUUUAGUUGAGGGGAAUGUUGUCUGGCUCGAGGCCGGCGGAGAUCGAGCAGAUCGCCUUUUUUCUGUAGAGAUCUCGGACCAGGCUUCAUUCCCCUCAGCUAUAGCUCCCAAAUUGAAACACUUCUCCAAGAAAAUUCUGCCAUAUGUAUGUGGGGAUGGUGAUCAAUUCCAGGUUGCUAAUGAAUACUUCUUCUGUUUUUUUUUUUUUUUUUUUUAACAUUUUUUGUUCCAAAAAAAAAGGGUUUUGAUUGUUUGCUGAUGAUGAUUACUUGCUGCUUCGAGGAUGUUUCCUGCCAUGUUUGUUUGUUGUUUUCUGCAUAUGAGAGGGAGAAGAUGCAGAUUGGUGUAAUGAUGAUGGGUUUUGACACUCUCUCUCUCUCUUUCUCUCUCUCUUCUUACAUUCUUGAUCUUACUUGUUAAGCAGUUAUGAUUACUUUCUCUGUUUUCUUUUCUGACAGGAAGGGAAAAAGGUUAUCAUGAUUACCUUUUGAUUGAAGGAUCUUCUUUUUGUUUCUCGUCCACUUUUUUUAAAAAAUAAAAUAAAAUAAAAUCAUGUUUAUUCUUUUUUAAAUUAUUAUUAUUCUACUUUUUAGUGCCCUACUAACCUUACUUUGCUGAUUUUGCUUUUUUUUUUUUUAAUCAGCAUCAAGAGGUUAGAACUUGUAAAGCUGAUCUCAAUUAUGGUAAUCUCCUCAGGUGUCAAAGUGCUUAUUUCGCCUUAGAUCUUGCUGAUACAGCGAUAUUUUAGUGUACCUACUUUAUUUUUGGUUUAAAUGCAUCCAUCUCUAAAAUAGAGGUAUGCUCUUAUGAUCUUGUCAAAUGGUGGUCUUACGACUGCGAAUAACAAAAAUUUCUAUUUUUUCUUCGCUUUUGUGUGAUUUUUCAGGCUUCUUCCGGUGGAUUCACCGUGUGAUGAACUCCGUAAGCUUUAUUAAUCUUACUGUAAGGUCUUUAUAUGGUCUUUAUAUGAUCCUACUACAAGAAGAAAGCUUUUAUUGUGAACUAUUUGUUUAUCGGAUGUUUCAAGAUUCUUCGCCAAAUCAAGAGAUAUCAUCACUAGGCAGCAUGAAUAUGAUGCUGAUAUCCUUCUCUACGUCGUAGAUUUGAUAUAAAUUAGUUAGGAUUUAUGGUUGAUGAUAAGUACCAAGGUGUAUGUAUUAAUUGUUUUUUUAGUUCCUUAUUUGCAGAUAAUAUGGGAUGCAACAUUUACCAGUUACUAUCAGUGUCUCUUCUGAGCUGUUCUUCUUUUUUUUCAUUUUUGUUUCUUUUCUACACAUGAUUCUGUGCAGCAUCACAUGCAUGUGUUCUUUGUAUGUACCAUAAUAUACCUUGGAAAUGAUUUAUAAUUAUUUUGUUUUGUAUUUAGAAAUAUGGUAUGUUUUUACCCACAUUAGAGCCUUAAAGGUCAGGGAAUCUGUUAUCUUUAAACCUUACUUUCAUUUUCCUUUUUCUUUGUUAGUGACUGUGGCUUUCAAAUGAUACUGCAAAAGUACCAGUUCGAUUUGAAAUAGAUCACUUUGGAGAUGUAAACUUUUCUUUGUUAUAUAAACAAGUAAUCAUAUCCAUCGUCAUAUGCGAGUUUCAUAAGAUCUAGCUCAAGCUUGCGAUGCUUAAUGAUUUUGUUACUUCGCAAGCAUCUUCGACUCGACCAGCUUAAAAGUUUAAGCUGAUAAAUGAAGAAAUUUUACACAUUAUGUCUGUGUUAUAGUUUUGUUUGUGGAGACAUGCAUGGAGCUUAUAAGCAUGGUUCUUUAGUUCUAAUUAACAAUAUUGAGUUGGAUGAUGAGAUUUUGUCAAUAGCGAUUAAGGGCUACAAGCACAAGUUGACUAGGGUUUCUUUUGAGUGUGAGGAAAAAGAGGAAUCCACAUUGAAACACUCCUCUCUCACACGCACACUCCAAAAAGCACACCUUUUUUUUUAUUAUUAUUAUUCUUCUUUUUUCCUUUUUCUAAUGCAUUGGAUCCCCAUCUCACACUCCCAUCACAUGACAACUUUUCUAAUGCCAUAUAUGUUUUUGACAACUUAGUGUACUUACCUUUAAAAGGUGUUUAAUCUCCUACCCCUACACACUCAAACUUGGUAAACAAACCCAUCUUUGGAAACUUAGUACUCAAUCACUCUACUGCUUAAUUAGUGAACAACUAGAAACUUUCACAAAACCCUUUUUUUUUUUUUUUUUUUUUUUUUUUUUUUUUUUUUUUUUUUUUUUGUUCCCAAUGUCUCUUUCUCUCACUAGUAGUACUUGCCCUAUCUUUCUUUGGGUUGGGUGUUGAUGAUGAUGAUGAUGCCUUUUGUGUUACGGGGAAUAAUGAAGCCUUUUUUAACUUGUGUUUUCAAAUGCUUUGACAUGGGAGCCUCCUCUCCACUCCUUUCCAUGCGUGAUUGUAACUCCUCACCCCACAUGAGAAUGGGAGGAUUCCUCACUCAACAUGUUGCAUUUAUCUUAUUCCGUACUAGAAAAAGAAAAAAAAACUAUUUGUACACUUUUUUAUAGGAUGUAAAUUUGAUACUUCAAGACAUGAGGUUUAAAAACUCUUUUUUUAAAUUUUUUUAGUAUUAAAGAAAGUUGAUGAGGAAAUCUUGGUCCUUUAAACCUGGAAAGUAGGUGUACAUGUAGCAUUGCUCCAGAAAUAAAAAUCGAAACUAAUUUUAGUGUGUCAUAUGAGAUCGCAAAUAGUUUAAUUAAUUAAGGAUAAUAUGAAAAUUCCAUGUUUAGAUGUUUAAAAAAAGUUAUUGUAUUUGUACUUUUGAAUAAUAUGGAAACGUGAACUAACUAUAACACUGUUUGUAUUUAAUAGAGAAAAAAUUUCUGUGCUAAAAGUGUAAGUUUGAUGUUGAUACUAGUGUACGUAGUAACCCGCGCGAUGCGACAGAUAGAUAAUUUAAAAAAAUAGAAAAUAUCGACAAAAAAAAAACGGCAAUGAAAAAAACGAUGAUAAGCAAUGAGAUUUAUCUUGCUGAUGAACGAAGAUAACAGCCGAAAGAAGAGGAAGAUAAAAGACUUGAGCUGGUUUGAACGAGAAUAAAGUUCACACUCAACAAUGAAGGAAAAAUUACCAUAUGGCAACUUUUAGGAGAAAUAAUAUGUAGGUAUAGAUUUGCACUUUUGGAAUUCGGAAUGCUUAACUCAAAAUGCUUAUAUCAGUUUUCUAUCCAUAUUUUAUUGUGUGAUUUUCGCUUUAGAAAUAGAGAAGUUAUUCAACACCAUAUAUAAAUAUAUUAUAUAUUGUGAGAGGUUUUUGUACUGUUUCUGAGUACCCGCUAGAUUUAUUUUAGAUUGCAGCUCCUUUUGCCAUAACUUCUAAGGACUUAUUUGGAUGCAUAAAUAUUUCUUCGGUAUUAUAUAUAUUUAUUCAAUUUACUUAAGUUCAUAUUAUUUAGUAAAUAUUUAUAAUAAAAUAUUGUAUUCAGCAUUCAAGUUAUUUUCAAAAUAAAAUAAAUUAUCUCGCAUGUAAAAACAUAUUAACCCUAUCAAAUCAUGGAUGUCGAAAUCUUUAAGAAUAAAAAAAAAUUCAAAUUCCUUGCUCCCAUCACACCAGAAUAUUAUUCCAACAUAAAGAAAAUGCCUAAAACAACUUCCCUUUUGUGGGAAUUUAUCCUUUAUCCUUAUUGGUUGCUCAAAUGGGUCGGACCAAACUUAGGCAACUUAACCAUUACCCGGCCACGUUGGCCGAAUUAAGCCCGAAAACUAUAUACAAAGAAUAAGGCCAAGAGGCCCAAUAAAACUUGGUCUCUUCAUGAGAAAUUUCACUUGUCACCAAACAUUUAGUUUAUUGUAAAUUUUGCACCAAACUAUAAUUUCUAUUUUGCACUCAACUCUCUUAAUUUUCUUGAAAAUAGAUUAUGCACAUAUUGGGGACGUUAUAUUCUAAAGAUAAAUAAGGGGCUUAGUGAAAGGGGCAGAUCUAGCGGCCGAAAACUUAUGAAUACAAAAGAAUCUAAAGCUAGGGCUACUAUACUCUUACGAGAAUAUCUAACCCCUUUGUAGUCAGAAAUUUUUUGCCGUUGGAUGAAAAGAUGUGCGAUUAGGCUAAUAGUGGUCCCCGAUUAAAGAUGAUAGUGAUCCCCUAGGAUUGAGUGGAUGGUUGGUUGAAUAUUAUAAUCUAACGGAUAGAAAUGGUUAAAUUAGUAGAUCUAACGACAAAAAACUUAUGAGUACAAAAGAAUCUAUACUCAUAGAGUCUAAUAGCCGAACUAUCUAAUCAAAUAAUUAAUUUUCAAAUUUUAUUAUAAAGUAUGUUAGUAUAUUGUAUUUAUAAAUUAUUACAUAUUUUGAAUAAUUUGAUUUGAUGUGUCGGAAUAAACAAUUGUACAAUAAAAAAUAAAUAAAUUUAAUAAUUGCAUGAAAUUUAAAAUAAUAAUUUUAUUAUUUUAAAUUUACGCUAAUUAAAAAUUACUUUAACAUAAUUUUUGAAAAUUUCAUGAAGGAACGGAACAGAGACAGGGCGAGAAGGGCCCCCGCCCCGUUGUGAACUAUUGUGUGUAAACAGGGACGAAACUAGGAUUCAAACUUGAGAGGGGCCAAAAUAUAUUUAAAUAAAAACUUUAGUAAUAAAUAAUAAACAAAAUUUUUCCUAAUUAAAAAUUUUUUAUUAAAAAAUUAUUAAUUAAAUAAAUAAUCUAAAAGUAUUAACUUUAUUUUUUUUUAUUUUCAUAUGUUUAAUUUCUAAUUAUUUUAUUUAUAUUAUUACAUUAAAAUAACUUAGAAAUUUUACUAAAUCUAACAGUAAUUUCUAUUUAGAAUAUUAGUACAAUUCUUAAUUUAGUCAAAUAAAAGAGCUCACCUAAGAUAAAUAAAAAUUUAAAAAAUUAUUAAAUAAAAUUUUUAAAGUAGAGAAAUAUAUUACAAAAGACUCUCUAAACAGAAGCUUUUAAUAUAUUUUCACCCAUAAAAGAGUUACCGAUUAAGAGAAAGAGAGAGCGAGUUAUGUUGGCACCAUACUAUUAAGAAAAUAUUGAAAACUAGGAAGGCCAAAGCAAUCCAUGGUCCACAAAAUAAAAAAAAACAAUUGAGGACCAUUAAGUAAAUAUUGAAAAGUUAAGGGAGGCCAUGGCCACCUUGGGCCUCCACGUAGCUUCGUCCCUGUAUAAAUAAAUAGAAAAUUGUGCACGAGAUAUGGUGUGUGUGUUUUUUUUUUAUUUUUUAUUUUGCGUGCUUUUUUAAAACUUAGUCACAGCUCAGCAAACGGGAAUAAAAAAAAACUGUUUGAUGUGGAGAGGCGACGAACGAUUGGAAUAAUUAAAGAGAAAUAAAGGUAGUGCAGUCGAUUUCAGUGGCUCAUCAAAACUGCCCUUUGUUUUUUUUUUUUUUUUUUUUUUUUUUUUUUUUUUUUUUUUUUUUUUUUUUUUUUUUUUUUUUUGAGAGAGAGAGAGAGAGAGAGAUAGGUAGCACGCAUGCUACCCGCUUCGUUUAUUUCAUUUCAAAAUAAACUUAGCUGGAAAUAUAAAUCAACUAGGAUUUGAACUCGGGUCUCGAAUACCAAUCACCAAACCCUUUGCCACUUACUUUAUGAACGGUCGGUGGCUCAUCAACUGUUGAUGGAGAACCUUGGUGGCAUCUAUUGCUCCCAAUUCUAGGGUUCAUAUUCCUAUACAUUUCCAGAAUUAAACAAACUACUAUUUCUUUAAUCAGCAUUUUUAACUGUUAUUAGCAUGUGACUGUCGCGUAUCCUCUAGAUUAAGAAUAGUAUGUAUCACCGACCGUCCUUAGAGCAAAUAACAAGGGGCUUGGUGGUUAAUACCCGAAGUCCCAAGUUCGAAUCCUAAUUAAUUCACAUUUCCAGCUAAAUUUAUUUCUAAAGGAAAUAAACGAAGCGGGUAGCGUGCUACCUUUUUCUCUCUUUCAAAAAAGAAGAAGAAUAGUAUGUAUCUAUUCUUAACUUAUAUGACAAUCACGUACUAUUGAAAGUUAGAAAAUACAGAAAAGUUAGGGAUUGAUUGAAACAAGACGAUUAUAAUGCAACUUUUGAAUUGCUGAUGAUUGAUAAAUUACAAUCAGGUCAAAAUUCAAGCGGACGGUAAUUUGCCUAAAACCAUUUAGCUUAUGCAAGUUAUUUCGAAUAGGAUUAUUCAAAGAAGUAUUAACUGUUUUCUAAUUAAAAACUACUUAAGUAGCUUCUCGCCUCAAAACAAUUAAAAAUAUCAAAUUUAAACUUCGGGUUAAUUUCAUAUAGGUUCCUACAAAUAUAGUGGAUGUUAGAAAAAUUUAGUUAACCAUAGAUUAAAAAUUAACGCUGGUUAAUUUUUGAUAUUUUUAUCCCUUUUAUAUUAUACUAUUAUGAUUUUUUGAGGGAUAUAUUUAUGAUGAUAAAAUUGAAAAUAUAAAACGGUUCUUUAACAGUAACAAAUCAGAAGAAUAUAUUUGAAAAUAUCUGGGCUUUUGCAAGAAUAAUAUAUGAAAGUUGAAUUUUAUAAAAAUAUAUUUAUUAUUUACUAUAUUUAUAGGAAUUUGUAUUAAAUUAACUCUUAAAACUUUUAUGAUUGAAGCCCAUUAGGCAGUUCUGUAGUUUUUUCUACACUAAAAAUGUUAAAUACUUUUCGUACACAAACGUGACAUAAUGUUUAUGAAUGUUGACCUGCUGUAUGCUCCUUUAAUUUCUACUGUUCUUUUUGGCACGUUAAGAUUAAAUCUUACUGACAAAUAAAAAGCAUGUUUAUUCGCGUGUAAUUGAAUUUUUAAGUCUAAAAAUAACUUUCAGUUUGAAGUAAAGAUUACAUGAAAAUUAUUCUUUUGUCACUACUUUGUUUGAUGAAAAGUUAAUGACUUUAGAACUGUUUUUAUUCCACAUUCUAUAUUUGUUUUACGAUAAAUUUUUGACUUUAGAACCAAAGUUGUUCCACUUUCUAAUGUUUGGUUGGGGAACAAUGAGAGGAUUAAGUCCUUGUUCCCCCACUUUAUUCCCAAACGAUAUAUUUGGUAUCCGAGAACAGUAACUCUCGAGUUUCUAAAAUAAGCUGGUAUAAGGCUGAAACUCUUAUUCCAUCUUUUUUCUGAAACAAGCAUGUUCCUGAGUGGGAACAAGAUUAAUUAAAAUCUAAAUUUAAUUUUAAUUACGGUAUUAAAUCAUUAAUUCAUCUAAUUAAUAUAUUUAAAUUAUUAUUUAUUACUUAAAUAAUAAAAAUAAUUUACUAACUAAUUAAAAAGUUAAAUUAUUUUUUUAUAUUUAUUUAAUUAAUUAAUAUAUUUUUAUUAUCUCAUACAAUAUUCAUAACUAAUAAAUUACUUAUAUUUUAAUUAUCUCAUACAAUAUUGUGCUGGGACACAAAAAGUUAGGGACACAAAAAGUAUUUUGACUUUUGAUAUUUUCAAAUAUACCCCUCUACCGUUACCAAUAUUUCUUAUUUGCAGUUAAGUUAAGGGCAAAAUUGGCAUUUUAAUUUUUUUAACUGUGUUAGAUAUUUAAUUCACGUUUAACCCAAGUUAACUUAACAGGUGGUAACUGUAGAGCUAUUUUGAAAUAACGGAGGAAACAUAUGAAGGGUAUAUUGGAAAGAAAAAAAAAGGCAGAGGUAAUGAGAUAUUUCCGAAGUUUUGAGUGAUAUAUAGGCAAUUAUCCCUUUUACUUUAUUCUUAGGAACAACCUAAUUUUCAUUCAAACAUAAAAUUUGUCUAAUUUUUACCUAUAUCUGAACUUGCACCUAUCUCUAGAAUAAGCAGUUUUUACUUAUACCCGAAACGCACACUAUGGUAUUGUUUGGUUUGGGGAUAAGCAAAAAGUGGCUAUUAUAGGAAUAGGUAUAAAUUGAGAUAUAAGCGGGGAUUAGAUAAAUUUUCAAUUGGAUGAAUAUUGGCUUAUUUCUGUGAAUAAAAAAAAUAGCGUUUAAUUAGGUAAAAUGGAAUAAGGAAGAUAGUAGGUUUUAUAAAUAAAAAAUAAUGAUAUUAUCUUCUUAUUAUAUUUAAAUUUAAAUUUUUUAAAUUUAAAUUUAAAUUUUUAAAUUUAAAAUUUUAACUUUUAAAUUUAAGAUCAAAUUUAAAUUUAAAAAUAUCAAAAUUUAAAUUUCAAAAGUUUAAUUUUCAAAAAUUUAAAAUAUCCAAAUUUAAAUUUUAAAAUUAUAAACUUUAAUUUUGAGAUUACAAAUUAUAAAUUUUAAAAAUUUAAAUUUAAAUUUUUAAAUUUUUAAAAUAAGAAUAACGAUCGGAACAAUUAAUAAAAAUAAUUUAUUAUAAUAAAUUUAUAAAUUUUAUUAAAAUUCUACUUGAACUUAAAUUUAAUAAAAAUAAUUUAUUAUAAUAUUUAAAUAUAAUUUAUUAUAAAUUUCUUGUAAUAUUUAAAUAUAAAUAAUAUGUAUUAAUAUAGUACAAUUAAUAAUUUUGUAAUAAAAAUAAUGUAUUAUAAUAUAUAACAUAUUAUAUUUAUAUAAUUUAGUUUUAAUUCAAUUUAUAAUUUUAAGUAUGUUUGAAAUUAAGUAUUGAAAUAAUACUAUUCCAUCAAAAUUGUGGAAUAGCAAAUCUCUUGCUAUUCCGAAAUAACCGGUAAUAGCAAGGUUUAACCGUAAUAAAAUAUUCCGGUAAAAUAUCUUUCCGUUUGGUGGAACAGCAUGAAUAACUUUCGUUAUCUCCGCUUGCCCCCGAACCAAACGGGGCUUAUGCGUUUUGCAAAAAACGUGUCUUUAAAAUACAAGAUAAUUAAAAAAACUGCAACAAUUAAUUGUUUGUUUUUUCUCUCUUUUUCUUCUGUAAUUGACUUCGUCACGCAUCAAGGCAGAAUAAACUGUAGUGCCCUGAAAAAAAUGAGUUAGGAUCUAAGAUAAGUUACAACAAACUAAAACAUAAAUAGAAAUAGAAAAAAAAAUAUCGAGACCUAUUAAAUUUUAGCACUUUUGCAAAUGCACGCCGAACUUUCAAGUUGGGCAAACAAAUAUAAAUUUUAUUGAAUUGUUCAAUAGGCACCUCUACUCUAGUGAACUUACUGAUUGCACAUAAUUUUAUAAGAGUUAAAAAUAAAUUUAUUUUUAAUUUUGAUAAUAUAACAUGAGGAAAAUAAGUUUGAGAAUCAAUUCUUAAAUUUUUUCCCACUUUUUUAUAUGUUAGGAUGCGAAAAAUAACUUCUUUUGUAUUUUAAAACUUUGUAAAAUUAUAUAUAAUAUAUAAGAUCAAACCGAUUAAAUAAUUCUAUUCCUAUAAAAUUUUAGACUUAGAUUUGCAAAUGAGAUAAAAUUUUAACCAUAUAAAUAUUCACGGACGGGCGUUGGGGAGCUUGUUAAUGGAGAUUAGAGACUGGUGGGAUCGUUUAUAUAGCUGAAUUGCGUUGUUUUUCUUUUGUCUUUCCUUCUUUUGUUUAUCUAUUGGGUCCAGUGCUGGCUUUUUUUCUUUUUUCUUUUUUCUUUUUUUUUUUGUCCUUCGAGGUCCUGGUUGUCUCAAUUUGUCGCUAAGUUUACUUUCUAGUUGAAUGAAACUAUAGUAUGUUAUUUUUUUCUCAAAAAAAGGAAAAUCGCUCCAUGCCAUUCCACUUUCGGUGAAACUCAUUCGCGGGAAAUGCCGGACCGAUCCGGAAAUGGAGACUUGUUUGCAUAGGGAGUUUGACAAAACUGGUCGGCCCCGAGGAUUCCCUACCGACCACGGCGCACGACCACGACGCCGACGCCAACACGAUCCGAUCGACCACCUCACGGAGCGCCACGUGUCCCCACUUUGGGAAGGCCACGCGGGGUACAGCAAACAGCGGAGCCACGGCUCCCCACGGACACCCGUCGGCCGCCCAUUGGGCCACGUCGACCCGCGAUGGCACCAUGUCGGACGAAAUCAACGCCAUUGGGUGGGCUCGUACACGUCACAGCCCCCCAUCCUUAGCCCCGGGAUAAGAUAAAAUAAUGUGCUUAUUUGUCAGCGUCCGUCACUGUUAGAGUCGCCACCCAACCGUGUCACGUGUCGGCCCGUGUCUCAUGAUGGGUUCCGCUGUACCCUCAGGCCUCUCUCAAUCUAAUCCAUCUCACCACGCACGUUUCGGGCAUAUUUUUUUCUGUAACUCUUUGCGCAGAAAUUUUGUACACCCUAUUUUUCUGUACAAAAAAUAUAGUUGAUUAGUUAGAUUUAUGAUUUAAAAUUCACUUUGACACCGAAUUUAACUACACAGAUUUUAAAUUUUUUUUAGAGAGAAAAAGACUAAAAGCUAUUCCUUUCGUCCAUUUAUUUGAAAAAUAAAUUCAGAUAAAAAUAUAAAAUAAUUAAUUAGAUUUCGAAACUUUAUUUAUUAAUUAUUAAAUCCUUAGCCAUCUAUUCUAAGUUAUAUUUUUUUGUUUGACUUCUAGCAAUAUGGAGUACCACUUAAAGAUGGAGCACUACUGCAAGCAUGUUAUUUUAUUUAUUUAUUUAUUUGGUAUCAUCUUAAUUAUUAUUUGCUCGGUUGCUUCGGCUUGUGGACUUGUUUUUUUUAAAAACAAUAUUUGAGAGGCUACUGGAAGGGAGAGGUAGACGUUUUGCGAAGGAUAAAGAUCUUAAGCAUUUAGUUUAUCUGGAACAUGAUUUUUGCAUCUACAAGUUGACAGAUCUGAUUGGUUAGGAAGUUGUUGAAGUGCUUCAACAAACAAUUAUAUUAUAGUUCUAAAAGGAACAAAUCCUAACGAGCUCUAUUUGUGACAAACAUGUCUUGUUAUGUGGGCCACAUACUAAAAAACACAAAAUUUCUAGUUAUACGUAGCUGUUUCUCGAGUUAUUUUUAGUGCCCUCAUAUCUUAUACUUUGGUCUACACUACACACACACACACACAAAAAAAAUGAUAGAUAAUAAUUGUAACUUGUUUGUUCUUUUUAUAAUAAAAUAAUGUAAAAAAUUUUAACUUUACACUAAAAAUUCUAAUUUGAAGUUUUCAUUGGUAUAGUUUAUAUGCCAUGAGGAAUCCAUUGAAUUAAUCGACGCGCAAAAAGCCAAAAUAUUUUUCAUUCUAAUGCUUUGAUUUUAUACUUCUAAUUAUACUGCAAAAAGAAAAAAAAAAAAAAAAAAACACUCGCAAAGAAAAUUUUAAUAUAAUAUUUUCUCUAACAACACAAUUUAAUUAAAUAGUAUUUUAUCAAACAGUACAGAUGCUGAAAUUGGCCGCCCCUAAUCCAGUUGAAUUGCUGCAGUCAUCAACUCAUUAGUAAGCCAGCCUUAAUAUUUAGCUCAUCUUCUUCUUAACUAAAUUACCUGCUUACAUAAAUAACAAAUAUUAGUUCCUUUGGUAAGGUAAAUUCUCAGCAAAAACUUAAUUUUUUUUUGUUUUUGAAGGACAAUUAACUUCUAUAUAUUCUGCACAUAAAUCCCUACAACCCAAACCUCCCCAGACAUAAAGCAUAUAUGUAUAUUAAUUUGAUGCCGACGACAUCUUUCCGAAUUUAAACUAACAUAGAAACUCAAAGUCUCAACCGCGUAGCUGAGAUUCGAAAACCUGACUACUAUGUCACUGGUGGUCUAGUAAGACAUUUCUGCAUUUUCUAAAAGAAAAAUCCAUAAGCAAAUUUCCUUAAAUUAAUUAAACUGGGUACUUAAUUUAUAGCCAAUAUUGUACACUAGCAAAGCCAAUAGUAUAGUCAUGUAAGGGCAGAAGAGAUCUAGCAGCACAAUUCAGUUAAGGGAAUGUCUGCGUCUUGACGUAUGUGGAGGUAGAUAAGGCCGUUUUUGGCCAUACAUAUUUACCUUUUUUGUGAUGCCUUCGGGGUUAAGUAAAAGCUAGUUAUUUUAGGGAUAGGAUUAAGUCCAGGGCUAAGAUGGUGUUAGAGUAAUUUUGUGUUUUGGUUGAAAAUUGAAUUUAUUUCAGAUAUAAGCAAAACAAUAUUUGGUUAGAGUAAGUAGAGUAAAAAGGAUAGUGGGUAGUUAUAAAUAGAAAAAUAAUGAUAUUGCCCCAAUUAUUAUAUUUGAAUUUAAAUUUAAAAUUUACAUAAUUAAAAAUAAUAGUUUAAAAUUUAAAAUUUAAAAUUCAAAAUUAAAAUAUAUUUUUUUAAAUCUCAAAUUUAAAAACUUAAAGUUACAAAUAUAAAAUAUUAAAUUUAAAAUUUAAAUAAUUAAAAAUAAUAAUUUUAAAAUUUGAAUUUUUUAAAAUAAAUAUUAAUUUUAAAAUUUAAAAUUAUAAUUUUUAAAUUUAAAAUUUAAAAAUUAAAAUUUAUAUUUAUAUUUAAAAAUAAAAUAGGGGUGGGACUAACUUAAUCCCAUCCUUAUUCCUGGGUUGGGGUGGGGUUAACUAACCCUAACCCCCAAAAUUCUUGUUUGGGGUUAAAGGGGGGGGGGUAACCCCCUUAUCGUCCCCCCUUUAACCCCGAACCAAACGGGGUGUUAAAAGCAUUAGAAAAUUCAUNUUAAAAAUAUCAAAUUUAAAAUUUAAACUUUAAAAUUUAUAAUUUUAAAUUAUAAAUUUUAAUUUUGAGAUUAUAAAUUUUAAAAAUUUAAAUUUUAAUUUAAAAUAAAAAUCUCUCUCUCUCUCUCUCUACCCGGCGGGGUGGGAACAGAACAAGCUUGUUCCCACCCAUACCUAGUACAACCCGGUAUGGGUGGGAACAAGUUGUUCCCACCCACCCAGAUUUUUGUUUGGGUACAAGAGGGGGGAUAACCCCCUUAUCCCCUCCUUUAAUCCCGAACCAAACGGGGUGUUAGGUAUCGUUUGGUUCGGGGAUAAGUAAAAAGUGGCUAUUCCAGGGAUAGGUAUAAAUUGAAAUAUAAGCAGUGAUUAGAUCAAUUUUGCAUUUGAAUGAAAAUUAGGUUAUUCCUGAGAAUAAAAAAAAUAGCGUUUGGUUAGAUUAGAUGGAAUAAGAAGUGUAGUGAGUUUUAAUAAAUAAAAAAUAAUGAUAUUAUAUACCUACCUAUUAUAUUUGAAUUUAAAUUUUUAAUUUUUAAAUUUAUUUUAAAUUUUAAAAUUUUAACUUUGAUAUUUCAAAUUUUGAAAUCUCAAAUUUUAAAAUCAAAAUUUUAAAUUUUAAAUUUUAAAUCUCAAACUUUAAAUUUAAGAUCAAAUUUAAAUUUAAAAAAUAUAAAAUAUCAAAUUUUAAAUUUCAAAAUUUUAAAAUAUCAAAAUUUAGAAUUUAAAAUUUAAAAUUCUAAACUUUAAUUUUGAGAUUACAAAUUAUAAAUUUUAAAAAUUUAAAUUUUAAAUUUUUAAAUUUUUAAAUAAGAAUAGGGAUGGGAACAAUUAAUAAAAAUAAUUUAUUAUAAUAAAUUUAUAAAGUUUUUUAAAAUUCUACUUAAACUUAAAUUUAAUAAAUAUAAUUUAUUAUAAUAUUUAAAUAUAAAUAAUAUUUAUUAAUAUAGUACAAUUAAUAAAUUUAUAAUAAAAAAAUAUAUUAUAAUAUAUAACAUAUUAUAUUUAUAUAAUUUAGUGUUAAUUUAAUUUAUAAUUUUAAUUAAGUUUGAAAUUAAGCAUUGGAAUAGCAAAUUUUUUGCUAUUCCGGGAUAACUGGGAAUAGUAAGGUUUGACCGGAAUAAAAUAUUCCGAUAAAAAAUCGCCCCGUUUGGCGGAACCCCGCUUAUUCUCCUAAUCGAACGAUGCCUUAAUCUCGUAGGCUUGAUUACCAUUCAAAAUACUAUAGCUAGGUUAACAGAUUAGUGUUAUCAUUCUUUUUGUGGGUAUCACAUUCUUUUCUUUUUUAAGCUUUGACGUCCUCAGGCUAAAGCACACUCGCAAGUAUCAAACGAUAUGAAGCUUAUUUCGUCAGUCUCAACGGACUAUAUGGUAAAUCUGUGACACAUCGAAAAUUUUAUAUUUAUAUGGAUAUAAAAUUUUAGUUAGAAAUACAAAAAAUCAUAAAUUUUAAAUUAAAUUUAAAAUAUUUUAAAUUAAAUAAUUUAAUUUUAAUGAAUUAUUAUUGCUGGCAAAUAGAACGGUUAGCAAAUGCAGCAAACAUAAGGAAAGCAAAGGAAAGGGAGAAGCGACAAGAAAGCCAUGGAAUGGACACGUAGGGCGUACGAUAUUCGCUGUGAGACCGCCACAGUGUCCGGGCAACUUAAGGCAACAUCCGAGGGGCACGCUAACUGCCCGCACAAAGCGACAGAAUCUCCCGCGCCACGUCCGCAGCGGCAUGCAAUCGAGAGCGAGCCGAGAUGAUGGUCGCAAACCCGUCCACGAUUCCCCCUCCCAUUGGUCCAAACGUUCCCAUGGCGCACCCCACAAUCCAAACCCAAAUUUCUUACAACUCACCUACUGCCCAGAGCAAGUGACAAAAAAUUUAAUAAUUAAUAUUCAAAAUUUUAAAUUUAAAUUCUAAUUACUUUAUAUUUUUAAUUAAAUUUAUUUUUAAAUAAAAUAAUAGAAACGAAUAGCAUAUUAUCUAUCUCUCAAAUAAAAAAAAAUUUAUAUAACUUUGUGCCUAGUGUUUUCCUACGUAUGCUUCUUCUGAUUUUUGGGUGUGAUUAACUUGUAGUAACGCUAUUAAUUAAUUUGGCUAAGAAUUAGCUGCGGAAUUAAUUUAGUAUGUGGGCGAAUCCUGCCCACGGAAUUGUAUCCAAUUCCCACCCGAUUUUAACUCCGCGAACGCACGCAUUCUACACACACCUGUCCCUCGCCCAUUGGACGCGUUACUUGCUUGCGCCUGGUUCAUCGGUAAGCCAUGCACCGUAGAAUUUUUACCACGUGAUUAAGUCAGUCGAUCGUUUCUCGCCGCACCUAGUUCGCUGAUACAUCGUGGACCGUACGAUUUAUUUUAGGAAUAAUUUCAUACUGUGCCCUUUCCUGUAAAUAUAUCAAACAGCAUAUAUAUUCCUACUAAGAUUAAUUUUUCAUAUUUAUUUUUACAAAAGUCCGGUGAUAUUCAUAUUUACCUUUCUGAUUUGUUACCAUUAGAUUACUAUUUAAUUUUUAACAGAAGAUAAGUAAAAAUGAUAUUUUGCUCUCUCAAAUAUACCCCUCCAAACAUCCCAACUAUUAGAAUUGUACAAAAAUAUUCUUCCAAAAAUUUUCAACGGUCACAUUCUUUCUUUAUAAGUAAAAUGUUAUUUUUGUCAUCACAAAUAUAAGAGUGGUAAAGAAAGCAAUUUACCUUAUUCGAUUACUAAUCAAGGUAAAGUAUUUUAUCUAUAGUUAAUUAUAUUUUUCUAACGGAUCUAAAGACAAUGGAUAUUUGAAAAUGUUAGAAUUUUUAUAGAAAUAAAUAUGAAAAGUUAAACUUUAUAUAUAGAAAUAUAUCUACUAUUUGAUAUGUUUAUAGAGAGUUGUAUGAAAUUAUCCCUUUAUUUUAAAAGGCCCAUUUGGUUCACGAUUUAUAAAGUUUUGAUAAAUUUUUAUUUUUUUACUAAAAAUAUUUAAAUUACUAUCCUUCAAUUCAAAUUGAGCCGUUGUAAAAAAUAUUAGUGAAAAAAUAUAAUCAUCGUACAUUAAUUAGAUAAUAGGAAUACUACGUUAUCAUAAAUUAGGAGAUAUUUUUAUCUCCAUACUUGAUGAAAAGCUAUAAAUAGUUAAUUAAUAACAAUAUUUCAACUCAAGUGGCUUAAUAAUUAAUACCAAGGUUGUCAUUCUCAAUAUAAAAUAUAAAAUAUUUUUAAAAUUAUUACAAAUCUGGAAUCAAAUGACCACUUAUUUUAAUUUUUAUCAUCCAAUAAGUUAAGCGGCAACCCUUUCUUUUUCUGAAAUUAAAAUUUGUUUACACUAACUUUAUGAUAGUUUAACACAUACAUAUGGUUAUAUUCUGUGAUUACCGUUCAUUAUAAUAAAAAAAAAAGAAAAAUACUAUUUAUGCAUCAAAAAACUGAGUGUAAGCUUUAUACCUUUUAAUCCAAAAUUUUAACUAUUUUUUUAAAAAACUUUUAAUAAUAAGACAAAAGUAUAAGUUUUAUGACGAUUUUUAUAGCAUUGCUCAAAAAUGGCAUGUGAAAUGAAAAACAAACUUAACUGAGAAACUAAAAAGCAACUUUUCAUUUAUGGUGCAACAAAAUAGUAAUUACAGUGCAACUUAAUGUAAUAAAUAGAUUAUGUAUACUAAAUCAACACGCACUAAAGAUCCACAAGGGGUGUUAGAUAAUUAACACAACUUAGUACAAUAAAUAAUAUUACAUAGUAAGAAACUGAGCAUUGAUUGAAGAACAACAGGAGGUGUAGCCAAAUUUUUUCCCCUUUUUAAUCUUUCUUUUAAUUUUUGGAGUUGCAUCCUCAUUGGUUCCUCACCCGAAUACCGCUAUUUGAGAAUCUAGAAAUUUGAACAUCUAAAUUUUGAAACGCACACGUGUGGUUCGAUCUUCCCGACCCAAAUAAUAGUCUACAGUAUUUUGACUUUACAAUUUAAAUUUGUCAUUUAUUUUUACCAUGUUAAUUAGUAUGCUCCAUGUAAUUUUCGCAACUGUAAAUUUAUUAUACUAAAUAAUUAACUUAAAAUUUAACGUUAAAGUAUUAUCGACCGACUUUAAUUAAAUAAAUUAAAAUUUUAAAUAGUAAAAUUAAAAUUUUGAACGAUUAAAUAGUCGACUCAAAAUGAAUUAUAGUACAGAUAAUUUUUGUACACCUUUACCUUCUUUUAUAUAAUAUAUUCGCAGAUAACCCAAAUUGCCCGAAAGCCCCUCUAGACGAGGAGGAAUUCUACACUAUCACACCUGCAGCACGUCACCAAUAACAAGCCAACCACCUUUCUUAUUUUCAAACAAAAAUACAAUAAAAAUAUUUUUUUAUAAUCAUGAUGGGACAUAUAUAUCUAAAAGAAGAUUUUUAAUUAAUUUGUUAUGCCACGUCACCAAUAUAUCCGUUGUAUUCUAAAAUUUUUCCUAGACGAGCGUGGAUGUAUUGAAAAUGCAAGAAUAGAGAGAUAUCCGUGCACCGGGUGCGGGCAAAAGUUCGCUGCGCCUACCUGGGCAACUGAAGCUUCUAAUACCCUCUGCAGCCGCAUUUCAUGCUCACACGCCCCCUUCAUUUUCUCAUACUAACCCCCCCAAAUAUAAAAGAGGAGAACUAGCUCAAUUCUACAAAAGAAGAGGGUGGAGGUAAAUUGGGAUCCAAAAAAGAAAAAAAAAAAAAGAAAAAAAAGGAAAAGGAGAGAGAAAAGAUCCGAAACAAUUAAUAAUGGCUCAUAGCGGGGAGUUGUUUCUAGGAGAGGCUGCAGGAGUUGCGGAUCCCUUUGCGUCGAUGAACGGCUUCGCGGGGAAGCGGGGGAGGCGAGGAGAGUCGACGAAAAAGAGGCGGUUCAGCGAGCAGCAGGUGCGGUCGCUGGAGACGACGUUCGAAGUGCAGGCGAAGCUGGAGCCGAAGAAGAAGGCGCAGCUGGCGCUGGAUCUGGGGCUGCAGCCGCGCCAGGUCGCCAUCUGGUUCCAGAACAAGCGCGCCCGCUGGAAGUCCAAGCAGCUCGAGCACGAAUUCGCCGCAUUGCGCGCCGACCACGACGCCCUCUUCGCCGCCGUCGAGGCCCUCCGCAGGGAGAAGCAGAUCCUCCUCAGACAGGUAGCGGCCAAGGAUCCUUCGACAUUUCCUUGAUCUCCAACCUCAUGUCGAAUUUUUAAUUUGUUGUAACUUAUGCGCUAAAAUCUAACUUCCGUUCUAAUUAUGUCACUAACUUACUAAUGAUGUAUUUACUCGUAUUCUACCUCUAAUAUGUUACGUUUUUUUUCCCCUUUUGUUUGAACAGUUGCAGAAGUUGAAGGAAUUGCUCGAGAAGCAAACAGAGGAGAACGAAAAGGAUGGCGGAUCCAGUAACGGUGGCAAUCGAGCCAUCGCGGCAUCGAGAGAAGGGUCGGCGAACGAAAAUGUAUUGAACUCAGAGCAUGGAGAGAUAAAGCUGAGCUGUGUAGCGCAAGAAGAAGAUGCAGGAUUGUUGUAUAUGGGAGAGCCUGAGGUUAGUGGGUGCCUCACUUCAAUAGGAGAACAACAACAACAACAGUGUGGUUUCAACUGCAGUAGCUCUCCUGAGAAUUGUACUACUACUACUACUACUACUACCUCUGAGUGGUGGGAGUUUUGGCCUCUGACUGAAUUAAACCCUGUAGCUUGAGAAGGGAGAUGAGUUUGAUGUUUGUAAUUAAGGAUGGAGUGUUCUUGCAGAAUAGACCUAGUGGGGCUUUUUUAUUUUUGAGAUGAAUCUUCGCGAAAUUAAAAAAAAAAAAAAAAAAAAAAAGCAAAAAGGUAGCAUAGUAUUAAAAUUAUAUGAAAUAAUCGCCAUUCUCCCGUUCGGGUUAAUAGAAAACAGGUUAAGAACCUGAUAAGAUUCGAACUCAGAAUCUACUAUUUUGAUACUGUGGUAAAAUUACGUACAAGAAUUAUUGUUAUGCAAAAAUUUAAGCUGACAGAAAGUAAUAUUUUAAUGUUAUAUGUUCAACAUGCUAGACUUUGAAUUGGUAGCAACUCUCUUUACCUAAAUUAUGGGUUAUUUUGUUUUUGCUAUCUAAUUUUUUAAUUUAUUUGAUUUAAGUUAGUCAACAGUAUUUUGAUUUCGAAAUUUAAAUAAGUUGUUUAUUUUCUAGAGAUUUAAUUAAUACACUUCACAUAAUUCUCGCAACUAUAAAUUUAUUAAUGUAAGCAAUUUGCUCAAAUUUUGAAGUUAAAAUAUCGUUAACUAAUUCAAUUCAUACAAAUUAAAACGUUGGACGGCAAAUUAAAAUCUUAAAAGUUUGGAUAAACAAUCCAAAAUAGUCCAUAGAUGAGAAAUUCUAGUUGUACAGGGAAUGUAAAUCUUACAUUUUCAUCCUAGGGUUUAUAAAAUUUCAAAUAAUUUCAAUAAAAAAAGAAAUUUUGAUGUGACAAAUAAAAAAUUAAUAACCCUUGAAUGGAGUGGUAUAAAAUAUAUACUCUAAUUUGGGAUGCAUCGGUAGCAUUGCUUUUUACAUAAGUUAUGUACAUUUUUAUCAUUAAUAAAAACAAAAUAUAGUUACACCUGAUGUGCUAGAAACACAAUUGGGCAUCGGUGUUUGAACUAUUGUUCUAUCGAAUCAAUUCUGGUCGCAUAGAGGGUACGAGUAGGUGAAUGAAAGCAACACAGUUGUGGAUUUAUUGCAUAUUUUUCUCGCAUGUUACUUCCAGUGAUUAAGACGUAAUAAGCUAACAAGCAAUUCGCUAUCAAGUGUUUGAAAUUAAGGGCCAGAAUCUUCUAGAUUCAUAAAAUUACUCAUUGUAUUAUAAGUAUUGAGUGUAAUUGGCCAUGUCGCAAUAACUAUUUUUUAUAUCUAGACAUGAAUUCUCAUGGUUAAAUUCUAUGUGGAUGUACCCUCUUAAUUUGAGAGCGGUGAGACCUUUUUUUUUUUUUUCUAAGUAAAAUGUAUCUUCUCCCUCACCUCCUUCAAUUCAUUCAGCUUUACCGACCAUCCCAAAAGCAAGUAGCAAAGAAUUUGGUGGUUUGCACCCGAGACCUAAGCUCGAAUCCUAGUUGAUUCACAUUUUCAGCUAAGUUUAUUUCUAAAUGAAAUAAAAGAAACAGAUAGUGUGCUACCUAUCUCCCUCACCUCCUUCAAUUCAUUCAGCUUUCUCUCUCUCUCUGCUUUUCUUUUUUUCCUCCCAUCUAAAAUGAGAAGAGAAAUAUUGUAUUUAUUAGACCAAUUAGGAGAUGAUGAGGCACAUUUAUUAUAUAAUUUAAAGAAAGGUUUGUAAAGGUUAUGAAAAAAAAGGGAAUCAAAUUAAUUAGAUGGUGUGACAUUAUUGUAUAAUGCAUGCAAUUAAGCACGUGGAGAUAAUUCACUUAUGAACAUCCUAUUUCUAACAAUUUCUAUGUGAAAAUAUAUGGAACAAAAUAAGGCAGCGAAUGUUGGGGGUUGUGAGUAAAUUAAUUCAAGAACAUAUGCACUUAAUUACAUUUGCGCCUAUAAGAUUUAUCAUACAUGCAUGUAUGUCCCUCUCCCCUCACCUUACUUAUGCAACAGUUUUGGUGAAGAAGCGGAGGUUAUCCCACAAGAGCGCUCGCCGAUUCAAAUUCCUUCUUAAAGAUAAUUUUUUUUAAAAUUUUUCGCUCUAAUCUUCCCUUUUAUUUUGAUUGAUUGAUCCAUCUGCAUCUCCUACUUUUGUUUCUUUUUUUAACUUGAAUUGAUUUGGGAGAGAUCGAUCACGUGAUGAUGCAAUGCAUAGCGAGAUACUGAAGUUGGUGGAGGGGAAGGAGCCGCAGCAGCUCCCGCAGGGUGAGGACCUUCCAGGAAUGGGGCAAUUCUAUUUCGUCUAUUGAAAGAAAGAUUUGAAAUUAAGAUGAUUUGAUUCGAGAAGUUUUUUAAGUUUUAUAAGGUUUAGAAAUUAAGAUGAUUCAAUUUGGUGAUUGAAUUCAAAAAGUUUUGAUUUUGAUGGGUUUCUUUUCGUGUAUCAGCGAACGACGAUGCUAAGGAGAGCAUUUUCGGUCGAAGCGCCACAAGAAACGGUCAGCUCUCGCUGUUCUUACUGUUUGAUAUUGACUCAAUUGCAUCAGCAUGUUAAAUAUUAGUGUGGUUUGAUGUUUUUAUUGUCGUCAUCGUCAUCGCCAUCACCCAUCCUCAAAUCUCUCUCUCCCACUAGGGUUUCAAUCCUUCCCCAUGGCCAACGUCGAAGCCCCCACGGCAGCGCCACCGCCUCUGCUGCCGUUCUUCGUGUUCCGAUGGACGAGACCACCACAAAGAAAUUUUGAGACAUGCUGGAUGAUUUGUUAAAUAGAAAUUUUAAUUUGUACAAAUUUUGAGAGCGUAGCAGUUGGACUUGAUGUUAGUUGAAUUCCGGUUCGGUUGAUAUUAAAUGAGAGCCUUAGGUUUAAAAGAGUUGGGAUAAAAAUAUAUUCUUUCGUCGCAAAUUUGUAUGUUACUCUACUCAAAUGUGGUAUAGUAAUAAGAUAUUACUUAGCAAAACUAAAGAAGCACAUCUUUAAAUUUUAACUUUGUAACCAGCCCAUUGGUGGAUAGUUAGUAAUUAUUAGCCUAAUAGAAUAGGCCCAACAUUUUGGCUUUUCGUGGUAGGCAUAAUUGACCUUUGUCCAUGGGCUUAAUUAAAGCCGAAUUUAAUUUUUAAAUUAAACCAAGAGUACAUGUUCAUAGAUGAGCUUUUUAGUUUUCUUGAGCAAAUUGGAUUGAAUCUUAAUAUAUGUGCAAGUUGGUUGGAUUAAUCAAUUAUAUCUACUAUAGACUUGUUGUCCAAUGUAAUCACUUAAUUUUUUUUCUUAACUAAAAAUAAGGGUUAAAAAAAAAAAAUCUAUAAAGAACACCUUCUAAAAUAUCCAGGGACGUAAAUAAGUGGAACAAAAGCGAGCUAAGCCAAACUCAAAAUCAAUUUGUUCAGUGACAAAUAAAACUUGCUUAUUAUUAUUAUUAUUUUUUUAACAUGCUAUUCUUUGUUAGUUCUUAACUUUUGAAUGCACAUGCAAUAUGGUUUUUUAAAUACCAUGAGGAUAAAGGCAAGCGAAUUUCUGUAUUUUAAAUUUAUUAUUGUUCUCUUCAUGAAACUGUAAUUAAUGUUUAAUAUUAUAUUAAUGCGUGCUUAUUUUCUAAUUGCAUGUCGGUUACUUAAUCCUUCUUGAGCUCAAAAAAGAGUCCGCUCAUUGAGUUUCUUUGUAGACACAUUAUUAAUGUGAUGUUUCUAGCUAAUCAAAUUGCUCUUCUAUAAUUUAUCUAUUUUAUUAUAACUAUUUUUUAAAAAUAUUUUUAUUUUAUUUCUUUAAAAAAAUUAAUUUAUUAAAAUAAUGCAGUGUAACUGUUACUUAGUAUACUUCCUCACUCGCGUUAGCAAACCAACGCAACUUUUUCCUUCUUUUCCUUUUUCAAAUAUAAAAAUAAAAAUAAUUAAACCUCAAAAAGGCAUUUAAUGAAGCCCAUUCGAAACGUACGCCAAAAAGCAAUCCCCGCUCCCCUCUCUCUCUCUCUCUCUCUCUCUCUCUCUCUCUUUUCUUAAACCCCAAUCCAAAGCAACGACACCCAAAUCCCCACAUCCACCGCCCCACUUUUGCCCUAAUCCCCUUCUCCACAUGCCUCGCGCCUACGGCGGCGGCGGCGGCGGCGGCGCAGGCGCCGUGAACGACCUCUCCGCCUCCGCCGCCCGCGGCGGUGGAUGCAGAUGCGGCGGCGGCGGCGGCGGCGGCGCGGAGGAGGCGGGGGUGGGGUGCCCGUGGCGGUGCCCUGCGUCCUCGUCCCGCUCCUCCUCGCGGGGCUCGGCGUCGCCGUGUUCAUCCUCGCCGUCGUCCACAACGCGCUCUUCCUCGCCGUGCUCCUCCUCGUCUCCGCCCUCGCCUUCGCCUUCUUCCGCUGGAACGCCGCCGCCUCCCGAUCCAAUCGCGCCCUCGUCCUCUUCCUCGAUCGCUUCCCCGCCUCCGAUCUCCGAUCCGCCGCCGAUGGCCAGAUCGUUAAGAUCACCGGGGUGCGUUCGAUUUCUCUGUUCUUCAGCUAAUUUCGCAAUUUAUUGUUCUAACUAGGUUGAUUUCUUUUUAUAUCUCGAAUCUUUUCGAUUAGAGGUAGAAUGGAUGAUCAACUACUACCGCGCUUGAAUCGGGACAUGCAUUGUUAUAAUUGAAUGUUUUUCAUGGUUUUUUCAAUGAACUAACAAUGCCUUUAACGUGUGUAAGUGGAGCUCAGAGCGCAUAACUCAUCGUUUGAUCUCUAUCUCUUGCCCAUUGAAUUUCAGAUAUGAAGAUCAGUUUGAUCUAUUGACGCUUCUCUGUAAUCAAAUUAUGGAAUUAUUGAUAAGCGCUUAUAAUUUUCUCAACUAGCUAGAUUGAUGAAUGAUCUGAGCUUGAUCUUGGCCUAUCUUGCCUAUUUUUUCUUUUAAAUUUGAUUAAAAUGUACAUAAAUGAACAAAUCGUAGAAGUUUGCAAUCUAUUUAAGAACUAUCCUCUCUCAUCUUCAUUAAAUGCAGUUUGCUUCGUGUGGUGAUGUUCCUCUGGUUUCUUCGUAUGAGAAGGUUGGAAGAUGUGUGUAUACAUCCACGCUUUUCUAUAAAUAUAGCGGAUGUUUACCGAUGCUAGCAAAUUCCAAAAUCCGAUGCCUCCGGUGGGAUUUAGCAUCUGUAGAGGUAAUCAAGCAUCUUAACUUUUUGAGAGAAUAGAGGCUAAGAUAUCUAACUGAUUGAGCCCGAUAUAUAUUGCUCCUAAAUGUUUUAGCUUGAUUUUUUUGCUUUUUAUCAUCCAGUUCAACUUAUAUGUGGAGCAAGUAUGCAAACUGUGGUUCUGGUUAUUGUACAAUGAACAUGCAUUGCUAUGAACACCCCAUGUUGAUGUAUGGAUAUUGAACUUAAUCACACAUUCACUCUACUAUGAAUAUAUGCAUAGUUUUUAUGCAAGAACAUUGCUCAGUAUAUGCCGCUCUUUGGAGUUUAACAUUGACUUCUGAGUCCAUGUUUAAACUUAUGUUCUAGUUUCCUCGUGCCUCUCAACUAGAACUAUUUUCUUUGCGCUGUUCUGCUUAUUCUGUAACCUUUAUUUGUACCGUUCGCAGAGGUUAGCUUUGGACUUUUACAUAACAGAUGCCAAAUCAGGUAUGAGAGCUUUGGUCAAAGCUGGCCACAACUCGAAAGUGAUUCCCCUGAUUGAUGAAAACGUUCUUGUUAACACUACACAUAGAAACAGAGAAGUAUCUUCGACAUUAAGCAAAUGGCUAGAAGAAAGAAACCUUUCUCCUGAAGCUCACAUGAUUCGUCUUGAGGAAGGGUACUUUUCAACUAUUAAGAACUUCUUUGUCAAGCAGUUGUAUUACCAACUAUUAUUGAAGUGUCCAGCAUUUGUUGUACUGUUAUUUUUAUGAUACUGAUAGGUAUAUAAAAGAGGGAAGGUCCUUGACCGUGAUGGGCAUACUGAGUAUAAAGAGUGGUGUUCUAAUGAUCAUUCCACCAGCUGAACCUAUUUCUACAGGAUGCCUAUUGAAGAAUUUUCUCCUCCCUGUCGAUUUUGACGGACUGCUUUUGAAAAUUUCUGACCCAAAUAACUUCAUGCCUGGCCUUGACGCUUCCAAUUAGCAGACAAUUCAGGUGAGUUAUUACUGGACAAAAUCUCUACUUGUUUUGAUACGUUGAUAACAUUAACACUUCUAAGUUUAUGAUUGUUUCUUGGAAAAGCUUUUUAUGCAGUUCCUUCCAUCAGUUUCGUUCCUAGUUGGCAUCCAGAAUUGGGGGGGUCUGGGUACCCACCAUUCUGAUUUUAGAGUAUGGCUUGUUUUUUUUUUUGUUUUUUCCCUUCAAUAAUUGAUGGGGUUCACUUGAUGAACUGAGUUUCCUCUAAGAUGUUGACUAAUCAUUUGUUCCCACAAAGUGCUGAAGUUAUAGGAAAUAGCACUUAUAAAGGUAGGUCUAAGAAAAUAUUGAGACAUUCAGAAAUGAUAGCUUAUAGUUUACUGUAGAAUCCUGAUAUCCAGAUCUCGAAAGAGUGGACUAACUAAGAUCCACAGAUAGGGACACAAGCCCCAAAUUUAUGGGCUCGCUCUUGACCUCAAUGGUAUCUUAUCACAGACCACUGGUGCUUUAGCUCUCGGUCCCUGAGAUUAUAUUACUCUAUUCUGCAGGUUUAGGGUUCACUAACUUUAUUAAAGGGUGGUGCUAUUGCAACCUGUGCAGCUACUCCGACGAGUGAACAAAGAAUUGAGCUUGUUCGAGGAGGCCAGCGAACACAUUUUGAACUUUUUGUACAGUAAGACCUGACAUUACAUCUUUUUGUCCUUGACAUUGCUUCACCUUUGAGGGAAAAUUUACAAAUUGAUCCCCACUAGAGCUUUUCAGCUGUAUCUUUUGUUCAGCUGUAUUCUUGUUAAGGAGAAACUGAAUAUCAUGUACAGAACCUCUUGUCAUUUGCUACAGCUAUUCUUCGUUUGAGAACUCUUUCACCGCAACUGUGGUCCUUUUUAACCUCUUGUCAUUUGCUACAGCUAUUCUUCGUUUGAGAACUCUUUCACCGCAACUGUGGUCCUUUUUUUUGCCGCCUUAGAAUGUACAAUAUAAUGUGGUUCCAAGUUGAACUCAAAAACCUGUUGAAAUUAUUGCUUUUUCCGCAUUUGGGUGGCUCCCUUCUAAGAUCAAAGCUUCAGCCCAGAAUGCAGUUUUCUCAGAAUUUAAAAAAAUAACCAUUCGAUAGUGAUUUAGCUCUGUAGGAUUUAUGUUCUAUGAAAUCAAAAAGAAAAUCAAACCAAUAUUGCCAUGUAGAAUCACACUCUUCAGAGAUUUUGGAUACCUUGCAGUCCUAUUUACAAAUAACACUGUGGACCUCAUUCACAGAUAAAAACCUCAUUCACAGAUAAAAGUGCCAAUCUAACAGCUUGCUUUGUACCAAAUCCAGCUAGCACAAAAGAAAAACCCAGAAUACUAUAUUAAACUUCUUCAUCUUACUUUUUAGGAAUCAAAAUCUAUUAUUACCCUUCGGUUAACUCUCUACUUCUUGACCUCCUCGUAUUCCGCCUCAGGAGUCUCAUCACUGCCACUGCCCUUCGAACCACCACCGGUCAUAUGCUGUCCGAUCUUCGAGACCGCCUUAUUCGCGGCAUCAAUCUUCGCUUUAAUCUUCUCGACAUCAUCUCCCGACAUCUCUUUGCGCAGAUCGGCAAUCGCAUUCUCGAUCUCCGAGACAACGUCAGAAGGAAUCUUAUCUCUGUAUUCGCUCAAACUCUUCUCUAUACUGUAAACAGUAGAAUCUGCAGUGUUCCUCACAUCGAUAAGCGCUUUUCUCUCCUGAUCUUUCUGGGCAUGAAGCUCGGCCUCCUUGACCAUCUUCUGAAUCUCUUCCUCCGAGAGCCCGCCGGAGGACCGGAUUGUAAUUUGCUGCUCCUUCCCUGUUGCUUUAUCUUUAGCAGAUACUGUCACUAUGCCGUUGGCAUCGAUAUCAAAUGUGACUUCGAUCUGCGGCAUGCCUCUAGGAGUUGGUGGAAUACCCACCAGCUCAAACUCGCCGAGGAGCUUGUUGUCUGCAGCCAUUUCGCGCUCGCCUUGUAGAACGCGGAUACCAACCUGGGUCUGGUUGUCGGCUGCGGUGGAGAAUACCUGAAUAUGGACGGAAACCAAAACAUGAGAGAUUCAUACAAAGACUUUGAAUAGCAUAAAUCACAAUGUAGAACCUCAAACCUUCUAGCAUGCAGUCUUGGUUUUAUCCUCAAAACUCGUUUUGCCCUCUAGAGAAGGCUAAUCUUAAAUUGUUACAAUUGAAUCCAUAGUGUCUGCAGUUAAUAGCAAUCGUAUCCUUUCGGUUAAAUUCCCUCCAUCAAUUUGAUGAAAUAUCCACAUAAUCAUUAUUAUCCAAUCUACACGUUAGUGACAUUUGGACUUAUUAUAUGCGUUGUAAUUAAAUUUUACGGUAUAAUUUAACAAAAAGGCAAGAUUGCAAAACCUAAUUGUAAAAAAAUGAAAGGCAAAGUAUCAAACUGAAAACUCCUAAAGAUGCUUGGGUCCCCUGAUGAAAUAUAUCAUUGCGAAUAAUGCCUUACUGAUUUUGAAUUCCCAAACAUAAAUAGAGCCCAAACGAAAGAACAUGGAUUCACCUGACUUUUCUUAGUUGGGAUGGUCGUGUUCCUGUUGAUCAGCCGCGUAAAGACACCACCAAGAGUCUCAAUGCCGAGCGAAAGUGGAGUGAUGUCUAAAAGCAGAAGCUCCUUCACAUCUCCACGGAGGAUGCCGCCUUGAAUUGCCGCGCCCAUUGCAACAGCUUCAUCUGGAUUCACACCUUUGCUCGGUGUCUUCCCGAAAAGCUCUGCGACCACCUCUUGCACCUUCGGAACCCUCGUCAUUCCACCUACGAGAAGAACCUCAUCUAUGUCCUUCGUAGAUACGUUUGCAUCCUUCAAGCAGUUCUUACACGGCUCUCUCGUUCUCUCGAUCAAGUGGUUUAUUAAAGACUCAAACUUCGAUCUUGUUAGCGCGAUAUGCAUAUGCUUCGCGCCUGACGCAUCGGCUGUUAUGAAUGGAAGAUUGAUCUCUGUCUGGGUUGUCGAUGAAAGCUCGAUCUUCGCUUUCUCAGCUGCUUCUCUAAGCCUUUGUAGGGCUAGCCUGUCCUUUGAAAGAUCGAUGCCUUCGGUUCGUUUAAAUUCAUUCACCAAGUAUUCUACGAGAACAUUGUCGAAAUCUUCUCCACCUAAGAAAGUGUCACCAUUUGUUGCUUUGACCUGGGAAAUUAACAGAUAACAGCUGCCAACUAUUAGCUACCCAAAUGAUACAAAAGAUAUUCUUAAGAACCUGAAUUCUCACAUAUUACCUUCAAAAGAGCAAGUUUUUGCAGUAACCCGCUUUCUUAAUUUACAGAGUCAUCCACUUUAUGAGAGGGUAAGUUGGUUUUUGUCUUACAAAUUCUUUAAGGUGGGCAUUUGUAAGUAUAAGGGUAUAGACAUGAGAGAUUGAAUUUUCAUAGGACAUAAAUAAACAUUCAUAUUUGUCGACAAAAUAUAUGUCGAAAUGUCGAGUAGAUAAAUUUACGGUGUGUAUAUAUACGGAAAAGCAAUGACUCACCUCAAACACACCGUUCGAAAUUUCCAGGAUGGAGAUAUCGAAGGUUCCUCCUCCAAGAUCGAAAACCGCAAUUAAACCCUCCUUGUUAUUCGUCCCAUAAGACAAAGCCGCUGCAGUGGGUUCGUUUAUAAUCCUCUGAACAUCAAGCCCGGCAAUCCGGCCCGCAUCUUUUGUAGCCUGCCUUUGCGCAUCGUUAAAAUAAGCCGGAACGGUAAUCACUGCUUUCGAAACAGAUUUUCCGAGAUAGGAGUCCGCAGUUUCUUUCAUCUUCGUCAGAACGAAUGCACCGACCUGGCUUGGGGAGAACUGCUUCCCAUCCGUUGUUUCGACCCACGCAUCUCCAUUUGGGGCCUUCACAAUUUUGUAAGGUACCAUCUUCAUCUCCUUUUGAACUAAGGGAUCAUCAAAACGGCGCCCGAUUAACCUUUUGGUCCCGAAAAAUGUAUUUGCGGGGUUGGUGACCGCUUGGCGUUUAGCUGGAGUUCCUACUAGCAGCUCUCCCUUUGGCGUAAAGGCGACCACUGAGGGAGUAGUCCUCGACCCUUCCGAGUUCUCGAUGACUUUAGGAUUCUAGAAACAUAAUAUCAGCAGCGAACAAAUGAAUGAGGUUUUCGACAAAAAUGUCGAGAGUGAUUAAAGCCACGAAGAGAGUUUAACCUUUCCCUCCAUAACAGCCACACAUGAGUUUGUUGUUCCCAAAUCGAUUCCGAUUAUGUCAUUUGCAGCAGGUUUUGUGCUGAGUUAAAGAAAACCAAAAAAAAAAAAAAAAAAAAAAAAAAAAAAAAAAAAAAAAAAAAAAAAAAAAAAAAAAAAAAAAAAAAAAAAAAAAAAAAAAAAAAAAAAAAAAAAAAAAAAAAAAAAAAAAAAAAAAAAAAAAAAAAAAAAAAAAAAAAAAAAAAAAAAAAAAAAAAAAAAAAAAAAAAAAAAAAAAAAAAAAAAAAAAAAAAAAAAAAAAAAAAAAAAAAAAAAAAAAAAAAAAAAAAAAAAAAAAAAAAAAAAAAAAAAAAAAAAAAAAAAAAAAAAAAAAAAAAAAAAAAAAAAAAAAAAAAAAAAAAAAAAAAAAAAAAAAAAAAAAAAAAAAAAAAAAAAAAAAAAAAAAAAAAAAAAAAAAAAAAAAAAAAAAAAAAAAAAAAAAAAAAAAAAAAAAAAAAAAAAAAAAAAAAAAAAAAAAAAAAAAAAAAAAAAAAAAAAAAAAAAAAAAAAAAAAAAAAAAAAAAAAAAAAAAAAAAAAAAAAAAAAAAAAAAAAAAAAAAAAAAAAAAAAACCAAAUGAAAGGUGGUUAACAAUAUAACAUCUGUAAAUGUCCAUCACACAGAUUUGAGGCAAAAAACGUUACCUGAAUGGCCUAGCAAAACUUGCGAAUUUAUGACCAAGAUUCGAAGCAAGCCAUGUUGAUUUUAUGUUGCCAGAGAACUGCACAAGAUAUAUAAGCAUAAGAAUAAGGUGUUAUCUCUUCAAUAAAUGGUAUAAUAUUUACCAAACAUGGACUAUAAUAAAACCAAACAAUACAAAUACAAUAAAUCAAGAAAUGCCACAGCCAUAUGGAAACACUGCAAGAAUAAUGACCAGUACAGUUCUGGGUAAAUCAAUUGAUCAUGUCCAAAAACACAUAUAUUUUCUUUUUUGUCCUCAUUUACCAAUCAAUGUAUUACAGAAUAUAUAGAUAAAAUAUUUUACCGACCGUCCCUAGCACAAGUGACCAAACACUUGGUGGUUGGUAUUCGAGAUUCCUAAAUUCCUAACUAAGUUUAUUUUUAAAAAGAAAAAAUAAAAAAUAAACACAGUGAAUAAUAUACUAUCUUUUUCUAAAAAAAUAUUAUUAAAACAACUGUUGUUCCUAAGUUCCUAACUAAGUUUUUUUUUUCUCUCAAAAAUAAAAAAAUAAAUAAAUUAUAUAUAAAACAUUAAAGCUACCGGAUAAUGAUGUCUUUAAUUUAAUAGUUUCGUUUAGCAUUCCCCUUAUGAUUGGAUUCGAAACAUUUUGAUAGAAUUCUCUUUUUAAUGCUUACAUUCAACAUUUUUCUCGUGCCUGAACUCGCGAAUGUAAACAUGAUUUAAAUGAGAAAAAAUUAGUAGUAUUAAAGAUCUUGUGAUUCGAACUCAGAACUUGUGAAACAAACAUUAUUCUCUGAAAAAAAUUUAAACUUCUACAGGAAACAGAGAGAAUUAUAAGAAAUGGUAACGACAACAAAUUAAGAGAGUAAGAUGUAUGAUCAACCACCACUUCCAAUAAACCAGAGAUAUAUAUAGCCUUACAAAAACUAAUUAAUCAAAAGGGAAAAGAACGGAGAAAGAAGAUGAGAGGGAACGAUUAAAGCAUACGGAUGCGAGAGGGGAGGAGAGCUCUCUCCGCCGCAUGGCUCUGAGAACAACCGAGGUGGCCAUCUCUUUUUCCCUCCCUCCCUCUCUUAGAAUGCGAGAGCUUUCUCUUCUUUUUUUUUCUUCUUUUUUUAAAAAAAAUUUUUGGGGUGGUGUUGUGCGUUCGUGUCGUUUUUGCUAGAGCGCGGUGGGGAGGGAAAAAGGCGCCGCUCCAAGGCUUUGGAAGAGCGUGGACUGCUCGCGAGAGCGGGUAGAGAGAGAGAGAGAGAGAGAGAGAGAGAGAGAGAGAGAGAGAGCCACGUGUCAGUUUCGGAGUUUUAGGAAUCGGGUCGGGUUCAGAUUUAAACUGAACAGGCCCCAAGAGCACUGAGCACCCUGUUUUGCACGUAGUUUAACAAAUUACGUCGUGGGCCUCGUGGCUUGGGGCUAUGGCUCAGUUUAGAUUUAGAUGCAUGAAAAUCGUUUUUUAGACUCUCCUUUUGUAAUUUAUGACCCUGUAUAACUGUAUAAAUAUCUUGAUAGGUAUAUCUCCCAGAGUUAUUAAAGAAACUUUAACAUUUGACAAAUGGAUGUAAUCAAAUAUCGUAAAAUGAAAUACCAUAUUUAGCCUUUUAAGUUGUUUUUCUCAAAUAAAAUAAUUAUCUCGUAGAUAAAAAAAAAAAAAUCAAUAAUUUUUAAGGAGCAAAAAAUUAAAAACUUUUCUUGCAAUCAUACUAAAAGAAUUUUUAUAACGAAUAAGUUAUCCGACUUUCAAACUAGUAAAUUGCACUACAAGUUUUAUUUCAAUCCAUACUUUUGCACUACUAGUCACUGAAAUUGCACCCUCCCACCCUUCUGGGAUGCCAACUUCUACAAGCACAAUGCAAAGGGUAGAAACUUCUGGGGCAAAGUCGAAAAAAUGGCACAAAAUUGGAUGCUUCGCAUAAGAAGAGCAUAAGGUAUUUUUUCAAGAUCAUCCAUAGACCAUAGCAAUAACAUAAGUGCAUAUGAGAAAAUACAUUUCCAUACCAGGCUUAAGCAUGAGCAAGAACCGAAGUAGUCGCUCGCCCAAACCUAAUAUAAAAAAGAGUGAACGACCAGAACCCCUGAAUCAAUUGCUCAUCGGUAGAUGUGAGUAUCUUAAUUUGAAACUGUUAAAAAGCACUGAGGAGCUUCAUUUUCUGAAGUUGACAAGAUUUUCCAGAAUUUGAACAAAGUCAAAGAGAAGCUGAUAUCUGCCAAAUACGAAUAGAUCCAACUUGAAUCAAAUUGAAUGUCUGCGCAAGGUACGAUUGAAACCUUUUGUAGUGUCAUAUACGAACCAUCAACAUCCGAAAACACACUUAACGGAAUACGAAUAGAUCCAACUUAUACAUGCUGAAAAGUUUAACUGCACAUACUUUAAGCUGCUUUGGAACAUGUUGUAGCCACCAAAAGUAGGGAGUAGCAAACAUGAGGCAAAUUAAUACUUGAGAUGAAAUUAUAGCUAACAUCAGUAGCUCGAGAUCAAUAAGAUGAAAAUCUUGCUGAUGACAAUUUUGUAUUGAAUCCGAGUAAUUAAUGAUGGUUGUGGAAUAUCAUUUCAAAUAAUACAACUUCAUAGCAUAUUUUCUAAAGGCCCAGGAAAUCAGAGAGUAAUAGAUUGGCUAACAAAUGAGGGCUGACAAAGAUAAAAGAAAAGGAAAUUGAGAAAGUAUGGACAGAAAAAAUGGAUAUUUCUAACCUGACGAUCUUUUACUUUAGCAUAGCCAGAGGCACUUGAACAACACAAGAAAUUCUAUUUUCCGACCUCUUCUUUGGACACCCUUGUCAAGAACCUGAGACAUCCCAGAAGGGGGCAAAAGAGGAAGAAUGAGUUUCGUAUUCAACUUCAUAUUGUUUGCUUCAAAUUCCGCAAUUAGGAGCAGGGUAAUCAAAAUGAAAAGGGCCAUAAAGUACUUUACCUCUGGAGGUAAAUCCUCUUGGCGAGAAAACAGUGUGUUAUCACACAACAAAAGUCGAUGCAAUGGCAAGACUUGCAAUAGUUUCAUGGAAAUCUUAACUUCGUAUAUGAACAGUGACAGAACUCGAUGAUUUUCUAGCACCAUUUAGCUCAUCCCAGUAGCUGUUUUGGGUGCUUGUGGCUCUUUCUUUGUGCAGAUACUCCAGAAAUUCCAUUACCACAGGGUCAGUCCAAGGAGCGCCAAAUGGAGCUUCAUCACCUGCUACCCACCCAAGAUGCCCACCUUGUGGAGUAACUAUAAGGAGACAGUUUGGAUUCUCCUAGAAUAGAAGGGGAGAAGAUUAGUUUGUUAAUUUCACGCUAAGUUAGAUAUAUGAACACUGUAAAUAAUUUGUAACAGACAUAAAUUCAUAGUAAAGGAAUGAUAUGACAAAAUAAGCAGAAAGGGACAGUAAAAGUUGUAUAUAAGUAAGCAAUUAUGAACGGAUGUGUGUGACAUAAACAAGCUAAAGGCCUUAGCAUAGAAUCCAGUUUAUGUGUACAUGAGUUAAUAAGUGAGCAGGAAAAAUAGUCUCUAUACCAAAAGAAAAUACCUUGAUUUCUUCACGAGGAAUUCCCCUUGAUGGUGCAAUUGGAUCAGUAGCAGCCUGAAUAGUGUAAGAACAGAAAAUAUAGCAAUCAUGCCAAAAUUAAGGAACUUCUCCAAAUGCGAGUAGUAAUGUUUUAAACUUGUAAUAGUCUCUAUCAAUAUUUUAAUACUUCUCCAAAUGUAAGGUAGUGAAGCAGUGUUUGGAGUUUUCAAAAUAACCUGUAUGCACAAUAAAGGUGUUCUAACAUGCUCGAUGGAACUUGAACUGCUUGAGUUUGAGUAAUACUCAUCCACCGACCUAAAACCAAAUGAAACUGCAGAUACGCAAGUUUUCAUUAGUGGAAAUAACUGGACAAAUUAAAAUGAAAGAACAAAACAGUAGUGAUUUUAUAUUCACCACGUGUUAACCCUUCGUCAAAAUCUCUGACAGAUUUGGCACUCGCUGCCAUCGGUAUAUUGUAUUCACCUUCAAGACCUUCAAACAGAAGUGCAUGUCUGAAGAUUCACAGAAAUGGAAUUUAACUAUAUAUUAACUGCCGGGCUUCUCUAACCAUCAUUCCAAGAUCAAAGAAAAAGAGGCAAAAUAUGGUUUACUUUUUAAAUAUAUUUCGCAGAGCUCUAGCAAGAGCUCUAUCAUAUAUAUUAUUGAAGCCUUUAUGGAAGUCUUCAUCUGCAAUUACCAAAUUGAAGGGGUUACAUAAGGACACUGCUCCAGAAAGAGGACAGCUAUGAGAUUCCUGCAAACAGAGAAAUUAGGUGAAACAUCUACAAGAAAAUAAUAGCAUAAAAAUGAGUCCUUGUAGCAAGAAAGAAGGAAGAUAAGAUUAAGGGAAUAUAAUAUUAGCAGGAUAUUGCAGAAACACAACUAGCGUGGUUAUGACAACCGUGCAUCCUUUUACUUUAAAUGCCCCAAGCUUCAGCAGAAGGCCUAAAGCUCAUGAAGUCAAUCUCAAUCUCAAGCUCGCCCCAUCCAUUUACGUGUUAAUUUCUCAUGGUGCUGAUGAUGGUCUUGCUUAGUGGUCUAGUUUAUAUCCAUCAAUCAUACAUCUCCCCAUAUUAUUACUUCCUAGCAAUUUAUUUUCUGAUCAGCAGUUAAUUAGUCACUUUUUAAUUUAGUGUACUAAACGUGAUAAGAAUGCUCUUUCUUCAUAAAGUAGAUAAGAUAAGAACAAUUAAGACAACUGCAGAAACAAGCUUGAAAAGCAUAUAACAAGACAAAGCAACAUAUAUUUCACACAUCAUAUUCACCACUGAAAACAUAAAAGAUUAAAACUCACCUGACCAAGGUAGCGAACAAGAAUAUUUGCUCCAAGGGACCAGCCAACAGCAUAUAUAUUUGAUUUUGGAUAACGCUUUGCUACAUGAUCAACAAUUUGUGAAAGAUCUUUCGUGAAAGAAGCUGAAUAGAACUGCAUAUAACCAGAGAAAUUCCGAUCACAAAUUUUAACCCCUUGCCUUUAGGUGACUGACUGUACCCGUAAAGACAGUCUAUUCAGCCUAAACAAUCGAAUAUAUGUUUCGUGCUUCCAACCAAUAGAUGAGACCAAAGCUUACAACAUUUUUACCAGUGAGUUACUUUCAAGGUGUUAAUAACUUGAAUGCUGAUCUUACAUGCAAAGUAUAAAAUGAAUAAAUAAAGAACAGGUUCCAAAGUGAGCUUACUUUCAAAGUGUCAAUAACUUGAAUGCUGAUCUUACAUGCAAAGUAUAAAAUGAAUAAAUAAAGAAUAGGCUCCAAAGUGCUCAUGUUGAUGAUCGUGCUUACAGGAACCUUCACCGUGGCAAACAAAAUCAGAAUUUCGAAACAUUUUAAGUCUGACAUGGAACGUUUUGCCAUGCACACAAGGUAUUAGAGAGCAUAAAAGUUAAAGGCGUAGAAGAAACACAAGAACACUAGUGCUUUGUCUAUUCUUUUUAAAAAUUAAGUGCAAAAGCAAAGGUGGUACAUUUUUCAAAGUCAUAUUGCCAAUACCUGUGGGGUUGUCACAGGACUAUCGGCACAACCGCGGCUGUUGAAUACCACGACGCGCCAUCCUUUAUUUCUAGCUCGUACAAGCAUAUGCCUCACAUAUGUAUCAUCACUCCCUCCUGUUAGACCAGGCUGCAAAUAACAACAACAGUUGCCACGAUCAGCACAACAAGCGUUAUGCGACUGUGCAUAGACUACGUAGAAUGGCAGAAGAACGAAAUUGACAUAAGCAGCAAAAUUUCAGUGAAAAAGCGCAAUACAGGAAGGACGAAUGGAAUGGAAAUGACAGGCAAUACUCAAUGACUAUUGCUCUGAUUCAUGGUCACCCAAAACAUCGAUCUAACCGAAAACAGUUAAGAAAUAGUCUUAACACUCUGUUCACAUGCAUAAUGAACCGUGGACCUCACAGAACAAAGAGAAAUAUACUACGGAAACAUUCGUAACACUCAUCACACAGUACUAGAAGGAUCUAGCCGUUGCAUCAAAUCAAAACUGAGGUGAGAAUUUAAAAGAAGGAUCAGAAACGGGACCUGACCAGGAGAAUGAGCACGGGGGAAUCGAAGGGGAGCCGGCGAUCGUCGCCGGAGACCCAAUCGAGGGCGACGGCGCCGUCGUCGCUCGUCCUGAGGCACUCGCGGCGGAGGGCGACGUCGGGGGCGGAGCGGAAGAACGCGGCGAAGAUCGUCUCCACAUGGCGAUUCCACGCUAUGAGGGGGAAGGGUUUGUAGGGCUUCUUCAAGCUCGCGAAGCUGGAGAGGAGGGCGCGGCGCGCGCCCACGAUCUCGAGGUUCGAGAGAGAGGGUUCCUGGGGAUCGUCUCCAUUGUGUUUGGGCGACGAGGAGGAGAAGGAGCGAGCCAUGGCGGGGACGAAGGAGCGGAGAGGAGGAAAGGAGCGGGACGGAGAGAAGGAGAAGGGAGAGGCCGCCAUUAAUGGAGGUGGGAGGAUUGGGUGUUGAGCGUGGGGGAGAGAGGAUUUGGGACGGAAUCGGGCAAGCCAAUGGGGUGCGCGGUCGAUGCUUUUGGCACGUGAGAGAGGACACGCGAGACUUAGUGGAAGUAUUUGGUGGAUUCGGUCCACCACGUCAUCCGCGGGCCGGCCCAGAUUAGUGAAAAAUGAAGUGAUACACGCGCGGUAUUGAUCAAUGUAAUUUGUUCAACUGAUUUCACUCAUUUUGUUGGAUAUAGUUAUAAAUACAGUAUAGAUUGUAUAGUUAAUAAUAUUUACAGUUAAAAAUAUAUUAAUUAUAAUUAUAUAUUAUUUAUUCGGUUAUAUAUAAGUGUAACUACUAUAAUUAAAUUUGUUCUGUUUGAUAAUAUGAAGUAGGGUUAUUUACAUACACGUCCCUGCAAACAUAGUAAAUAGCAGAAAUAUUCCUGUAAAACAGAAACUCCAUAAGUUAUUCCUGCAAAAGUCUAAAGUUAUGCAGAUAUGUCCCUGCCGUUAAAGACUGUUAGAAAAUUUUCGUUAACCAUAGUUAAUUAUAAUGUGAAUUUACGGUUCUACCCUUCUUCUUCUUCCUCUUCUUCUUCCCUCUUUUUCGUCGCCGGCGAGGGCGGCGGCGGUAGCGCCGGCGGCGGCGGUAGCGCCGGCGGCGACGAUGGCGGUGACGGCGAACCCUCUCUUUUUCUUUUCCGCCUUCUUCCUCUCCCUCUUCCCUUUUCUCCCUUCUUCUUCCUCUCCCUCUUCCUCUUCCCUCUUCUUUAUCGCCCGCGAGAGAGAAGAUGCGACGGCGGCGGCAAACCCUCUCCCUCUCCCUCUUCUUCUUCCUCUCCCUCUUUCUUUUCCUCUUCCUCUUCCUCUUUCUCUUCCCUCUUCUUCGUCGCCGGCGAGGGAGGAGAUGCGACGGCGGCACGCGGCGACGAACCCUUUCCCUCUUCAUCUUUCUCUUCCCUCUUCCUCUCCUUCUUCCUCUUUCCUUUUUUUCUUCCUCUCAUUCUUUCUCUUCCCUCUUCUUCGUCGUCGGCGAGCUCGACCCGCGUCGUCGCCGCCAUCCUCUCCGGCGGCCCGAAGAGGAAGAGGAAGAGGAAGAGAAAGAGAAGGGAAAGAUGAUACUAUUGGAGGGAUAUAUUUGUGAGGGCAAAAUGGUUAUUUCAUAAGAAAAUUAUUAAAAAAUAAAUAGUUCUCUAACAGAUGUUAAUCAGAGGGACAUAUCUCCAUAAAUUAGGACUUUUGCAGGGACAACUUAUGGAGUUUCCGUUUUGCAGGAAUAUUUCCGUAAUUUACUAUGUUUGUAGGAACGUGUAUGCAAAUAACCCGAAGAAGUAAGUAGUAUUCUAUCAUUUCUAAUAUAGUGGUAAAAUUAUUUUUAUUGGACAUAAAAUAACUAUUAAUUCUGUAAGGUAAAAAUGAAAGAAAUCUUACAAAGGUACUUUUGGUUCUUAAUUUGGAAAAUAUUUCAAAAAAAAAAAGUUUUUUAAGCUGAAUAAGUAUUUUUCAUAUUUCAUAAAAAAACAUUAUUUUAUGUUUUGAAUUUUUUAUUCAAAAUAAAAAUUAUAUUUCCAUUGAGAACUCUUAUUCUGAAAAAUAAAUUAUCACACUUUUUUUAAAAAAACAAAACACCUCCAAGGACAUUGUAGAGAAAAGUCUUUUGUAUGGAUGUUAACCGACGUGGAAGUACGAAAUAAGGUUUUUGCGCGUGCACUCCUAACUAGUGUUCUUUUGUAAAGUUCUUUUCUAAAUUUCAAAUUCUAUUAGUAAAUUCUAAAAUUUUAAAGAUAUUUUAAAAAAUUUUAAAAAAUUAAUUAGAAUAUUUUGGCCGAUCAGAGAUAUACGGGAUAUUUUUAAAUUUUGAAGAAUUAAAAAUUAUCCCAAAAUAUAAUUAAAUACCAUUUUAAUAGAAAAAUUAUAACAUUAUGUUUGGCCGAAUUCUUUAUUAUUUUGUACGACACAAUCCAUACAAAUAUAUAUUUAUAUAAAUAUAUAAUCUGAUGGUUUUUUAGCGCUUACGUGUCGGGCUCUCCUUAAUUUCACCCCUCCGUCUCUCUCUUUUCUAACUAUAUCUUUGUCUUUUCACCUCUUCAAGAAGCUUUUUCACUUUCCAAUAUGUAAUAAUUAUUCUCACAUUUCCAAGAGGUUUUUUCAUCUUUCCAAAUAUAAUAAUUCAUCUCUCAUUCCCAAUGAGCCUUUUCACUUUCCCAAGAGAUUUCUUUAUCUUCCCAAGAUGUAAUAAUUCUUAUCACUUUCUCAAUAGGCCUUUUCACCUUUCUAAAGGUAAUAUUUCUUCUCACCUUUCCAAUAAGGGCCUGUUUGGAUACACAGUAAAAUAUCUUCACGGAAUUUAUAAACUGUGGUUUCGGUCUAGAUAAAAUAGAGAAUCUUGCAACUCUAAAAAAUUCCACGGAUUCAAUUUUUAAACUGUAUUGGUAGAUUGUACAUUUCACAGAAUUUUUCUAAAAUUUUAGAUUAAAAGAUUAAAUUUAAAAUUUCAAAAAUAUUUAAAUUUAAAAUUUCAUAUGUGAAAGUGUGAAUUUUGAAUUUGAAUUUUUAAAGUUUUAAAUGUCAGAAUUUGAUUACAGUUUAUAAUUUAAAGAUUAAAUUAAAUUUUUUUAAUGUUUUAAAUUUUUAAGUUUAAUUUUAAAAUAAAAAUUUAAUAUUAUAUUUUGAAUUUGAAAUUUAGAAAUUUUAAAUUUAAAAUAAAUUUAAAUUUAAAGUUUAGUUAAAAAUAAAUUAAAAUUUAAAGUUAAAUUGAAAUUUGAACUAUGAGAUCUUUGAGAUUUGAAUUAAAUUUUAAAAUUUGAAAUUUGAAUUUAAUUUUAAAUUUAUAAUUUAAAGUUAAAUUUAAAAUUUAAAGUUUUGAAAUUUAAAAUUAAAAUUUAAUUAAUUAAUUUAAUUAUAUUUGAAAUUUUUAUUUAAAUAGAAAUUUAAAUUUUAAAAUUUAAAAAAAUUAAUUUAAAAUUUUAAAGUUAAAAUUUGAAAUUUGAAAUUUAAUUUGCAAUUUGAAAUUGAAAUUUAAUUUGAAUUGAAAUUGGAAUUUAAAUUUGAAUAUUUGAAAUUUGAAUUUAAUUUGAAUUUGAAUAUUGAAUUUAAUAUUGAUUUCGAAUUUGAAAUUUCAAUUUUGAAAUUUGAAAUUAAAUAGUUGAAAUUUAAUUUGAAUUUAGACAUUUGAAAUUUGAAAUUUUGAAAUUUGAAAUUUGUAAAAUUUAAAUUUGAAUUUAAAUUAAAUUUAAUUUAAAAUUUAAAUUUAAAUUUUAAAUUUUAAAAUUUAAAAUUUAAAAUGUGAUAUUUCAAAUUUCAAAUUUUAAAUUUUAAAUUUUAAAUCUAUGUUGAAAUUUAAAAUCUAUGUUGAAAUUUAAAAUUUUAUGUUAAAAUUUAAAAGUUAGAACUUGAUGCAUUUUUUUGAAUAAGGGAGCUCAAGAAUGGUAGAAUUUUUUUCCUUUGGUUAGAGUGGAUUAUACUUUUACUCCAUUUUUUGGAGUAUAGUUUAACUAUACUCCAAAAAUUAUGUUACUUUUUUUCCUCCCAAACGCUUCAUAGGAUAUUUUUCCUACCGCCGUAGCAUAGUUUAACUAUGCUAUGUUUUCAGGAGUAUCCAAACGGGGCCUAAGCCUUUUUACCUUCCCAAGAAAUAAUAAUUUUUCUCUUUGUAUAACUCUCUCUUAUGCAAUGACAUUCUACAUUUUCUUAUAUGCAAUAAUUCUAUACCACACACAAUAAUUACUGAGUUUUUAGAGUUUGGAGAAAGCCAUUUCAAAAGCUUUGCUGAAGUUCUCCUCCUCAUUCUCCUUAAGUUAGUUGCCGUGCUCCUUUAAGUUCCGAUCGAUUUAAAGUGUUGGUCAUGGCUAGCCCAAUCUACAACCACAACACUGCGAUUCUAUCCUACGGUCGAUUUAUUUUUUAAAAAAUUAAUAUCUUUCCACAUAUUUCACUUGGUUUUUUUUUUC
RNAcentral lists this long non-coding RNA (92057 nucleotides) under Ananas comosus (pineapple). Its description in RNAcentral is "long non-coding RNA (ACOM_LNC006037)". The stretch from base 53170 to 53264 matches the Rfam family "mir-166 microRNA precursor family". Lineage: Eukaryota; Viridiplantae; Streptophyta; Magnoliopsida; Poales; Bromeliaceae. The record is from RNAcentral.